AAGAAUGGGAGGGCAGACAUAAGCUGGUUAUAAACAGAUUCAAUUUAUUUAUCUAUUCAGAUUUGUACAGGACAAAUCAAACUACACAUCGAUGUCAUCACAGCCAGUAGACAACCGAUAGUAGCUGAUGUCUUAGACAAAAUGGGGAAAAAAACUCCUGAGCUUUUGAAGUAUAUAAGAAACAUGCUCGCAGAUACAAGGAAGAUGGUGACACUCACCGAACAUGGCAGACUCACAACACACGAGCAUCAAAACAGAAUAUAACAACAACCCUACCAGCAGAGUACAGAACAAGACCACACCACAAAAUCAGACUAACACCAAGAGAUCAAGAAGAUAGCGCCACGAUCAGAUGGCCACCUCCUGUCUUCCAAGACAUUUUUGUUCUCCUUGAGCAGCUUGAUGCAACACGGCCUUGAUUAGUCGACCCCCAUAGGCAUUUGAUUCCAAACCCUCCACAAAAUCCAGGUUACACAUCCCAAACCCAACACCAUGAUUAAUCACCAGGUUCCCCUCCCUGGUGAAACCAACUCAUAGAAGAAAGUUCAAUGGAAACCCAAACAAAUAUUUCUUUUAAGCUAGACCACAAAUCAAGAUCUGUGAUUAGCAUUCUCCUUCACUUCACGGAAAGAAAAUUAAUCAUUUCCUGGCCGGUGUCUAUAUGCCAACUUGAACUGCUAUCGGAAUGCCGUCUUUUAGUGCUAUGGGGCAAGCCCACAAGAUCUUAUUUGGGAGGCAAUUUGGCCUUCCGAACAUCCAUGUUCCUGGAAUGAACCAGACCACCAAAAGUAAAUUCUUCUGCAUAGAGGAUUAGAUCAUGUUUUAGGAAGCCCCGACAAAUACCAUACACCAGUUGAAUUUCCUGCAAUUCGAGCAAAUCCCACUACUGAACUUCAACCUUUCCCAAACACCUUAGUUUCCAGUAACCUCAGUGUCAGUAGCAACCGAUGUAUUCUUCUACAGUAAAGCCAUCGUACAGAUGCUGAUAUCCACGGUGCUUUGUCCCCUCGAGAUGUCCUGCAGAAUGUGUCAGGAGAGCACAAAUACCACAGAUUAGAGUUACUAAUAGGAAUCAUAUCUAUUUGAACCAUGUUAUAGUUAUCCGAAUGCUCCAACCACAAACUUUAAGAUAAGUUUUCAAAAUGACCGCAUGUAUUUUUGCAAAAUCAAUUUAACCAAAUUCUUUCCUAAUUAUGUAUGGUACUUACUCUUCAUGGAAGAAUUAUGUGCUACAAGAAAUAUCAAAGCCACGAAAAAUGUUUUUGUUGGAAUUAAACCAAAGAAAAGUAUGUGUAGCUAGUACUAUGUCGGAAACAAAUCUAACAACUAUUUCGGACCCAAAAUAUAGGCCGGUUUACAACUUUCUAUGCACUUUGCCUAAACACUUCCCUGAAACCCCAACCCAAUUACUCUCAUGAAUACGCUAUCUUGAUACCAGUACAGCCCAGGGAGAUGGUCAUUUCAGCUUAUUUCCCUUAACUCUUGUGGCUGUAGGUUGUCAAUUGCCUCCCAGGGAGCCUUGGGUGCUACCAGAUGUGGAGCUUUCUUGGUCGUCGUCAUCAGCCUCGAUGAAGAAGAGUCGCGCACACCGCUGACCCUGAACAUAAAUCUCAUCACAGUUGAAGAAAAGGCCUUGGCUGCGACGUUCUUCUAACUCAGCUGGAGUGAAGCGCCAAACCUGCCGUGGCGGGGUUGGCUCUGGAAUGGUCGACAACAGAAUAAGUGGUAGUGGCGCUGGCGGGGAAGGUAUUGUAGCUGCGUUGGCCGCGGGAAGAUUGGAGGGGCACAAGGGCCCUGUAGGACCAGAGGGCUGGUGUGAUGGCAUUGUUGUCGAGAAAUGCUUCUGCUCAUAGGCCUUGGCGAAGGAGAUGGCAGUAUGUUGGUAAGAUGGCCACCGAAGCUCGACGUCAAUGUGAAGACCAUCAGGCAGCCCUGCUGUGUACAGAAGCCGUUGUUGGGACGGUGUUAAUGGCUCAUUGUUGUGGCACAUGAGCAAUAGAAACCUGCUGGUGUAGUCGGCAACCAAGGAAGUGAACGGCAGACGUGCCAACUCACCCGAAGGAUUGGCGCGAAGUGACGGCCCAAACUAAACAUGGGAAGCUUCCUUGAACUGCUCCCAUGUUGGCAUGCCAAAGUCGCCCUCGAGAUGUAAGUACCAGAACUGAGUGUCAUUGGUGAGGUGGUAGGCUGCAGCUCAGACCUUGUCAGCCUCCUGCUCGCACCUAUUUAGCGAACCAAGAGGAUUGACCGAACCAGCAUAUGUCGCGAAGCCGAGCUUGUGGAAGCAAGGCACGCCUGAACCAGAACCUAAUCCGAGGUGAUUGUUAAGUAGGGGCAGAAGGGAGGUGAUGGGCGAGGUGGGUCCAUAGAUGGGUUGUGGAGGGGGGUGCAGCCAUAACGUCACGAAAUCGGUUGGCAGGUGGAGGCAUGAAGGCGGUAGAGGCGGCGGCGGCGAUGGCCACGCUGGAGAAGGGGGCACCGGAGGUGCUGCUGGCGAGGGGAAGCACCAGGUCGCUAGGGUGGAGGGCCGGGGGCCCAGAGGUGGCGUCAUGGGCAGCUGUUGCAGUCAUGUUAUCUGAAGGUGGGGGCAGGGCCGGCAGCCGUUGCUCGAGUGUCGUCAAGCGCUGCACCAGCCCGUCGAGGAGCACCUGGUCCUCCCCUCGUUGGAGCGUGAAGGUCUCCAAUUGCUUCGUGGUGAUCUUCAUCUGCCCCACAGCCUCGAUUUCUUUGCCCGCCAUCGAGAUGGAUCUCAUACCAAAUUGGAGGAAUCUACUAUGACCUAACCCUAAUUACUCAAAAGUAGAUAAAAGUAAACGAAAAUAUUCUUCUCUGCUUUAUUGAAAGGGGUCGGCCCCUUUAUAUAAUAGACAAGACUUGACCAACAAGUCGGUAACUCUAUUCAAGCUCUAACACGGUCUCAAAAACUGACUCGACUCUUUCCUAACAAAGAUGCUUAAUCAACUAAGACACUAAUUAAGGGGUAAGACUCCACGUUUGAUGGGCUGGUCCACAUAACAUGCAUAAUUGGGAUCUCAAAAAGAAACAUGCAUAACUGCCAUAUAGGCGCUAUGGCAGUAAUCUACGACAAGUGAUGUUGUUGCGAACCUUAAAACAACUAGUGCAAAAAAUCAGUCUUCAGAACAGCUAGUUUAUUGCACAAGAAACAAUCAUGAUUGCAUUCCCUGGUUUGACUUGCUUUACAAGAAGGAUGGCAAAGCAUAUCAACAACAUAAAGUAACUAUCGACUGCUAAAAACACAAAGGAAGUUUGCAGUAGCAACCUUACUACCUCAUAUGCUUGGUGGAGACAAUAAUGGCGGGAAGCCUCGAUACAGGUGAGCAUGCAUCAUUUUGUUCUUUGACACAUACAUCCUCUCAAGCAGGAAUGUCUUGAGUUCCAAUGCAAAAUACUCUAUAUCCGGUCUCUGCUGUGAAGAGCUUCCAAACCAGGGCCAAUCUAGUGAAAUCCCUCUUAGGAGUAAGUACUCCUCAUCCGCACCUAUGAUGCACCAGUGAUAAUUGGGCAACGGAUGGUUUAUCGUGCUGUGCUGCCACUCUUUGGUGCCUUUACUUUUGUUUCGCCAAACCUUACAGUAGAAGUCUAACGUGCGCAUACCAAUAUUUAACAACCCAAUCAUACCUUCUCCUGCUUCCACAAUGGCGAGCCUUCCCCCAUGACUGUUGGGCGGGAGAUCUAUAAUGGUGAAUUUCAUCUCACGUGUGUCAAGCAUGAGCAGUUUGUCCAUCCAUUCUAACACCCAACAGAAACAACCGUGUGCAUAAUGGCGCCGAUGUAGUCCACAGCGUGCAUACAAUGCAUCCACAACUUCAUUGGACAAAGCGCCCAAACCAUGGUGUUGAAUACUAACCCAUUUACCAGUGUGUGAAGAGAAGAUGAAGACAGCAAUCUUGUUUUCGCACAGCACCUUGCAGAUCACUUUGAACGACGAUUCAUCCUCCCGCACGUCGUCACUGGCCGGAGCAAAGAAGGGCUCGAAAUCUAACAUGCCGCAGUGCUGGACGGAGUCCGCUAGGUCUUCAGGGACGGGUGGGAUCUGGAUGUAGCGCCGGGACAGGGGAUCACAGACCACGAGAUCCACGAAGGUGUUGGAGGUGGCGUCUAUGAAGUCGCCACGACCUUCGGAGACUGAGACGGCGGAGAAGAGAACGCGGCCGUCGCGGACGUCACGGGGGCUCCAGCAGGCGGGGUUGGGGAGGAAGCUGAAGGCGAAGUCGGCAGCCUGCGCGAGGGCGUUGGCGGCCGGGGCGGAGGGGUGCGGAGACUGGGCGGCGUAGAAGUCAGCACGGAGGAAGCCGAGCACGGGGACCUUGUGGAGGGAGCGGUAGCGGCGCGCGAAGGAGCGGGGAGCGACGACGUGGCGAAAUGAGGUGCAGGAGGUGGAGGCGCGGGCGAGGUCGGCCGCGGUGGAGAGGCGGAGGAGGAUCUCCUCCAGGAUAUCGUUUGGGAGGGAGACCUGGAGCUGUGGAGGCGACGGAGGGGCGUCGGAGUUCGGGGCCGACGGAGGGUCGUCGGCGUCGGGGGGCGGCGGAGUAGGUAAUUGUGAGGCCAUGAUGUGGUGGGGGAGCGAGCGGCCGACGGUGGGUUGUGGAGCUCUGUCUGUAACCCAGCUCAGGUUCCCCGGCGACUGUCUCUCGGGUGUCGUUUUGCUUUAUAAAAAAAGAAAAAUCCUCCUUAUUUAUUUAUUUAUUUUGAUAAACGAGAAUUCCUCCCUAUUUGGUUCCAAUUAAAAUUCUGCUUCACUAUUUGAUCUAAUAAUUAUUUUCCAUGUUUGGCACUACCUCUAAAUUUUAUGUCUUAUUUGGUUCUAAUUAAAAUUAUGCUUCGGUAUUUGACCUAAUAAAUAUCUUCCAUAUUUGACCUUGCCUCUAAAUUUUAUCUCUUUCUCGCAACUUCCAUCCAUUUAGUCAUUAUAAGUGAUACUUAAAAAGACACAUUUACCCCUCAGACCACUUUUGAGACAUGGUUGAAUAUAUUGGAAAAAAGAGAAGAACAUAAGUAUUCAACACAAUUUCUCUUAAAUCUCCCACCUCCCAUCUAUCUCAUGCAGUAGCACAUUGGCAUCGACGGUGUAGGUGGUGAGCGGGCACCAGCAACAACUGCGAGAAGGAGGCGGGCGGCAAGAAGCGCUGGGCAACAACACUAGUUGGUGCUACCCUUCUUCGAUGUUGCGCUUAUUCGUACCAACGCCAAUCCAUGAACCAUCCCUCCGUGUGCAAUGUCAUCUCCAUGCGACGUUGUCCCCUUGAGCGUAUGGGCUACCACCACAUGGUGCACCAUGCUCAACAUGGAGCCGUGUUUCACCGUGUCAUGCCAUGCCACGCUCAACUAACCUAAUCACCCAUCGCCGCCUCACACCAUCCAUCGUGGCAUUGUUUUGCGCGCACCCUGAGCAUAGUGCUUCGCUGACGCCAACGUUAACCGUACUGGGCACCACCGUCAGCCAGGGGUAGAUUAUGUGUGUCGUCGUCAUUGAAGUUUCAAGUCAAGGUUGAAGCUGCACAAAGGAUGUGUCGACAUAGACAUCAAUCACAACAAACAGAUAGGUUGCAUUUGCGAGGAGGGCAGGCGGAGAAGUGACGUCGAUGACGAGAAGGGUGGGUGUUGGCGAAACAAAGGGUGGGUGAAGAGGUGGGAGUCUAGCUUGGACCGGUGCCAUCGACCAUGAGGCGAAACGCUCAUCAGUGUCGACCAGGUGGAAGGAGGAAGGCGGGAGGUUGUCGGGUUGGAGGAGGAGAGGGGCCCCCUUGCUUAUGUGCUCCUAUGGCGAAGACAAGUGUAAGGGGGCAUGGGAAGAGGAGGGAUUUGGGCCCAAUGGCUUGUUCAACCUUUUUUCAUUGUUGUACAAUCAAGGGUAGUUUCAUCAAUGCAAAAAGGGACGUGUCUUUGAUGGAAUAGGCGAAGUGUCACAAAAGGCAUAAAAUGUAGAGGUGGUGUUUAAUAAAGAAGAAAAUUAUUUAGGGCAAAAUAGGAAAGAAAAGUUCUAAUUAGGACCAAACAAGGAACUCUCAGAAACAAGCUGAUCAACGUCGAACGCCUCCACACGGGACCCUUGCCAUCGACGAUUUUCUCACUGCUGGCGACCGCCUCCACCGCUACCUGAUGUGCGCAAGCCUCUUGGAGCCUUUUGUGCCCUCCAUUUCCUUUGUCAUGCCCUGCAUCGCCCUCGGUGAGUAAGCCCAAGCGCCUAGUCGGAGUCACGAGGUGGGUGAUGACAUGUGGGACUUACCUACCAUCCUGCCAGUCCUCUCUCUCUCUCUCUCUCUUAGUGAUGGUUGGGCCCCAGCCAUCAAGUUUAAACGCCCCAAUACACGAGCAUGCCGUUUCGGCUAAAGGCGGCUUAUGUUGUUAUGCCUUCGACAUGGCCCUUUGUCACAGCGUUGUGCACCUGGGUUGAGCCCACCUGAGCUCAUCAGCAUUUUUCUGUUAAAUGCCGCUCUGAGCGUGCAUUUGUUAACUGGGUCGGAUCUAUUCGGCCUGGUGUGCACAACAAUGUUUAUAUUUUUCUAAAUUACAGCGAACUUUGAAAAUUCAUAUUUAAAUAUCCACAACCCCAAAUCAAUUGAUUCCCGUUUCUAAAUUUAAGACCAUUCUAGAGACAUGGGUUCCAAAAAUAAUUGAGCACUUUGGUUGUACUACUUAUUUGGGUGGCUUGUUUCUGCUUUAUUCUUAUGUCUCUGAUGUUAGAUAAUGAUUUUCUUGAGAGAUUCGAAGAAGGAGCAGAAGACUUUGAAGAAUUUGCUGAGCUAGCCAAGCAACCUACUUCGAUCAUGUUGAACCCAUAUUUGCAUUACACACUUAGCAAUAUAAUUGUUUAAAAAUGCUAUGGUUGGUUUAGAAAAUAGAUAUUGCAUAUGUGCUUAUUGUUAACAUCCCCUUUGACAUUGGUAAUAUGUCAGGACCCUGAUCCUAAGUCACACCGAUCUAGCAUGUAACACAUCAUAUCACUUUGCAACUUCACGCACGGUAUCCCCACGGGUGCCACCUUACCUGAUCCGGGACCGUUUGCGCCUUUUGACUCACGUAUAUCGUAGUGUCACUAGCAUCCAUAUGAUAGAGAACCCGGGCCGGCAUGAGUAGUCAUAAACCCAAGGUGGCACUCUUACAGGGACAGACAUACAUGACCCAGCAACGAACGUGUUGGUCAUCAAUGUAUGAACCCAAGUCGUAGCAAGCUACAAGGACUUAAAGAAACAAUGUGUGACAUUUCCCCGAAGGGACAGACACAGGAACGAAGAAGGACACAUGCCGUCCAGCCUAAGUGUUCCGGAGCAGUAGCAAGCUACCAUGGCUCAGUGGAAGCACUAGGAGACAUUUCCCGGUAAGAGAGGUGAAGGAAAUAUGCCCUAGAGGCAAUAAUAAAGUUAUUAUUUAUUUCCUUAUUUCAUGAUAAAUGUUUAUUAUUCAUGCUAGAAUUAUAUUAACCGGAAACAUAAUACAUGUGUGAAUACAUAGACAAACAGAGUGUCACUAGUAUGCCUCUACUUGACUAGCUCGUUAAUCGAAGAUGGUUGAGUUUCCUAGCCAUGGACAUGAGUUAUCAUUUGAUUAACGGGAUCACAUCAUUAGGAGAAUGAUGUGAUUGACUUGACCCAUUCCGUUAGCUUAGCACUUGAUCGUUUAGUAUGUUGCUAUUGCUUUCUUCAUGACUUAUACAUGUACCUAUGACUAUGAGAUUAUGCAACUUCCGUUUAUCGGAGGAACACUUUGUGUGCUACCAAACGUCACGACGUAAUUCGGUGAUUAUAAAGGUGCUCUACAGGUGUCUCCAAAGGUACUUGUUGGGUUGGCGUAUUUCGAGAUUAGGAUUUGUCACUCCGAUUGUUGGAGAGGUAUCUCGGGGCCCACUCGGUAAUGCACAUCACUAUAAGCCUUGCAAGCAUUGUAACUAAUGAGUUAGUUAUGGGAUGAUGUAUUAUGGAACGAGUAAAGAGACUUGCCAGUAACGAGAUUGAACUAGGUAUUGAGAUACCGAUGAUCGAAUCUCGGGCAAGUAACAUAUCGAUGACAAAGGGAACAAUGUAUGUUGUUAUGCGGUUUGACCGAUAAAGAUCUUCGUAGAAUAUGUGGGAGCCAAUAUGAGCAUCCAGGUUCCGCUAUUGGUUAUUGGCCAGAGACGUGUCUCGUUCAUGUCUACAUAGUUCUCAAACCCGUAGGGUCCGCACACUUAAAGUUCGAUGACGGUUAUAUUAUGAGUUUAUGUGUUUUGAUGUACCGAAGGUAGUUCGGAGUCCUGGAUGAGAUCGGGGACAUGACGAGGAGUCUCUAAAUGGUCGAGACAUAAAGAUCGAUAUAUUGGACGACUAUAUUCGGACAUCGGAAAGGUUCCGAGUGGUUCGGGUAUUUUUCGGAGUACUAAGGAGUUAUGGGAAUACGGGGGAAGAAGUAUAUGGGCCUUAUUGGGCUUUAGGGGAGAGAGAGAGAGGCAGGCCACGCGCCCCCCAAUGACUAGUCCGAAUUGGACUAGGGGGAGGGGCAGCGCCCCCUCCUUCCUUCUCUUCCCUCUUCCCCUUCCUUGUCUCCUACUCCUACUACUUGUUGUCUCCUACUCCUACUACUUGGAAGGGGAGGAAUCCUACUCCCGAUGGGAGUAGGACUCCUCCAGGGCGCGCCAUAGGGGUCGACCCUAUCCCCCUCCUCCACUCCUUUAUAUACGUGGCCAGGGGCACCCCAUAGGGAUAACAAUUGAUCUCUUGGAUCUCUUAGCCAUGUGCGGUGCCCCCUCCAUCAUAGUCCACCUCGAUAAUAUCAUAGCGGUGCUUAGGCGAAGCCCUGCGUUGGUAGAACAUCAUCAUCGUCACCACGCCGUCGUGCUGAUGGAACUCUCCCUCAAAGAUCGGUUGGAUCAGAGUUCGAGGGACGUCAUCGAGUUGAACAUGUGCUGAACUCAGAGGUGUUGUACGUUCGGUACUUAAUCGGUCGGAACAUGAAGACGUACGACUACAUCAACCGUGUUGUGCAAACGCUUCCACUUUCGGUCUACGAGGGUACGUGGACAACACUCUCCCCUCUCGUUGCUAUGCAUCACCAUGAUCCUGUGUGUGCGUAGGAUUUUUUUUUUGAAAUUAAUACGUUCCCCAACAGUGGCAUCCGAGCCCGGUUUAUGCGUUGAUGUUAUAUGCACGAGUAGAACACAAGUGAGUUGUGGGUGAUAUAAGUCAUACUGCUUACCAGCAUGUCAUACUUUGGUUUAGCGGUAUUGUUGGAUGAAGCGGCCCGGACCGACGUUACGCGUACGCUUACGCGAGACUGGUUCUACCGACGUGAUUUGCACAUAGGUGGCUGGCGGGUGUCAGUUUCUCCAACUUUAGUUGAACCGAGUGUGGCUACGUCCGGUCCUUGAGAAGGUUAAAACAUCACUAACUUGACGAACUAUCGUUGUGGUUUUGGUGCGUAGGUAAGAACGGUUCUUGCUCAGCCCGUAGCAGCCACGUAAAACUUGCAACAACAAAGUAGAGGACGUCUAACUUGUUUUUGCAGGGCAUGUCGUGAUGUGAUAUGGUCAAGGCAUGAUGCUAUAUUUUAUUGUAUGAGAUGAUCAUGUUUUGUAACCGAGUUAUCGACAACUAGCAGGAGCCAUAUGGGUGUCGCUUUAUUGUAUGCAAUGCAAUCGCCCUGUAAUGCUUUACUUUAUCACUAAGCGAUAGCAAUAGUCAUAGAAGAAUAAGUUGGCGAGACAACAACGAUGCUACGAUGGGGAUCAAAGUGUUGCGCCGGUGACAAUGGUGAUCAUGACGGUGCUUCGGAGAUGAAGAUCACAAGCACAAGAUGAUGAUGGCCAUAUCGUAUCACUUAUAUUGAUUGCAUGUGAUGUUUAUCUUUUAUGCAUCUUAUCUUGCUUUGAUUGACGGCAGCAUUAUAAGAUGAUCUCUCACUAAAUUAUCAAGGUAUAAGUGUUCUCCCUGAGUAUGCACCCUUGCAAAAGUUUUUCGUGCUGAGACACCACGUGAUGAUCGGGUGUGAUAGGCUCUACGUUCAAAUACAACGGGUGCAAAACAGUUGCACACGCGGAAUACUCAGGUUAAACUUGACGAGCCUAGCAUAUGCAGAUAUGGCCUCGGAACACUGAGACCGAAAGGUCAAGCGUGAAUCAUAUAGUAGAUAUGAUCAACAUAGUGAUGUUCAUCAUUGAAACUACUCCAUCUCACGUGAUCAUCGGACAUGGUUUGGUUGAUUUGGAUCACAUGAUCACUUAGAGGAUUAGAGAGAUGUCUAUCUAAGUGGGAGUUCUUAAGUAAUAUGAUUAAUUGAACUUAAAUUUAUCAUGAACUUAGUACCUGAUAGUUUUUUGCUUGUCUAUGUUGAUUAUAGAUAGAUGGCUCGUGCUGUUGUUUCGUUAAAUUUCAAUGCCUUCCUUGAGAAAGCAAAGUUGAAAGAUGAUGGUAGCAAUUAUACGGACUGGGUCCGUAACUUGAGGAUUAUCCUCAUUGCUACACAGAAGAAUUAUGUCCUUGAUGCACCGCUAGGUGACAGACCUAUUGCAGGAGCAGAUGCAAACAUUAUGAACAUUUGGCUAGCUCAAUAUGAUGACUACUUGAUAGUUUAGUGCACCAUGCUUAACAGCUUAGAAUCGGGGCUUCAAAGAUGUUUUGAACACCAUGGAGCAUAUAUGAUGUUCCAAGAGUUGAAAUUGGUAUUUCAUAAUCAUGCCCGUGUCGAGAGGUAUGAGACCUCUGACAGUACUUUGCCUACAAGAUGGAGGAGAAUAGCUCAACCAGUGAGCAUGUGCUCAGAUUGUCUGAGUACUACAAUUGCUUGAAUCAAGUGGGAGUUAAUCUUCUAGAUAAGAGAGUAAUUGACAAAGUUCUCAAGUCACUAUCACCGAGAUACUAGAACUUAGUGAUGAACUAUAAUAUGCAAGGGAUGACAAAAGUAAUUCCCAAGCUCUUCGUGAUGCUGAAAUCGACGAAGGUAGAAAUCAAGAAAAGCAUCAAGUGUUGAUGGUUGACAAAGACCACUAGUUUCAAGAAAAGGGCAAAGGGAAGAAGGGGAACUUCAAAAAGAACGGCAAGCAAGUUGCUGCUCAAGCGAAGAAGCCCAAGUCUGGACCUAAGCCUGAGACUGAGUGCUUCUACUGCAAAGGGACUGGUCACUAGAAGCAGAACUGCCCCAAGUAUUUGGCGGAUAAGAAGGAUGGCGAGGUGAACAAAGGUAUAUUGGAUAUACAUGUUAUUGAUGUGCACUUUACUAGUGUUUAUAGCAACCCCUCGGUAUUUGAUACUAGUUCAGCUGCUAAGAGUAGUAACUUGAAACAGGAGUUGCAGAAUGAACAGAGACUAGUUAAGGGUGAAGUGAUGAUGUGUGUUGGAAGUAGUUCCAAGAAUGAUAUGAUCAUCAUCGCACACUCCCUAUACUUUCGGGAUUAGUGUUGAACCUAAAUAAAUGUUAUUUGGUGUUUGCGUUGAGCAAGAAUAUGAUUUGAUCAUGUUUAUUGCAAUACGGUUAUUCAUUUAAGUUAGAUAAUAAUUGUUAUUCUGUUUACAUGAAUAAAACCUUCUAUGGUUAUACACCCAAUAAAAUGGUUUGUUGGAUCUCAAUCGUAGUGAUACACAUAUUCAUAAUAUUGAAGCCACAUAUUCAUAAUAUUGAAGCCAAAAGAUGCAAAGUUAAUAACGAUAGUGCAACUUAUUUGUGGCACUGCCGUUUAGGUCAUAUUGGUGUAAAGCGCAUGAAGAAAAUCCAUGCUGAUGGGAUUUUGGAAUCACUUGAUUAAUGAAUCAGUAGAUGCUUGCGAACCAUGCCUCAUGGGCAAAGAUGACUAAGACUCCGUUCUCUAGAGCAAUGGAGCGAGCAACUGACUUAUUGGAUAUAAUACAUACUGAUGUAUGAGGUCCGAUGAGUGUUGAGGCUCGCGACGGGUAUCGUUAUUUUCUGACCUUCACAGAAGAUUUGAGCAGAUAUGGGUAUAUCUACUUGAAGAAACAUAAGUCUGAAACAUUUGAAAAGUUCAAAGAAUUUCAGAGUGAAGUGGAAAAUCAUCGUAACAAGAAAAUAAAGUUUCUAUGAUCUGAUCAUGGAGGAGAAUAUUUGAGUUGCGAGUUUGGUCUUCAUUUGAAACAAUGCGGAAUAGUUUUGCAACUCACGCCACCCGGAACACCACAGCGUAAUGGUGUGUCCGAACAUCGUAACCGUACUUUAUUAGAUAUGGUGCAACCUAUGAUGUCUCUUACCAAUUUACCACUAUCGUUUUGGGGUUAUGCAUUAGAGACAGAUGCAUUCACGUUAAAUAGGGCACCAUCUAAAUCCGUUGAGACGACACCAUAUGAACUGUGGUUUGGCAAGAAAUCAAAGUUGUCAUUUCUUAAAGUUUGGGGUUGCGAUGCUUAUGUGAAAAAGUUUCAUCCUGAUAAGCUGAAACCCAAAUCGGAAAACUGCGUCUUCAUAGGAUACCCAAAAGUUACUAUUGGGUACACCUUCUAUCACAGAUCCGAAGGCAAGAUAUUUGUUGCUAAAAAUGGAUCCUUUCUAGAGAAGGAGUUUCUCUCGAAAGAAGUGAGUGGGAGGAAAGUAGAACUUGAUAAGGUAAUUGUACCUUCUCCCGAAUUGGAAAGUAGUUCAUCACUGAAAUCAGUUCCAGUGAUGCUUACACCAAUUAGUGAGGAAGUUAAUGAUGAUGAUCAUGAAAACUUCGGAUCAAGUUACUACGAACCUCGUAGGUCAACCAGAGUAUGUUCCGCACCAGAGUGGUACGGUAAUCCUAUUCUAGAGUUCAUGUUACUUGACCAUGACAGACCUACGGACUAUGAGGAAGCGAUGAUGAGCCCAGAUUCUGCGAAAUGGCUUGAGGCAAUGAAAUCUGAGAUGGGAUCCAUGUAUGAGAACAAAGUGUGGACUUUGGUUGGCUUGCCCGAUGAUCGGCAAGCCAUAGAAAAUAAAUGGAUCUUCAAGAGGAAGACAGACACUGAUAGUAGUGUUACUAUCUACAAAGCUAGACUUGUCGAAAAAGGUUUUUGACAAAGUUCAAUGUGUUGACUAUGAUGAGAUUUUCUCACUCAUAGCGAUGCUUAAGUCUGUCCAAAUUAUGUUAGCAAAUUGUCGCAUUUUAUGAAAUCUGGCAAAUGGAUAAACAAAACUGCAUUCCUUAAAUGAUUUAUUACAGAAAGAGUUGUAUAUGAUGCAACCAGAAGGUUUUGACAAUCCUAAAGGUGCUAACAAAAUAUGCAUGUUCCAGCGAUCCAUCUAUGGACUGGUGCAAGCAUCUCGGAGUUGGAAUAUACGCUUUGAUAAGUUGAUCAAAGCAUAUAGUUUUAUACAGACUUGUGAUGAAGCCUGUAUUUACAAGAAAGUGAGUGGGAGCACUACAAUAUUUCUGAUAAGUAUAUGUGAAUGACAUAUUGUUGAUCAGAAAUAAUGUAGAAUUAUUCUGCAAAGCAUAAAGGAGUGUUUGAAAGGAGUUUUUCAAAGAAAGACAUCGGUGAAGCUACUUACAUAUUGAGCAUCAAGAUCUAUAGAGAUAGAUCAAGACGCUUGAUAAGUUUUUUCAAUGAGUACAUACCUUGACAAGAUUUUGAAGUAGCUCAAAAUGGAACAGUCAAAGAAAGUGUUCUUGCCUGUGUUACAAGGUGUGAAAUUGAGUAAGACUCAAAGCCCGACCACGGCAAAAGAUAGAAAGAGAAUGAAAGUCAUUCCCUAUGCCUCAGCCAUAGGUUCUAUAAAGUAUGCCAAGCUGUGUACCAGAUCUAUUGUAUACCCUACACUGUUUUUGGCAAGGGAGUACAAUAGUGAUCUAGGAGUAGAUCACUGGACAACAGUUAAAAUUAUCCUUAGUGGAAUAAGGAUGUGUUUCUCGACUAUGGAUGUGACAAAAGGUUCGUCGUAAAGAGUUACGUCGAUUCAAGCUUUGACACCGAUCUGGAUGACUCUAAGUCUCGAUCUAGAUACAUAUUGAAAGUGGGAGCAAUUAUCUAGAGUAGCUCCAUGCAGAGGAUUGUUGACACAGAAAUUUGCAAAAUACAUACAGAUCUGAAUAUGGCAGACCCGUUGACUAAACUUCUCUCACAAGCAAAACAUGAUCACACCUUAGUACUCUUUGGGUGUUAAUCACAUAGCGAUGUGAACUAGAUUAUUGACUCUAGUAACCCUUUGGGUGUUGAUCACAUGACGAAGUGAACUAUGGGUGUUAAUCACAUGGUGACGUAAACUAUUGAUGUUAAAUCACAUGGCGAUGUGAUCUAGAUUAUUGACUCUAGUGCAAGUGGGAGACUGAAGGAAAUAUGCCCUAGAGGCAAUAAUAAAUUUAUUACUUAUUUCCUUAUUUCAUGAUAAAUGUUUAUUAUUCAUGCUAGAAUUGUAUUAACCGGAAAUAUAAUACAUGUGUGAAUACAUAGACAAACAGAGUGUCACUAGUAUGCCUCUACUUGACUAGCUCAUUAAUCAAAGAUGGUUGAGUUUCCUAGCCAUGGACAUGAGUUGUCAUUUGAUUAAUGGGAUCACAUCAUUAGGAGAAUGAUGUGAUUGACUUGACCCAUUCUGUUAGCUUAGCACUUGAUCAUUUAGUAUGUUGUUAUUGCUUUCUUCAUGACUUAUACAUGUUCCUAUGACUAUGAGAUUAUGCAACUCCCGUUUACCGGAGGAACACUUUGUGUGCUACCAAACGUCACAACGUAACUAGGUGAUUAUAAAGGUGCUCUAUAGAUGUCUCCAAAGGUACUUGUUGGGUUGGCGUAUUUCGAGAUUAGGAUUUGUCACUCCGAUUGUCGGAGAGGUAUCUCGGGGCCCACUCGGUAAUGCACAUCACUAUAAGCCUUGCAAGCAUUGUAAAUAAUGAGUUAGUUACGGGAUGAUGUAGUACGGAACGAGUAAAGAGACUUGCCAGUAAUGAGAUUGAACUAGGUAUUGAGAUAUCGACGAUCGAAUCUCGGGCAAGUAACAUACCGAUGACAAGGGGAACAACGUAUGUUGUUAUGCGGUUUGACCGAUAAAGAUCUUCAUAAAAUAUGUGGGAGCCAAUAUGAGCAUCCAGGUUAUGCUAUUGGUUAUUGGUCGGAGACGUGUCUCGGUCGUGUCUACAUAGUUCUCGAACCCAUAGGGUCCGCAAGCUUAAAGUUCGAUGACGGUUAUAUUAUGAGUUUAUGUGUUUUGAUGUACCGAAGGUAGUUUGGAGUCCCGGAUGAGAUCGGGGGCAUGACGAGGAGUCUCGAAAUGGUCAAGACGUAAAGAUCGAUAUAUUGGACGACUAUAUUCGGACAUCAGAAAUGUUUCAAGUGGUUCGGGUAUUUUUUGGAGUACAGGGAGUUACGGGAAUACGGGGGAAAAAGUAUAUGGACUUAUUGGGCUUUAGGGGAGAGAGACAGGCAGGCCGCGCGCCCCCAAUGACAAGUCCGAAUUGGACUAGGGGGAGGGGCGGCGCCCCCUCCUUCCUUCUCUUCCCUCUUCCCCUUCCUUGUCUCCUACUCCUAUGAAACAUCCCAAAUUUUCAAUUUGGAAUGUUAUACAUUAGAUCAUAAUUGCAUAUCAUAUUUUAUUUGCUUUUGGUUUUGAUCCUAGAAAUUCUACGCAACUCAAGGAUCCACGGAGAGAGAGUUGGGGAUUUCGUUAUUUUCAUAUUUGAGUUUUCUCAAAUUUUGAGAAUAGGAUCAUUUGAUUUUAUUUAUUUUAUCAUCAAUUAUUUCUAUUACAAAAAUAUGAGAGAGGGAAUAAAAUGACUUUCCCAAAAUAAAGAAAUAUUGAGGAUUUAAUAAUAAAAUCAAAUAAGAUUUUAUUACGGAGUUUUUCGCUAUUUUAUUUGAAUUUAGGAAAAAUGUGCGUUUUUCAAAAUUGCAUUUAGGCCCCAAAUAAAUGUUCACCUUGUGCGGCUUGAUUUUAGAAGCCCGGGAAAAUUUAUUUCGGGAUUUUUGGAGUCUGUUUAGUAUUUCUUUUUAUUUUUUUCUUCCGCGCGUAAUUCUUAAAAAAACGAACCGACCUAACGGGCCGUGUCCGACUAAGACUCCGGCCCGACUAGGCUAUAUAAGCCGGGGGGAGGCCCAGCCGAAGCCAGCGCCCUAGUCCCGAAAACCCUAGCCGCCAGCGCCCGCCGCCGCCGCCCGCCGCCGCCUGACGCCGCACGCCGCCGCACGUCGCCCGAGGUCCGCCGCCGGCUCAAUUUCUAUGCCGGUUUUUUUAUUUUUUUCAAAAAACCGUUAGGUUUUUCCGUCGGUUUUUUUAGUUUCGGUUUUCUUUAAAUAGAUCGGUUUUUCCGGUUUAUUUAAUUCAGCGAGCGUUCGUCGUUUUUUUUCUUUUUCUUGGAUUAAAUCCGUGAUUUUUCUGAUCGCGAUUCCUGAUCCGAUUUUCAUUUUAGUUAGUAUAACUUUUCACUCGUUUAUCAGAAUCAGGUGAUUCAAGCGCCUGGAGUUUCGUCUCGAAACCCUCUAUCUGUUUAACCAACUUAAACAAGUUUUUGCUACUGUAAAAAUUGCCCUAGAUUCAGAUUAGUAGAACGAAGUUGUUUUCUUUCGCCAUUUGACUUUCGUUGCUUCGUUCGAUUUGAUUCUUUUUGCAAACCGGAGUUCUUAAGUUGAACCUUCUGGUUAGAUCUCUUAUUCGAGUUUUACCUGUGCAUUAGAUGAGUACUUAUUGUAUGCUUGUUUGUUUGUCUAUGAUAGAAUACUCGGAAUGCGCCGCUUGUUACUUCGAAUCGCUAGGUUUCCCGGAUCAUCAGCAAGGCAAGUAACACUUUGAUCAUACCUUUUCUACUACCCAGUUUUACUGCAUUACAUCAAUCCACACACAUUGCAUGAUUAGGAUCUAAUUAAAUUGUGGGAUGGGAAGUAGUUGAGGUAGUACCUAUUACCUGUUUAUUAUCAAACCUUUGGGAGUUAUUUCUACGUUUGCCUUUUAUGCCAUGCUAAGCUAGUAGACGUGGAUUGGGUGAGUGAUAUCCAUGAUAGAUGUGAGUUUGUUAAUUAAUGGUUUAUCUAAGGUGACAACUUAAACACACAUCUGGGUGGAUUGAGGCACCUGGGUAUUCCAGGACUUGCCUGUUUUCUUUUGGACCGCCACCUAGGCUCAAAGGGAUCAUGAGACUAUUCAUACUAGAAACUUCCGUGUGCAGCCACAAGCUAUUAUGGGCUCUAGCAUAGUUGACUAGGUCGUGCGAACUCUUACAGUGGUACACUAGCAGAUGUAGGGGAUGUAGGCGGUACGGUCUACCCGAUCGUAAGGUGCGAGCGCUUCUGAAAGACUAUGUCUCGGUCAUCCGUCUUCUCAAACACCAUGUAGUGCGAGAAACCAAACGGAGGCGAUCGAGUCUUGUGGGGAAAAGUGCGCAAACCUCUGCAGAGUGUAACAAACUAAUCAUGGUUAGCCGUGUCCCCAGUUAUGGACAUCUUGAGUAUCUAAUACCUGGAUUAUCAUGUGAAUCUCAACAUGUUACUCUAAAUUAUUAUUUUUGGGUUUGUUUAAUGAUGAAGUUUAAUUGGGAUUCAGAAUGCUGUCAACCAUUCUUAAUGUUUAACAACCACCAUGAUAGUAAUUGAAUUUAUUCCUUUGAAGUAGGGAAAAAUUGGCUUUACGCAAAACUGUAACCAUAGAGCUUUCCACCAGCCACAUAUGCAUAUAGUAUAGCUGUUUCAUUCCAUUAUUCUCUAUGUGUUACAUUGCCAGCAUAUUCCAUGUGCUGACCCGUUUCAGGCUGCAACGUUAAUGUUGCAGACUUUUUAGACGAUGAUUAAGGAGUUUUUAGGUCGUGGUUCUAUACUCAGUGAUGCCAUUGGAGUUGAUGGACUCACUUAUCUUCCAAGCCUUCCGCUGUUAUCGUUAUUAGAUGGCCUUAAGCCAUAUUUACUAUAAUAAGUUCUCUAUGGAGACACUCUAUGUAAUAAGUGUGUGAUUGCUACUCUGUUAUAAAUCCUCCGAGUACUGUGUGCUGUCAGCAUUACUGAUCCAGGGAUGACACCGGAGCAUAGAGAUCAGACUAUUUGAGGUCUGGUCGCUACAGAGAUGGUAUCAGAGCACACGCUGACUGUAGGACACGACCACUAAGCUAAAGACCUAGAUCACUAUUCACUCUCUUCUCCUCUGACUCCUCAUCUUUUCUACUCUUUUAGGAUGGCGGAUGCAAGGAACAAGUUCACGCAACCGGAUGAAGAUACACCCUUUGGACGUCACCUGAAGGAAGUCACUAGAUACCUGAACAUAGGAGUACCAAGCUUCACCGGAACCUACAACGCCACUUUACCUGAAGAAGAGCGCUGGAUGAUUCAAGUUCAAGUUCCAGGAAGGACGUUCAUGCUAGUCACAGAGCCCAUAGAGUUUUCUUUUGAUGCACCAACUUGGAGUCUAGGAAAGAGCAUGGCAGCUCACAUCGCCAUGGGACGCAUUGGAGAAGUCUACCCCAAUGAUCUCAAGGAUACUAUCUACCAGAUUUGUGGGCGCCGAGAUGAGCACUGGGAGAUGAUCAGCACCAGAAAGGAUGGAUCAAUUGCAGCUUUUAUCCAGGAGUUAAACUAGCACAUUCAACGACAGGAGAAUCAGAUGUGCGCCGACAUGAUAGAUCUGAAGAAGGCUAAGACAAGAAUCAAGGAACUGAAGGAAGAACUCAAGGCUACACGUGAAGAUUAUGAAGAGGAAAUUGAAGUAUUGGUGGAUAAGAAUGCCGACCUAACUAAGAAGCUAGCAGUAUUUAUGGGAGACCCUACACCAGUAGAUAUAGACGAAGAACCCAAGGAGAUUAGCCCGGAAGACUACAUCAUCAUCGAUGACACAGACUCGUACCCAGAUGACAGCGAUGAUGACUAUGUUGAUGAAGCUGGAGCAGAUAUCAUGGAUUCAGCAACCGAAGAAUAUUUCUAGUAGACCACCUCAUCAGUAGUAGUAGUCCACCAUGUAAGUAUAGUAGUCCGAGCACUUUUGCGAUAGUUAGAUCAAUUGUAUGCCCUUGUUUGAUUGAAUGAAGUGAAUUGUUUGCUUUUUCCUCAUGUGCAUAUGAGUAGUGUUUUCUCUUUAGACCCCCUCUAUUCUUACAUCUCAUCUUUUCUAAACCCUCAGAUGCCUCCGAGACGUGACCCCAGAUUUACCUUUCCACCGGAGCUCACCCAGUUGAUCCAGCAGCAGAACAUAUUGAUGCAGUUGCUAGUCUAGAAUCAGAAUCAGGGAACAACAACAACAACCCACCACCACCACCACCACCUGUUGACCACUUAGCCCAUUUUCUUAGGCUGAAUCCACCGGUGUUUUCCAGUAGCACCGAGCCAAUAGUAGCAGAUGAUUGGCUCCGCAAGACAGCUAGAGAGUUGACCACAGUAGGAUGCACGGAUGCGGAGAAGGUGAAGUUUGCCGCGCAUCAGCUUGAAGGACCCGCAUCAUCAUGGUGGGAGAAUUUCACAGCCACUUUCCUUGUCGACACUGUCACAUGGGACCAAUUUCAGCAGACUUUUCGUACUGCCCAUGUUUCAGCAGGAGCUAUGGCCAUGAAGAAGCGUGAGUUUCGCAACUUGCACCAAGGAGGACGGACAGUUGGCCAGUAUGUGGAGGACUUUAGUAAGUUAGCACGUUAUGCCCCAGAUGAAGUUGCUACGGAUGCGGCUAAGCAGGAGAAGUUUCUGGAAGGACUGAAUGAUGAAUUGAGCAUGCAGUUGAUGGUAGCAACCUUCAACAACUACCAGGAGUUGGUAGAUCGUGCACUUAUGAUUGAAGGGAAGCAGCAGCAAAUUGAGAAUCGCAAGAGGAAGUAUGGACAAGGGAAGAACAAUUCAGGAGCUCCGCAGAAGCCACGUUUUACCCCUAGACCGGGAGGACAUUUUCAGCAUACCCAUGGAGGAGGUAGCUCGCACAAUCACAAUGGCACCAGGAAUGGUAAUGGGAAUGGAGGAAGCAAUGGCCAGAAUCGCACCAACCCAUCAACCCCAGCCAAGAAGGACCUGAGCCAAGUCACUUGCUUUAAGUGUUCAAAGACCGGACAUUAUGCCAAUGAAUGUCCUGAAUUACAAAAUGGAAAUGGCAAUGGAAGCUCUGGGAAGAAGCCGAACCCUUUCAACAGGGGACAGGUGAACCACGUUAACGUGGAGGAGGUUGAAGCUCAGCCUGAUGCAGUAAUAGGUAAGUUUUUGGUUAAGUCAUUUACUGCACUCGUUCUUUUUGAUACUGGAGCAUCGCAUUCAUACAUCUCAAGGGGAUUUGUGGAUAAGUAUAACCUGUCAACCCAAGCCCUUAGGUCACCCAUGUUAGUAACCUCGCCUGGAGCAGAGUAUAUGGCUAGUCGAUGGUGUGAUCAGUUACCAUUAAGGAUUGGUAACUAUGUUUUUCCCUCAGACCUAAUAGUAUUGGAAUCCCAAGGAUUGGAUGUGAUACUAGGCAUGGAUUGGUUAUCAAAGUAUGAAGGGAAUAUUGAAUGUGCUAGUAAGUCAAUUUUGCUUACCACACCAGAAGGGAGGAGGAUCAAGUAUGUAUCCCGACAUGUGCCAAAGAGGACUCAAGUAAAUUGCUUAAUAGGAGUUGUGCAGGAGGAUGUACUAAUAGUGAAGGAUUUCCCUAAUGUAUUUCUAGAAGAGUUGCCCGACAUGCCACCGAAUAGAGAUAUUGAGUUUUUGAUUGAGCUAUUGCCAGGCACAGGGCCAAUAUCAAAGAGACCAUACAGGAUGCCCGCAAAGGAUUUGGUGGAAAUUAAGAAGCAGAUUAAGGAGUUACUGGAUAAAGGAUAUAUUCGCCCAAGUUCUUUGCCUUGGGGAUCGCCAGUACUUCUAGUGAAGAAGAAGGAUGGAUCGUUAAGGAUGGUUGUCGAUUAUCGAGGAUUGAAUGAAGUAACGAUCAAGAACAAGUACCCAUUACCAAUGAUUAAUGAUCUGUUUGAUCGAUUGCAAGGAGCUAAGGUAUUUUCCAAGAUCGAUCUGCGAUCAGGAUACCACCAGUUGAAGAUUCGAGAACAGGAUAUACCUAAGACAACUUUUACCACCAGGUAUGGGCUGUACGAGUAUACCGUUAUGUCAUUUGGUCUGACUAACGCACCUGCAUAUUUUAUGAACAUGAUGAACAAAGUGUUUAUGGAGUUCUUGGAUAAGUUUGUCGUAGUGUUCAUUGAUGAUAUCCUAGUCUACUCGAAGAAUGAAGAGGAGCAUAAGGAGCAUUUGCGUUUGGUACUGGGAAAGCUCAGAGAACAUCAAUUAUAUGCCAAGUUCAGCAAAUGUGAGUUUUGGUUGAAGGAAGUUGGAUUUCUCGGACACGUUAUAUCUGGAGAAGGUAUAGAAAUUGAUCCCACUAAAGUAGAUACCGUGACCAAGUGGGAAGCACCAACCACAGUGGGAGAGAUCCGGAGUUUUCUUGGACUCGCAGGAUACUACCGGAGAUUCAUUGAGAAUUUCUCAAAGAUUGCGAAGCCUAUGACUGAGUUGUUGAAGAAAUAUACCAAGUUCAUAUGGACGGAGGAAUGUGAGGCUAGUUUCCAGGAGUUGAAGAAACGUUUGGUUACCUCACCAGUGUUGAUUUUGCCAGACCAGACCAAAGAUUAUGAGGUGUAUUGCGACGCUUCACGUCGAGGACUCGGAGCAGUGCUUAUGCAGGAAGGGAGAGUUGUUUCAUAUGCCUCAAGACAACUGAAGCCUCAUGAGUUGAAUUAUGCUACGCAUGAUUUGGAGUUAGCAGCCGUAGUGCAUGCAUUGAAAACAUGGAGACAUUUUCUGAUUGGAAAUCAUUGUGAGGUGUACACGGAUCAUAAGAGUUUGAAGUACAUUUUCACGCAGAAGGAGUUAAACCUCAGACAAAGGAGAUGGUUGGAGCUCAUUAAGGAUUACGAUAUGAAAUUGCAUUAUCACCCCGGAAAGGCUAAUGUAGUAGCUGACACAUUAAGCCGUAAGAGCCACGUCAAUACAUUAAUGACGGGAGGAAUACCAAGGGAGUUAGCAGAAAAUCUUCGUGAACUAUGUUUGGAAAUAGUUCCGAAAGGCUAUGUAGCAGCAUUGGAGAUUCAGUCUACAUUGAUGGAUAAAAUCAGAGAAGCUCAGAAGACUGACAAGGAGAUUGCCUCUAUUAAGGAGAAACUUAGCAAAGGAAAGGCUAAAGGAUUUCGCGAGGAUGAGCACGACACCCUAUGGUUUGAAGACCGUGUUUACGUGCCCAAUGACCCGGUGAUCAGGAAGUUGAUACUGCAAGAGGCACAUGAUUCACCAUAUUCGAUUCACCCAGGAAAUACCAAGAUGUAUUUGGAUUUGAAGGAUAUUUUCUGGUGGACCGGAAUGAAGAAGGAUAUUGCGGAGUAUGUAGCAGUUUGUGAUGUAUGUCAGAGAGUAAAGGCAGAGCAUCAGAAGCCAGCAGGACCGUUACAACCAUUGCCGAUACCCGAAUGGAAGUGGGAUAAGUUAGGCAUGGAUUUUAUCACGGGAUUGCCCAGAACUCGUUCAGGCUAUGACUCGAUUUGGGUUGUAGUCGAUCGGUUGACGAAAGUAGCUCAUUUCAUCCCGGUAAAGACCACCUACACCAGUGCUAAGUUGGCAAAGAUAUACAUGACCAGGAUCGUAUGUCUGCAUGGAGUUCCGAGGAGUAUCGUAUCAGAUAGAGGAACCCAAUUUACCUCAAAGUUCUGGAAACAGUUGCACGAAACUUUGGGAACCAGGCUAGAAUUCAGUACAACUUUUCAUCCACAGACAGAUGGAUAGACCGAGAGAGUUAAUCAGAUUUUGGAGGAUAUGCUGAGAGCUUGUGCGCUGGAUUACGGAUCUAGUUGGGACGACAAUUUGCCAUAUGCAGAAUUUUCUUACAACAACAGCUAUCAAUCUAGUUUAAAGAUGGCCCCUUUCGAAGCCUUGUACGGAAGGAGGUGCAGGACACCGUUGUCAUGGGACAAAGUUGGAGACCGCCAGUUGUUUGGACCUGAUUUGAUUAAAGAGUCUGAACAGAAGGUGAAGUUGAUUCACGAUAGGCUCAAGGUAGCUCAGUCCAGACAAAAGAGUUAUGCAGAUUCAAAUCGCAAGGAGACAGUUUACGAAGUUGGAGAUAGAGCUUAUCUUCGAGUAUCACCACAUCGGGGAACAAAGCGUUUUGGAGUUAAAGAAAAGUUAGCGCCACGAUUUGUAGGACCAUACCAAGUUUUGGAUCGUUUGGGAGAAGUGGCCUACAAGUUGAAUUGCCCGAAGGAUUGUCAGGAGUUCAUGAUGUGUUCGAUGUUUCUCAGUUGAAGAAGUGCCACGCGGAGAUGGCUGACAUACCCCUGAGAGAUACAGUGCCAUUGGAAACUAUUCAGUUGGAUAACAAUUUGACCUAUGAGGAGAAACCAGUUAAGAUUCUUGAGUUUGUCAGUCGAGUCACUCGCAGCAAGGUUAACAAGUUUUGCAAAGUUUAGUGGAGCCACCACACGGAGGAUGAAGCCACCUGGGAACGAGAGGAAGAUUUGCUCAAGGACCACCCUCAUCUAUUUUCUAGCCAACCCGAAUCUCGAGGGCGAGAUUCAUCUUAAGGGGGGUAGGUUUGUAACAUCCCAAAUUUUCAAUUUGGAAUGUUAUACAUUAGAUCAUAAUUGCAUAUCAUAUUUUAUUUGCUUUUGGUUUUGAUCCUAGAAAUUCUACGCAACUCAAGGACCCACGGAGAGAGAGUUGGGGAUUUCGUUAUUUUCACAUUUGAGUUUUCUCAAAUUUUGAGAAUAGGAUCAUUUGAUUUUAUUUAUUUUAUCAUCAAUUAUUUCUAUUACAAAAAUAUGAGAGAGGGAAUAAAAUGACUUUCCCAAAAUAAAGAAAUAUUGAGGAUUUAAUAAUAAAAUCAAAUAAGAUUUUAUUCCGGAGUUUUUCGCUAUUUUAUUUGAAUUUAGGAAAAAUGUGUGUUUUUCAAAAUUGCAUUUAGGCCCCAAAUAAAUGUUCACCUUGUGCGGCUUGAUUUUAGAAGCCCAGGAAAAUUUAUUUUGAGAUUUUUGGAGUCCGUUUAGUUUUUAUUUUUAUUUUUUCUUCCGCGCGUAAUUAUUUAAAAAAAACGAACCGACCUAACGGGCCGUGUCCGACUAGGACUCCGGCCCAACUAGGCUAUAUAAGCCGGGGGGAGGCCCAGCCGAAGCCAGCGCCCUAGCCCCGAAAACCUUAGCCGCCAGCGCCNNNNNNNNNNNNNNNNNNNNNNNNNNNNNNNNNNNNNNNNNNNNNNNNNNNNNNNNNNNNNNNNNNNNNNNNNNNNNNNNNNNNNNNNNNNNNNNNNNNNNNNNNNNNNNNNNNNNNNNNNNNNNNNNNNNNNNNNNNNNNNNNNNNNNNNNNNNNNNNNNNNNNNNNNNNNNNNNNNNNNNNNNNNNNNNNNNNNNNNNNNNNNNNNNNNNNNNNNNNNNNNNNNNNNNNNNNNNNNNNNNNNNNNNNNNNNNNNNNNNNNNNNNNNNNNNNNNNNNNNNNNNNNNNNNNNNNNNNNNNNNNNNNNNNNNNNNNNNNNNNNNNNNNNNNNNNNNNNNNNNNNNNNNNNNNNNNNNNNNNNNNNNNNNNNNNNNNNNNNNNNNNNNNNNNNNNNNNNNNNNNNNNNNNNNNNNNNNNNNNNNCGCCGCCGCCGCCGCACCCCGCCCGAGGUUCGCCGCCGCCUCGAUUUCCGCGCCGUUUUUUUAUUUUUUUUCAAAAAACCGUUCAGUUUUCUUUAAAUAGAUCGGUUUUUCCGGUUUAUUUAAUUCAGUGAGCGUUCGUCGUUUUUUUCUUUUUCUCGGAUUAAAUCCGCGAUUUUUCUGAUCGCGAUUCCUGAUCCGAUUUUCGUUUUAGUAUAACUUUUCGCUCGUUUAUCAGAAUCAGGCGAUUCAAGCGCCUGGAGUUUCGUCUCGAAACCCUCUAUCCGUUUAACCAACUUAAACAAGUUUUUGCUACUGUAAAAAUUGCCCUAGAUUCAGAUUAGUAGAACGAAGUUGUUUUCUUUCGCCGUUUGACUUUCGUUGCUUCGUUCGAUAUUAUUCUUUUUGCAAACCGGAGUUCUUAAGUUGAACCUUCUGGUUAGAUCUCUUAUUCGAGUUUUACCUGUGCAUUAGAUGAGUACUUAUUGUAUGCUUGUUUGUUUGUCUAUGAUAGAAUACCCGGAGUGCGCCGCUUGUUACUUCGAAUCGCUAGGUUUCCCGGAUCAUCAGCAAGGCAAGUAACACUUUGAUCAUACCUUUUCUACUACCCAGUUUUACUGCAUUAGAUCAAUCCUCACACAUUGCAUGAUUAGGAUCUAAUUAAAUUGUGGCAUGGAAAGUAGUUGAGGUAGUACCUAUUACCUGUUUAUUAUCAAACCUUUGGGAGUUACUUCUACAUUUGCCUUUUAUGCCAUGCUAAGCUAGUAGACGUGGAUUGGGUGAGUGAUAUCCAUGACAGAUGUGAGUUUGUUAGUUAAUGGUUUAUCUAAGGUGGCAACUUAAACACACAUCUAGGUGGAUUGAGGCACCUGGGUAUUCCAGGACUUGCCUGUUUUCUUUUGGACCGCCACCUAGGCUCAAAGGGAUCAUGAGACUAUUCAUACUAGAAACUUCCGUGUGCAGCCACAAGCUAUUAUGGGCUCUAGCAUAGUUGACUAGGUCGUGCGAACUCUUACUGUGGUAGACUAGCAGAUGUAGGGGAUGUAGGUGGUACGGUCUACCCGAUCGUAAGGUGCGAGCGCUUCUGAAAGACUAUGUCUCGGUCAUGCAUCUUCUCAAACACCAUGUAGUGCGAGAAACCAAACGGAGGCGAUCGAGUCUUGUGGGAAAAAGUGCGCAAACCUCUGCAGAGUGUAACAAACUAAUCAUGGUUAGCCGUGUCCCCGGUUAUGGACAUCUUGAGUAUCUAGUACCUGGAUUAUCAUGUGAAUCUCAACAUGUUACUCUAAAUUAAUUUUGUUGGGUUUUGUUUAAUGAUGGAGUUUAAUUGGGAUUGAGAAUGCUGUCAACCACUCUCAAUGUUUAACAACCACCAUGAUAGUAAUUGAAUUUAUUCCUUUGAAGUAGGGAAAAAUUGGCUUUACGCAAAACUAUAACCAUAGAGCUUUCCACCAGCCAGAUAUGCAUAUAGUAUAGCUGUUUCAUUCCAUUAUUCUCUAUGUGUUACAUUGCCAGCAUAAUCCAUGUGCUGACCCGUUUCGGGCUGCAACGUUAAUGUUGCAGACUUUUCAGACGAUGAUUAAGGAGUUUUUAGGUCGUGGUUCUAUACUCAGUGAUGUCGUUGGAGUUGAUGGACUCACUUAUCUUCCAAGCCUUCCGUUGUUAUCGUUAUUAGAUGGCCUUAAGCCAUAUUUACUAUAAUAAGUUCUCUAUGGAGACACUCUAUGUAAUAAGUGUGUGAUUGCUACUCUGUUAUAAAUCCUCCGAGUACUGUGUGGUGUCAGCAUUACUGAUCCAGGGAUGACACCGAAGCAUAGAGAUCAGACUGUUUGAGGUCUGGUCGCUACAUCCUACUACUUGGAAGGGGAGAAAUCCUACUCCCGACGGGAGUAGGACUCCUUUAGGGCGCGCCAUAGGGGCCGGCCCUCUCCCCCUCCUCCACUCCUUUAUAUACACGGCCAGGGGUACCCCAUAGGGAUAACAAUUGAUCUCUUGGAUCUCUUAGCCGUGUGCGGUGCCCCCCUCCAUGAUAGUCCAGCUCGAUAAUAUCGUAGCGGUGCUUAGGCGAAGCCUUGCGUUGGUAGAACAUCAUCAUCGUCACCAUGCCGUCGUGCUGACGGAACUCUCCCUCAAAGCUCAGCUGGAUCGGAGUUUGAGGGACGUCAUCUAGCUGAACGUGUGCUGAACUCGGAGGUGUCGUACGUUCGGUACUUGAUCGGUCGGAUCGUGAAGACGUACGACUACAUCAACCGCAUUGUGCAAACGCUUCUGCUUUCGGUCUAUGAGGGUAUGUGGACAACACUCUCCCCUCUCGUUGCUAUGCAUGACCAUGAUCCUGUGUGUGCGUAGGAUUUUUUUUGAAAUUACUACGUUCCCCAACAAGAGGCUACCAAGAAUAAACAACUAGGUUGUCGGAUCCCACACAUACCAAGCAUUUCAAAAGCAUACACACAAUAUGCUCGAUAUGUGAAAAUACAACAUGGCAUCACAACAAAACUCUACGACUCAAAGUAUUUAUUCAUUAGGAUCCGAGGAGCCAAAUAUUACAAACAUGGGUCUGAUGACCCAGCAUUCAAGUCAUACAAGAAAUAAGCACAUGCGGAAGCUUAACUUGUCUGAGUACAGACAACUACAAAUGAGAAAGGCUGAGAAGCCUGACUAUCUACAAGACCCUGCCGAGGGCACAAGAUCGUAGCUGAGGUAACAAGCUAAACAUUGAAGUCCACGCGGAACUACUAGUGAGAUUGAAGUCUCUCUGCAAAAACAUAAAUUAAACAAACGUGGGUACAAAUGUACCCAGCAAGACUUACAUCAGAACUAGCUACAUAUGCAUCAGUAUCAACAAAGGGGUGGUGGAGUUUAACUGCAGCAAGCCAGCUUUGACCGUGGCUACCCUGAAAUACGACUGCAAGUAACUCUUUUGAGGUGGCGCACAUGAGUCCACAUAUUCACCAAUCAAUACACCACUAUGGAUCCGCUCCCGUCUCCCUACGAGUACGCCAUCCAUAGCACUCACGAUUAUCUUGCGCAUUUUAGAGUAUCCACUUUCACUUGUCUAUGAACUGUAUAGGCAACCCAAAAGUCCUUUACUGUGGACGUGGUUAUUCGAAUAGAUCAUUUAUAACCCUGCAGGGGUGUACUUCUUCACACACGCUCUCGCCACUUACCACCAUGUACACGCCGUGUAUCUCGGCAACCUUCAAGCGGAAGCCUGGCAAGGGAGUCGACCACGACCUGAUUAACCACACAAGUCUCUAGUCCAGGUUUAUCGCCUAUUCGGGUUCCAUCCGCAAUGAGAUCCGGCCGGGGUUUCGCUCACGGCCCCAAACGAUGAGAGCAGGGUUCUCGAGGCACCAAACGGGCAUCUCGGUACACCGUGCCUCAUGUCUCUACCGCAUCAUAGCCCACCCCUAGGGUCAGUGCUACGCACGGCCCCCAACACAUAUCCUACAAACACCAGAAACUAGCUGCAACUCCUGGACAGAUAUCAAGGCGAUUAAUAAGCCGAGAGGGGUCGAGUUACCGGAACCCAAUGUGUGGUAGUAAUUGUUCAUGGAUCACAAACACAAAACUCAGUUCCUGAGGACGGUUUCAAUGAGACAAUCCACCGUGUACUCCUACAUGGCCUCUCAUCGCUACCUUUACCAAAUUGUGUUCACACACUUAGCUCUCAACAAUAAGACAUGUUCACCACCUUCUAAUUCAUCCCCGAUGAAUCAGACCUGACUCAACUCUAAGCAAUAGCAGGCAUGAUAACAAGCAUGAAUGAGUAGGCACAUCAGGGCUCAAACAACUCCUACUCAUGCUAGUGGGUUCCAUCUAUUUACUAUGGCAAUGACAAGUCAUGCAGAGGAAAGGGGUUCAACUACCACAGCAUGUAACCAUUGAAACAUUGUUGUCCUAAUGUAGUAAAAGAGAGCAAGAGCGAGAGAGUGGGGUUGUAUAGGAAUGAACAAGGGGGUUUUGCUUGCCUGGCACUUCUGAAGAUAGUAUAGUUUUUCAACGGUGUCAUCGAUCUCAUCGCCGGAACCACGUCUACUGAGAGGGGACAAAUACCGACAAACAAGAGGGAGCACAAUCAAUGCAAUGCAACAAUAUGAUGCAUGAUUAUGACAUGGCAAUAUGCUGUGAUUUGAGCUAAUGCAACUAGUAACAGAAGGGUUUGGGUUGAUUUGAACCAAAGGUUCAAAUUCAAACUAUGAAUUUCCAAAGUGCAUUAACAUGUUUUGAUCUAUACAUCAAGGUUAAGUUGCUUUAUCAUGCAUGAAACUUGUACCAAUGGAUAGAUUGGAUUUUUCUGAUAAUUUUUCAUAUAUAACUCUUUUCAUUCUGAGUUAUAGAUUAUUGUCUAUGAUUUUCUGAAGUUUAUAACAUUUUUUGGAAUUUCCUGGAUUCAUAAAAAUGCUAGAAAACAUUUACUGCGUCAGCAUGAUGACAGCACUGCGUCAGCAGGUCAACCGGGUUGACCCAGGUCAAACCUAACACUGACUGGGGUUUGACCUAGCGUUUGGGCCCACUGUCGGUGGCUGUGAGGUAGCUAAUUAGGGGGGGUUUAGUCGUAAUGACCGUGCCACGUCGGCUAUCGCCGGAGUUCGGCCAGCGGUGACCAAAUCCGCGGCGGCAACUCACUAGACCUACACUACAGGCGGCAGAUGGAUGUGCGGAGACCACCAGGACGAAGCCUAGGCUCGGCCGCAUCCAGGGGAGGCGACAGAAUGACACAGGGUGGUCGAAGCUCGCUGGAAUGGGGCUCGUGGCGGCGCCGGAGUUCGGGUGAUUACGGGGUUGGUGCUGCGGUGCACGGGAGGGCGAGUGAGUGUGUGCGCUAGGCUCCUGUGGGCUUCCUGAGCACGGUGACGCGCUCUGUGGUGAGCUUGUGCAGCUGUGGCCACGGCUAUGCAAUGGCCGGCGAUGAGAAGCUCUUAGCCGCGGUGGGAAAUGGAGCUAGGGGACGACCGCAAGCACGAGAUAAGAGGGGAAAGGAAGAGGGGCUCACGGCGAGUGCAGAGGGCGUCGAAACGGGCUCGAGGAAGGGUUGGAGAAGGUGGGGCGGCAAAGUCAAUCUUGUCGUCAGGAGGUUGAAGACGAGCUCGGUGAGGACAUUUGGGGGCUUCCGGCGGGGCGGGGCUCGCUGAGGGGGCCGAGGACGAAGUGGCGGAGCUUCUAGGCUGCUCGAGGGAACGAGUGAGAGGUGAUGGCCGCGGUGGUGCUCGUCGGUGUGGCCAUGGCGGCUUCGGCCAUGAGGGAGAGCGAGGGAGCGAGAGGGAGAGAGAACCAGAGAGUGAGGGGAGGUCCGUGGCCGUCUCCGUGGCACUGGGAAAGAGCCUCGGGGGCGUGAGGCAGGCAGGGAGGAGGUGGCAACCUCAGCGCGCGCCAUGCCCGCCUUCGCCUCUGCCUACUGGCAGAGGUUGAGGACGACUGGCACUUGCCAAGUGGGCAGGCCGACUGGAGGAGCUAGGCCAGGUAAGUUCUCUCUCUUCUCUCUGUUUUCUCUUUUGUUUUUGUUUUCUAAUAUUUCAAUCUGUUUUGAAUUUGGCUUUCAAACCAAACCAAAAUUUCUGCUUCGGAAAAUUAUUGUGGGAGCUAAAUGGAUUAUUCUGGAGACCCACCAAAAUAUUUCAGAAUUAUUGGAGCUAAAAAUAUAAUUAUAGGAAUUUAUAACUCCAAAGCAAAUACUUAUUGGAUUAAUCCAGAGACCAUAAAUGCCAUAGAAAAAUGUGAAUUAUCAUUGGUUAAGGUUUUCACCCUUUUCCAUAAAUAAUGAACAUUUUUGAAGGGCAUUUUCGGUCCAUUGAAAAUAUUUUAGGUUAAACCUAGUUGAUUUGAUCUGGUGCUAGGGUUUGAACAAUCCCCAUUUCAACUUUCAAAGAAAUUUAGACAUGAUGCAUGGAUGCUUGUGCAACUAUUUGCAAUCAAAUUCUAGGGCUGUGACAACUCACCCCCACUAAACAAGAAUCUCGUCCCGAGAUUCAAGACGUGAGGUAAGAAGACAGAGGGGACACAAAGCUAACACAAUCUUCAUGAUCCAAUUACCCUCAUCAAGAUGUUGAUUCAUUGAUUCAAAUUAAUCUUGACGUGUUUGCAUUCGAGAUCUUCAUCCAACACGAUGACGACAGAAGGAAACUCUACAAGAAUCGACCUUCUUGAAGAUCGAGCAACUUAAAAUCAACUCAUGAAAUGAGACAUGGAAACAUCUCUUGAUCUAGGACACAAAAUAUACAUCAAGAGGGAUGGAUAGUAACAGAUGAUGGAAGUUUCAUCUAGUAGGCAACAAUUCUACGCUUAAAAGAAUGGUGCACGGGGUCAAGGUAGCGAGGAGAUAAUUGCCAUUACUCCAUAACGGAACACCUUGGGGGAGGUGACUCGUAGAAAUAUUCCCUUGAGUGGCAAAAGAAUUACUUUUGAUAUAGAAAUCACUGAAACUCUCUAAACCAGCCCAAGGAAAAUCACAAACUAUCAUUUGAAGGAGUUUGGAGAAAUGGCAUACUCAGUUUGGAAAGGAACUAGAGUUAUAAGACAACUCAGCAAGUGGAAAGCACAUUCCAGAUGAUGCCGAGGAUAUAACCCAAUGACUGAGCGUGCUCUCAAGAACUUGAGCAUUUCCUUACUCAUCAAGGUAUUACCAACAUCCGUGUCGAGGAUCCUGGCAACACAUCAUACUACCAUGAUGAAUAGUGAUGGACGAUGCAGAUGCAGAGGAAGACAACACUUUCUCAGAUUUGUCCUUAGCAAUGCCAAGGAACAAAAUCUGGAUGAUCGACCGAGAGACAUUUAGCACUCCGCUUCUAAUGUUCGCCUUGAUGUACUAGAUAUCACGAUCAUGCUUAAAAGCAUUAACAUGGCCAUCAAGUAUAGGUCAGACUUCAGAAGCAUUAAAUCCAUAAGGAACAACUUCUAGAAUAAGUAGCACGAAAUCCUCAUGGAGAAGAUGGUUAAAUGGCUCAAUCAAAAUACUAGAAUGAUAGAUCUUCCGGCUAGGUGCGUGCACUUCACCGGAACCUAUAUCAUAGUUCUUGGAAGAAGUUCCAACCAUCAUAUCUGCCUGAGAUUCAGAUCUGGUUGGUAACAGGAUAAUUCAGACAACAUGUCUGGAAAAGAAAGUUUGCAACACAAACCAACGAGAUGACGUAGCGAGAUUAUCGGGAAAUGGACUAUGGUAGUAAGCUCCAAAACAUGAGCUGGUUCUGCUACAUACAUGUGAACACAUUGUCCAAGACAAGCAUGAUCACAUAGAAGUCUUACAACAAAACACCAUCGAGUUUUGAUUGGGAACCAUCAACAAGGAUAUCGAAGUCCUUACAUAAGUCCGGAUUAGCUCUUAAGAAGGAACUUCUUCUCCUUGAACAAUUCAAUCAGUGACUUGGUGUGCUAGGGAAUACAUAUAGAAUGGAUGUAAUUAAUCUACCGAACCAUAGAAUACUUCACACAUGCAUGACUGACUUGGGAUGAUCCCAAAGAAAUCAAAACAAACUUUCUCGAAUCCACGACGGCAACUUGCAUCAAAUGCACAUGAACCAGAGGAAGUUACUCCUUUCAUCCAAACAUAUCCUUCAUGAAUGGAACACGAAGGCAUUGCUUACAAAGUAUCCAACACUAGCUUAAUGUUCAACACGAAUCAUGGACAAGAUAAAAUUCUGCUGAUGGGCUCAACAACAAGUCAUCAAGAUUCCCAUAAAGGUGGAAUUCCGCAACUAUGUGAACAAGGCGAUAGUAUUGGUCAGACCCAAAAGAUAUAAUGGUGCAUGCUCGAGGGGUCAACCAAGAGUAAGACAACAUUAUGCAUAUCGUUGGUUCUGAGUUGAUUUGAGAAUAACCCACACUCAAAUCAAAAUUUGGACAAGACAAUAGAUCCAACAUUUGGUCGCGGAGAUCAAUCGCUAAAGAUACCAUCUUUCUUCAACACAUGUAUACAAAGAUAUAUCGCUUUGGAAUGAACUAAGUCGGAUAAAGCAUUUAUCUUCCAACUCUCCAUGUUGUUGUUUAGCUUAACCAACUAGCUCAGGGAUAUCCAACACAAAAUCUUGGAGAAGGGGUGGUUUACAAGAAACAAACUUGAUCACGAGCUCAACAUAGCGGUCAGGGGAUAGCCUGAUAAUACUUCCGAGAAGAUAUUUGGAAAAUCACGAACCACUGAUAUGUUAUGUAAGCUCAGUAACAAUCUUGCUUUUCAGGGCAAGACGAUAUGAUCAAAAGAGUGAGGGAUUGACACAAUCCUAGCUCAUUGAUCGAAGAGUGCACCAGAAAUAAGGACUAGGUAGCACGAUCAAUCUUAGAAUGAUAAUUCAAUAACCAACACACUAAGAAAGAGAGUAUUGUCCUUUAACUACCAAGGAACACGGUUGCUAGGAGUAUUGAUUUCACACAUCACAUUUCAAUUGUCGGCAUUCCGGUUGCAACAACACGGAGACUGAGGAAUGAAGAAGAUGGCGAGAAGUAUCACUUCGUCAAGAAUUCAUAAAAUGUAUUCCUAUGAUAUGUUCGACAUAAGGGGGGUAAUACUCAAGGGUAGAACAGAACAAAAGAUGGAUUGACAUUUUGAUCUGCGGGAUACAACUUCUUUGACCCAUUAAUGUAUAUGGAUGAGGCAGUGGAGUUUUGUUUCUCCUAGUCAUUUUGGAAUAGAAUGGCUUGACGGACCAUAAGAAUAAUAGGCAUCGAUGAAUGAAUGCACGCAUACUCUUGACUAUCUAUUGAUAGACGAAGGUCAAAAGACAACUAAAGAGGGACAACGCAAAGGAACGUAUGGUUUUCUGAGUUGUGGGUGCAUAGAUUAGCAUGUCGAAUGAGUUCAACAUAUUUCUUUCGGAUAACCCAUGCAGAUAGGUAGAACUGGCAGAGUCACAAUAUAGAAUGUGGAACUCAUCGAGAGCACUCUUGUUGAGAUCUUUUGGUUCAAGAACUUCCGCCAUAAGCAGUUCAUGGUAUUUGGAAGAAAGAAAUACCAUAGACCUUGAGGACUAUCACAAAGGUUACUAAUAUCCUAAGGAACUAGCAACACUAUCAACAUGAAUGAGUAGUGUCGGAUUUCGUGUUCCGGCAGACCCUUGAGGUUCGAACACUGGGGUGCGCGCAGAGAUUUCGCCUCCUACCUACCUGCGCCCCUCCGCCUCGCUAAGGUUUAAGCUAUGGAAAGAAUAACACGAGGGACAUGAGGUUUAUACUGGUUCGGGCCACCGUUGUGGUGUAAUACCCUACUCCAGUGUGUGGCGUGGUGGAUUGCCUCUUGGGCUGAUGAUGAUGAACAGUACAAGGAAGAACAGCCUCGCGAGGGUCUGUUCUUGGCUGGGGCGAUGAACUGCUGGGAGGAGUUCAGCCACCUUUCUCUCUCUCUGAUCCCUUUAUCCUUCGAUUGAUCGAUCGAUCGAUCGAUUCCCUUCUCUUUGGGUGGCUGGUCCUAUUUAUAGAGGCCCUGGUCCUCUUCCCAAAUAUCGAGCGGGAAGGGAGCCAACAAUGGCGGGCUAAUUUGAAAGGGGACAGCUAGUACCAGCUAUCCUGACAAAAGUAGUCUUCGCCUGCACAAAGCUCUGGUGGUGACGCCGUCUUGGGCUCCACGAUGACCUCCGUCUUGCAGUCCUUCCGGUCUUGGUCUUCUUGCACGGAAAUGACAACCUUUGCCUGAUGCCUCGGUACUCCGCGGCUGCGCUUGCCCCCUUUGCACCAAAGAGGAAAGGAGGACACUGCGCGGGCUGGCACCCGCCUGGCGCCCUUGGUCGUCAUGGCUUGCGUCACCGGCACCUCGUGAGGUACCCCGCCUUGGUCUCUCCGCCUCCUCAUGAGCCAGCCUGACGAGGCCAUGCAUGAGGAAGCUCCGCGUCGUCUGCCCCGCGAGGCUUGGCCCCUUGCGAGGGUCUUGGGUUUGUGUUGGUGAAGAUGGGCCGCGCUGGGCCCCCCUUUGAGCCACGCUGCAGGCCGCAGGCAGGCAAGUCUGGGGACCCCCGUUCCCAGAAUGCUGACAGUAGCCCCCGGGCGCAAGGCGCGCCCGGACUUGGCCGUGCAGGGAGGCGGAAGGGCAAGAGCGAAGCGCCGCGGGCCGUAACAGCCUGCGGCCUUGGGCGCCGCGUGGCGGUUGAUUGGAAGUGGGCGGCACUGUUCCCCCACGCCCUCCUUAUUUUGCGCCAUGCUAGGCAGACCCGUAUUCGUACACAGCCGUUCCCCUUUCUGUUGCUUGAGCGCCCUCUGUCCUCCGCUCGAACUCUGGUUUCUGUUUUCAACCCAAUCUUGAACCUCCCCCUUCCCAUCGCCAUGGCUCCGACGAAGAAGGGAAGAGGGAAGAAACCCGUGUCUCCGCCUUGCCCGCCGCCGUUGGCGGCCCUCACCGAGGGCUUGGGCAAGGUCAGCUCGGCUCUGGCCACCAUCUUCAAUGAAUGCGGGAGGACGAUGGCCUGGCCCACGUCCCACUUCUCCAUCGACAGGAUAGUCACCGAGGUCCCGUAUUUUGCCGACGCCCUAUGGGCGGGUCUGGUUCCUCCCUUUUCUGAUUUCUUCAAUGCCGUGCUUUCCCACUAUCAGAUCCACAUGAUGCAUCUGGGUCCUGAAUCCAUCACUCUCCUUUCGGUCUUCGCCUUUGUUUGCGAGGCUAUGAUGGGCAUCCUUCCUUCGGUUGCCUUGCUGCGCCACUUCUUCUCGCUGCGCCUUGUUGACCCUACCCAAUGCUGGGCGUGUGUGAGAUUUGUUGCCGCAUCUGAGACAAUGGCCUCUGGGAUUGACUUCAAGCUCCCUCCGCCCGUGGCUGGGCUCCGCGAGCGGUGGCUGUAUGUGGAUGCUGGGGUGCCCAGCCCCCUGCUGUCGGAGCCAACUUCGCCUGCUGUCCCCAAUUCGGGCUGGGGCCAGGAGACGCUUGAGAGCCCCCGGCUCGUCUUUGUUUGGCACCGCUUCGCGUUCUUGAGGUCGCUUGGCGUGACAGCGCCCAAGGUGGUGAAGGAAUUCCUGCUACGCCGCAUUGCUCCUCUCCAACACCACUCCCGCCGGAUGUGGGCCUUCAGCGGGCGCGAUGAUCAUAUGAGGCUCCAGGAAGAGGACCUGACGCCUGAAGUGCUGAGGACGGCGCUCUUGACCCUGACGGGGGACCCCAACCCUGGCAGCAUCCAGCAGGGAGGGGCCUUGCUGUACCUCUGUCAGAGCGGGGGCGAUUUUGUGAGGCAGAUGCCUAUCUUUGAUGAGUGGGGGCCAUGCCCCGCCGGCCUCCAGGGUGUCAGGACCCCGACUCAAUGCCACAUCGAUCUAGCAUGUAACACCUCAUAUCACUUUGCGGCCUCACGCACGGUAUUCCACGGGUGUCGCCUUACCUUAGCCCGGGACCGUUUGCGCCUUUUGGCACACGUAUAUGACAGUGUGGCUAGCAUCCAUAUGAUAAAGAGCCCGGGCUGACAUGGCUAGUCGUAAACCCAAAGUGGCACAGACUUACAGGGACAGGCAUCCAUGACCCAGCAUCGAACGUGUCGGUCAUCAGCGAGUGAAACCAGGCUGUAGCACUGGGCUAGCAGGACUCCGGUGAACCGGGCUGUAGUGGGCUAACAGGACUCCGGUAUUCAUCGCGUGACAUUUCCCCGAAGGGACAGACACAGGAACGAAGAAGGACACAUGUCGGCCAGCCUAAGUGUUCCGGAGCAGUAGCAAGCUACCAUGGCUCGGUGGAAACACUAGGAGACAUUUCCCCGUAAGAGAGGCUACUAAAGAUAAACAACUAGAUGGUCAGAUCCACACAUACCAAGCAUUUCAAUAACAUACACACAAUAUGCUCGAUAUGUGCAAUACAACAUGGCAUCACAAAAUGACUCUACGACUCAAGUAGUUUAUUCAAUAGGCUCCAAGGAGCGAGAUAUUACAAACAUGGGUCUCAUGACCCAACACUCAGAGCAUACAAGUCAAAGCACAAGCGGAAGCUAUCAUGUCUGAGUACAGACAACUAUAAAUGAAAAAGGCUGAGAAGCCUGACUAUCUAUUAGAUCCUGCCGAGGGCACAAGAUCGUAGCUGAGGUAACAAGCUAAACGUCGAAGACCACGCGGUAAUACUAGUGAGACUGAAGUCUCUCUGCAAAAACAUAAAAUAGGCAAACAUGAGUACAAAUGUACCCAGCAAGACUUACAUCAGAACUAACUACAUAUGCAUCAUUAUCAACAAAGGGGUGGUGGGGUUUAACUGCAGCAAGCCAGCUUUGACUCGGUGGCUAUCCUGAACUACGACUGCAAGUAACUCUUUUGAGGUGGCGCACACGAGUCCACAUAUUCACCAUAUCAAUACACCACUAUGGAUCCGCUCCCGUCUCCCUACGAGAACGUCAUCCAUAGCACUCACGCUUAUCUUGCGUAUUUUAGAGUAUCCACUUUCACUUGUCUAUGAACUGAUAUAAGCAACCCAGAAGUCCUUUUCCACGGACACGGCUAUUCGAAUAGAUGAUAUUAACCCUGCAGGGGUGUACUUCUUCAUACAUGUUUCCACCACUUAGCGUCUGCACACGACAUGUGCUCGGCAGACUUCAAGCGAAAGCCGACGUGGGUGUAGACCACGACCUACCUAAACACUCAAGUCUCUAGUCCAGGUUUAUCGCCUAUUCGGGUUCCAUCCAUGAGGAGAUCCGGCCGGAGUUUCGCUCACAGCCCCAAACGAUGUGAACAGGGUUCCGUGACACCAAACGGGCGCNNNNNNNNNNNNNNNNNNNNNNNNNNNNNNNNNNNNNNNNNNNNNNNNNNNNNNNNNNNNNNNNNNNNNNNNNNNNNNNNNNNNNNNNNNNNNNNNNNNNNNNNNNNNNNNNNNNNNNNNNNNNNNNNNNNNNNNNNNNNNNNNNNNNNNNNNNNNNNNNNNNNNNNNNNNNNNNNNNNNNNNNNNNNNNNNNNNNNNNNNNNNNNNNNNNNNNNNNNNNNNNNNNNNNNNNNNNNNNNNNNNNNNNNNNNNNNNNNNNNNNNNNNNNNNNNNNNNNNNNNNNNNNNNNNNNNNNNNNNNNNNNNNNNNNNNNNNNNNNNNNNNNNNNNNNNNNNNNNNNNNNNNNNNNNNNNNNNNNNNNNNNNNNNNNNNNNNNNNNNNNNNNNNNNNNNNNNNNNNNNNNNNNNNNNNNNNNNNNNNNNNNNNNNNNNNNNNNNNNNNNNNNNNNNNNNNNNNNNNNNNNNNNNNNNNNNNNNNNNNNNNNNNNNNNNNNNNNNNNNNNNNNNNNNNNNNNNNNNNNNNNNNNNNNNNNNNNNNNNNNNNNNNNNNNNNNNNNNNNNNNNNNNNNNNNNNNNNNNNNNNNNNNNNNNNNNNNNNNNNNNNNNNNNNNNNNNNNNNNNNNNNNNNNNNNNNNNNNNNNNNNNNNNNNNNNNNNNNNNNNNNNNNNNNNNNNNNNNNNNNNNNNNNNNNNNNNNNNNNNNNNNNNNNNNNNNNNNNNNNNNNNNNNNNNNNNNNNNNNNNNNNNNNNNNNNNNNNNNNNNNNNNNNNNNNNNNNNNNNNNNNNNNNNNNNNNNNNNNNNNNNNNNNNNNNNNNNNNNNNNNNNNNNNNNNNNNNNNNNNNNNNNNNNNNNNNNNNNNNNNNNNNNNNNNNNNNNNNNNNNNNNNNNNNNNNNNNNNNNNNNNNNNNNNNNNNNNNNNNNNNNNNNNNNNNNNNNNNNNNNNNNNNNNNNNNNNNNNNNNNNNNNNNNNNNNNNNNNNNNNNNNNNNNNNNNNNNNNNNNNNNNNNNNNNNNNNNNNNNNNNNNNNNNNNNNNNNNNNNNNNNNNNNNNNNNNNNNNNNNNNNNNNNNNNNNNNNNNNNNNNNNNNNNNNNNNNNNNNNNNNNNNNNNNNNNNNNNNNNNNNNNNNNNNNNNNNNNNNNNNNNNNNNNNNNNNNNNNNNNNNNNNNNNNNNNNNNNNNNNNNNNNNNNNNNNNNNNNNNNNNNNNNNNNNNNNNNNNNNNNNNNNNNNNNNNNNNNNNNNNNNNNNNNNNNNNNNNNNNNNNNNNNNNNNNNNNNNNNNNNNNNNNNNNNNNNNNNNNNNNNNNNNNNNNNNNNNNNNNNNNNNNNNNNNNNNNNNNNNNNNNNNNNNNNNNNNNNNNNNNNNNNNNNNNNNNNNNNNNNNNNNNNNNNNNNNNNNNNNNNNNNNNNNNNNNNNNNNNNNNNNNNNNNNNNNNNNNNNNNNNNNNNNNNNNNNNNNNNNNNNNNNNNNNNNNNNNNNNNNNNNNNNNNNNNNNNNNNNNNNNNNNNNNNNNNNNNNNNNNNNNNNNNNNNNNNNNNNNNNNNNNNNNNNNNNNNNNNNNNNNNNNNNNNNNNNNNNNNNNNNNNNNNNNNNNNNNNNNNNNNNNNNNNNNNNNNNNNNNNNNNNNNNNNNNNNNNNNNNNNNNNNNNNNNNNNNNNNNNNNNNNNNNNNNNNNNNNNNNNNNNNNNNNNNNNNNNNNNNNNNNCGGGGAGGCUGCCACGGCGAAGCAGGAGGUGGCCGGCGUCGGCGCGCGUGCGUCCAGCACGCAGCUGCUUCGUGCGCUGGCACGGGAAGAAGACAGGAGAAGGGGGCCAGGUGGACUGGGCCGCUGGGGGAGCUGGGCCGGGCAGGUAAGCAGGUAAGUGGCCCAGGUGGCCUCUCUCCCCUUUUUUUCUAUUUUGUUUCUCUUUUCUAUUUCUGUAGUUUUGUUUCUGAUUUAGUUUAUAGCCCAAAUCAUUUUAAUAAAUCCUGCAAAUAAUUGUGGCCAUUAAAAGAAUUAUUACAGAGGCCCUUAACUAUUUUCAGAAUUGUUGGAGCAUUUAAAAAUAUUAAUAGUAUUUAAAUGCCCCAAUUCAAAUACAAUAUGGAUUAUUCAAAAAUCCAUAAUGGCCCAAAAAUAUUGGCAUCAUUUUUGGUAGAGGUUUUUCACCUUUGUCAAAAAUCAUGAACAUUUUUGAAAGCCAUUUGGACUUACUUGAAAGUAUUUUAGGUGAACCUAGUGAAUUCCUUUAAUGCUAGGGUUUGAGCAAUCCCCAUUUCAAAUUUCAUAAAAUUUAAACAUGUUGCAUGGAUGCUAAAGCAAAAACAAACAAGGGCUGAUCUGGGGCUGUGACAGCUCACCCCCACUAACAAAAAUCUCGUCCCGAGAUUCAAGCGUAGGGUAAGGUGAAGGGGAAACGCAAACUAGUAUAAUCUUCAUGAUCCAGGGUGCACUUCAAAUGAACGUUGAUUUGAACACCAUCAUUGUCUUGUCGUCUUGCUCUGAGAACUUCAGCUAAUCAUGACAAGAAGAGGAAAGGAAAACUCUAGAACAAUCGAUCUUCGAGAAGACCGAACAACUUAGGAUCAACUCAUGGGAUGAGAUAUAGCAACAUCUCUUGAGCUGAGAGACGAAGCACAGAUCCGAAGAAAUGGAGUAAGACAAAUGACGAGGGUUCGCUAAGUAGACAACAAUUCCAGACUUAAGAAUGUGGCGAUCGGUUGUCAACGUAGCGAGGAGUUGGAUUGCCAUGAUACCACAACGAGGCAUCUUAGGGAUGGUGACUCGUAGAUAUAUCCCCUUAAGUGGCAAAAAGAAUUACCUUUGAUUCAGAGAUCAUUGAAAUUCUUUAUACCAGCCUAAGGCAAUUCACAAUCGAUCAUUUGAAGGAGUUCGAAAGAGUGACAUUCUCGGGCCAGAAUGGAUGAUGUGGAUUACCUUGUUGAAAACAACACAAGGGAUGAUUUUAGUAACUAGGGAGAAACUCAACAGUAGUGAGUGAGUCCACUGUUUGAAAAGCUAUAGCAUAACCGAGGAAACUGAGAGCAAUCCUAGUUAGUGCCGAUGAUAACACCUAGCGCUUGUGUGUGCUCUCAAGAACUUGAGCAUUUCCAUAUUCAUCAAGGUUUUACCAAUAUCCGUGUCAAGGAUCCUAGUAAUACAACAUACUACCAUGAUGAAUGGUGAUGGAUGAUGCAGAUGCAACGGAAGAUAGCACUUUCUCAGAUUUCACCUUAGCGAGACCAAGGGGACAAAAUCUGGAUGAUCGACCGAGAGACAAUUAGCACUCCGCUUCUAAUGUUCUCCAUGAUGUACUAGCGUAUCCCAUUCAUAGAUAUGGUUUGAUAUCUAGAACAUCAAGUAAAGGUCGGACUUUGGAAACACAAAAAUCCAUAAGGGACAACUAGGGGGUGAAUCCUACGAAAUCCCUAUGGGGAGGUGGCCAACUUCUUUAAUCAAGAUACUACAAUAAUAGGUCUCUCGGCUGGGUGGUGCUGGCCACGACAUCCACUUUACCGAUUAUCGAGGGACCAAUAUUAUAAUUCUUGGGAAAUGUUCCAACCAUCACAUCUGCCUGAGAUUCAGAUCUGGUUGGUGUCAGGAUAUCCCAGACUCAUCAAGUCUAGAAAGAAAAAUUAAAGUUUGCACUCGACGAGAUGACGUUGCGGGAUUCUCGGGAGAUGAACUACGAUAGCAAGCUCCAAAACAUGAGCUGGUUCUGCUACAAACAUGUGAACAUGUUGUCCAAGACAAGCAUGACCACAAGGUAGUCUUAUAAUAAAACACUACCGAGUUCAGGAGGGGAAACCAUCAUUAAUGACAUCGAAGUCUCCACGCGUGGAAGUCCAAAGAGUUCACCUUGGACAGACUCCUUUAUCUUUGAACAACUCAAUCAGUGGCUUGGUGUGCUCGGAACACAUAUGGAAUGAAGGUUGCAAGUCUCCAGACCACAGAAUACUUCGCACGUGUGCAUGACUGAUUUGGGAUGAUUCCAAGGAAACAAAACUAGCUUUCUCAAAUUCACGGCGGCAACUUUCACCAAAUGCACGUGUAUAAGAGGAAGUCACUCCUUUCAUCAAACAAAUACUUCAUGAGCUAGCAUGAAGGAAAUGCUUCAAAAGUUUCCAACACUAGCUUAAUGUUCAGCAAAAUUAUGGAGAUAAGGAUGUUGUCAAUGGGCUCAACAACAAUUCAUCUAGGUUUCCUUUUAAAAGGAAUUCCAUAGUUAAGUGAACACGGUGAUAGCAUUGGUCAGACCCAAAAGAUAUAAUGGUGUAUGCUCGAGGGAUCAACCACGAGUAAGACAACAUUACGAAUAUCGUUGGUUCUGAUUUGAUUUGACAAUAGCCCAUACUCAAAUCAAAGUUUUUAUAAGAUAAUAGGUCCAACAACUGAUCACAGGGACCAAUCGAUGAAGAUAUCAUCUUUCUUCAACUAACACACCAACACUAGGAUAUCCCUUUGAAAUGAACUAGGUUAGGUAAGCUUUUAUCUUCUAACUCUCCAAGUUGUCGUUUAGCUUAACCAACUAGCUCAGGGGUAUCCAACACGGAUUCUUGGAGAAGGGGUGGUUUACAAGAAACCAACUUGAUCACGAGCUCAACAUAGCGGUCAGAUGACAACCUGGUAAUACUUCCGAGAAGAUAUACGGAAAAUCACGAACCACCGACAUGUCACUAAGCUCGAGAACAAUCUUGCUUUUUAGGGCAAGAUGAUAUGGUGAAAUAAGCAAGGAAUUGGAUAAUCCUAACUCAUUGAUUGAAGAGUGCACCAGGAAAUAUGGACUAGGUAGCACGAUCAAUCUUAGGAUGAUGAUUCAAUAACCAACACGCUAAGAAUGAAAUUGUUGUCCAUUAGCUACCCAACAACAAAGUUGCCAGGAGUAUUGAUUUCACACAUCAUAGUUCACCUGUCAGCAUUCCGGUUACAAUAACACGGAAACCGAGGAAUGAACAAUGAUGGCAAGAGGUAUUACUGUAUCAAGAGUUCAUAGGAUGGUGUGCAAUUCCCAUGACAUUCUUGAUAUAAAGAUGGUAAUACUCCAAGGUAGAACAGAGCAAAAGCUAGAUUAGCAAUUUGAUCUGCAGAGUACAACUGCUUUGACCCAAUCCUAGAAAUGGACAAGGCACUGGAGUUUGUUUCUCCUAAUCAUUCUGGAAUAGAAUGGCUUGACGAACCACAGAAGUAAAAGGCAUCGAUGAACACGAAUGCACAACUACUCCUGACUAUCAAUCGAUAGACGAGGGUCAGAAUACAACUAAAGAGGGACAACCCAAAAGAACAUAUAAUUUUCUGAGUUGUAGAUGCAUAGAUUAGUAUGUCGAACCAAGUUCAACAUGUUUCUUCCGGAUAACCCAUGCAGAAAGGUAGAACUGGCAGAGUCACGAUAUAGCAAGGAGAACUCAUCGAGAGCACUCCCGUUGUGAUCCUUUGAUCCAACAAACUUCUGCCAUAAAAGGUUCACGGUAUUUGGAAGAAGGAAAUACCACAGACCUCGAGGACUAUCGUAAGGUUACUAAUAACCUAAAGGAACUAGCAACACUAUCAACACGAGGUAAGUAGAGUGAAUCUUGGGUCAAGAACCCAGGAGUAGAAUACCUACUACUAAAUGGCAUCACGGGAUGCUUUCAAGAGUGAAGGCCAGAGUCAUCACACUGAGAUACAAUCAUGGCUAGAUUACUCGAUGAUCCCCUAAGACACCUAGGGUCAUAAUAAUAAUUCCAACAUAUAUACCGAGGCAGCAGGGUACCCCAACACUCUAAUUUGUGUGAUUAAUCUAGCCCAAAUGAACAUCAAAGUGGGAGGAAGGGAUUUGCAAAUGCUUCAGAUUGUUUUAGAAACCUGAGAUGACUCGGACAGCAUAACGGCUGUAAAUGCUCAGAAAAGAUUUGAGACAUUCACAAAAAUGGUGGCAUAACCACUCAGAAGCACAAUAUCAAGGUUCCGAGAUCAACAAUUAACAUACGGAAGUAGUAGGAACUGAACUGAGACUUAAAUCCAAUAAUCUUAUAAGUCUACUGAUUAGUAACACGUGAUCCUAAUAGAAAGAAGAGAUAGCCUAGUUCUUAAUCCCCGCAGGAAAGAUAAGAUGACUCAGAUCAGAAGGCAUAAGGUAUAAGGAAUAAAAAGAGCCUUACGUUCCAUCCCACAAUCAAUUCCCUUAUAUAACUAAGAAUUUCUAGACUCAACUUCGACCAGUUUGGCUUGGUAAUCCUACAGGCAGUCAAGCUCUGAUACCAACGCUGUCAGGACCCCGACUCAAUGCCACAUCGAUCUAGCAUGUAACACCUCAUAUCACUUUGCGGCCUCACGCACGGUAUUCCACGGGUGUCGCCUUACCUUAGCCCGGGACCGUUUGCGCCUUUUGGCACACGUAUAUGACAGUGUCGCUAGCAUCCAUAUGAUAAAGAGCCCGGGCUGACAUGGCUAGUCGUAAACCCAAAGUGGCACAGACUUACAGGGACAGGCAUCCAUGACCCAGCAUCGAACGUGUCGGUCAUCAGCGAGUGAAUCCAGGCUGUAGCACUGGGCUAGCAGGACUCCGGUGAACCGGGCUGUAGCGGGCUAACAGGACUCCGGUAUUCACCGCGUGACAUUUCCCCGAAGGGACAGACACAGGAACGAAGAAGGACACAUGCCGGCCAGCCUAAGUGUUCCGGAGCAGUAGCAAGCUACCAUGGCUUGGUGGAAACACUAGGAGACAUUUCCCCGUAAGAGAGGCUACUAAAGAUAAACAACUAGAUGGUCAGAUCCCACACAUACCAAGCAUUUCAAUAACAUACACACAAUAUGCUCGAUAUGUGCAAAUACAACAUGGCAUCACAACAUGACUCUAUGACUCAAGUAAUCUAUUCAAUAGGCUCCGAGGAGCGAGAUAUUACAAACAUGGGUCUCAUGACCCAACACUCAGAGCAUACAAGUCAAAGCACAAGCGGAAGCUAUCAUGUCUGAGUACAGACAACUAUAAAUGAAAAAGGCUGAGAAGCCUGACUAUCUAUCAGAUCCUGCCGAGGGCACAAGAUCGUAGCUGAGGUAACAAGCUAAACGUCGAAGACCACGCGGUAAUACUAGUGAGACUGAAGUCUCUCUGCAAAAACAUAAAAUAGGCAAACGUGAGUACAAAUGUACCCAGCAAGACUUACAUCAGAACUAACUACAUAUGCAUCAUUAUCAACAAAGGGGUGGUGGGGUUUAACUGCAGCAAGCCAGCUUUGACUCGGUGGCUAUCCUGAACUACGACUGCAAGUAACUCUUUUGAGGUGGCGCACACGAGUCCACAUAUUCACCAUAUCAAUACACCACUAUGGAUCUGCUCCCGUCUCCCUACGAGAACGUCAUCCACAGCACUCACGCUUAUCUUGCGUAUUUUAGAGUAUCCACUUUCACUUGUCUAUGAACUGAUAUAAGCAACCCAGAAGUCCUUUUCCGCGGACACGGCUAUUCGAAUAGAUGAUAUUAACCCUGCAGGGGUGUACUUCUUCAUACAUGUUUCCACCACUUAGCGUCUGCACACGACAUGUGCUCGGCAGACUUCAAGCGAAAGCCGACGUGGGUGUAGACCACGACCUACCUAAACACUCAAGUCUCUAGUCCAGGUUUAUCGCCUAUUCGGGUUCCAUCCAUGAGGAGAUCCGGCCGGAGUUUCACUCACAGCCCCAAACGAUGUGAACAGGGUUCCGUGACACCAAACGGGCGCCCGGUCUACCCGGCCACGUGCCUACCGCAUCACAGCCCACCCCUACGGUCAGCGCUGUCCACGGCCUCCAGCAUACUACAAACACCAGAAACUACUUGCAACUCCUGGACAGAGGACAAGGGUGAAUAAGAAGUCGAGCGGGGUCAUAUUUCAGGGCCCAAUGUAUGGUAGUAGCUGAAUCAUGGAUCACAAACACAGAACUCAGUUCCUGAGGACGGCUACAAUGAGACAACCCACCAUGUACUCCUACAUGGCCUCUCACCGCUACCUUUACCAAAUCGUGUUCACACACUUAGCUCACACCCAGUAGGACAUGUUCACACGCCUCUGAUUCAUCCCCGAUGAAUCAGACCUGACUCAACUCUAAGCAGUAGCAGGCAUGACAAACAAACAUGAAUGAGUAGGCACAACAGGGCUCAAACAACUCCUACUCAUGCUAGUGGGUUUCAUCUAUUUACUGUGGCAAUGACAGGUCAUGCAAAGGAUAAAGGGGUUCAGCUACCGCAGCAAGUAACAGAUAAAUCGGUGUUGUCCUAAUGCAUUAAAAGAGAGCAGGGGCGAGAGAGUAGGAUUGUAUCGGAAUGAACAAGGGGGUUUUGCUUGCCUGGCACUUCUGAAGAUAACAUUGAGUCUUCAUCAGUGUCAACGAUCACAUCAUCGGUAUCACGUCUAUCGAGAGGGGACAAAUACCGGCAACAAAGAAGAAAUACAAUCAAUGCAAUGCACAAUAUGAUGCAUGCUAUGACAUGGCAAUAUGAAUGUGUUUUGGGCUAAUGCGACUAGCAACAGAUUAAAUGAAGUUGGUUUGAAUACAAGAUUCAAAUUCAAACUCCAUAUGUGAUUAUUUAAAUGUCAUUCACUUCAUUUGCUCUAAACAGUAGUGGUAAGUUGUUCUAACAUGCAUGAAAAUGGUACAGAUGGAUUCCUUGAAUUUUUCUGAUAAUUUUUCAUAUAUAAAUUAUUUAAUUUGGAGUUACGGUUAAUUUUCUAUGAAUUAUUGAAGUUUAGGGCAUUUUCUGAUAUUUCCUGAAUAUUUAGAAUUAGAAUAAUUCCAGAAAAUGAAUUAUGGCGUCAGCACCACGUCACUGUGACGUCAGCAGUCAACUGGGCUGGCUCGGGUCAAACCUGACAUGUGGGGGCCACACGUCAGUGACACAGUGCUGGCUGGAGUCACAGACAUGUGGGGCCGGUCAAAGGCCACGUCAGCGAGGUCAACGCCGACGCGUGGGGCCACUGCAAUUAGAUUAAACUUAAUCUAUUUUAGUUAGCCGGUUAGUUAGGCCGUGGGGCCCGGCUGUCAGUGGCUCUAGGGGGUUAGUUAGUGGGGUCAUUAGCGCUAAUGACGACGCCACGUCAGAUACGCCGGCGAUGAGUCGCCGGUGACCACAGAACACGGCGGGGCACGCCGGACUUGCGCUAGAGGCGUCAGUUUGGCGCGCUGAGGGCACCAGGGGAUGGCCCUUGCUCCCGCGCAUCCAGAGGACCGAGUGGGAGGUCGUGGGGUCGACGGAGCUCGUCGGAACGGAGCUCGCGGCGGCGCCGGAGUUCGGUGAGUGCGGGGCUGGCGCUGUGGUGCACGGGAGGGCGAGUUAGGAUAGGCGUUAGACUCCUGGUGGCUUCCUGAGUGCGGUGACACGCUCCGAGACGAGCUCAAGCGGCUGUAGUGACGGCGGUGACGAGGUCAGCGGCGGCCGGAGUUCGGCCGCGGCGGAGCUAUGGCCUAGAGCUCGCAAACGCGAGGGGAGAGAGAGGGGUUCUGCACGGAGGCUCACCGCGGAGCUGUAGGGAGGGUUAGUGGGCUCGGGGGCGGCCGGAGUGCAGCGAAUCGACGGCGACGACCUCCGGUGGCCGAGGAGGGGAACGGCGACGUGGGCGGCGAUGCAGGGCGUCCGGGGCCUCGUGGCUUGGUGGAGAGGAAGAGGGGGUCGAGGCGGAGCCUCUGGGCUAGUCGGGGGAGCGAGGGAGGCCCGGCGGCCAUGGCUACGGCGAGCGGCGCUCUCAGGUGCGUUCGGUGACGAGAGGGAGGGAGAACAGAGGAGGAGGAGGGGGUCCAGAGAGAGAGAGAGGCGGUCGAGGGGGGUCGAGGCCGUCUCCGUGGCGUCGCGAGGGGGUCGGGGAGGCUGCCACGGCGAAGCAGGAGGUGGCCGGCGUCGGCGCGCGUGCGUCCAGCACGCAGCUGCUUCGUGCGCUGGCACGGGAAGAAGACAGGAGAAGGGGGCCAGGUGGACUGGGCCGCUGGGGGAGCUGGGCCGGGCAGGUAAGCAGGUAAGUGGCCCAGGUGGCCUCUCUCCCCUUUUUUUCUAUUUUGUUUCUCUUUUCUAUUUCUGUAGUUUUGUUUCUGAUUUAGUUUAUAGCCCAAAUCAUUUUAAUAAAUCCUGCAAAUAAUUGUGGCCAUUAAAAGAAUUAUUACAGAGGCCCUUAACUAUUUUCAGAAUUGUUGGAGCAUUUAAAAAUAUUAAUAGUAUUUAAAUGCCCCAAUUCAAAUACAAUAUGGAUUAUUCAAAAAUCCAUAAUGGCCCAAAAAUAUUGGCAUCAUUUUUGGUAGAGGUUUUUCACCUUUGUCAAAAAUCAUGAACAUUUUUGAAAGCCAUUUGGACUUACUUGAAAGUAUUUUAGGUGAACCUAGUGAAUUCCUUUAAUGCUAGGGUUUGAGCAAUCCCCAUUUCAAAUUUCAUAAAAUUUAAACAUGUUGCAUGGAUGCUAAAGCAAAAACAAACAAGGGCUGAUCUGGGGUUGUGACACAGGGGCCUCGCGAGAACCCAAUGGUGGUGACUACCCUUCCAGUCGACCAAGGCGACUCUUCCUCAAGUGGAGGAGCAGGGAGGCAUGAGGCGCCAGAGGCCGAGGGGGCUCUCGGCGGGGUGACAACACCAGGCGAUGCUCAUGAGGAAGCAGUUAUGGGGGCCCGUGCCGCUGAGGCUGAGGGUGACAAGCAGCUGCCCUCUGUGCCUACGACCGAGGCCCCUGAGGCUAUGACGGCUUCUCUUGGCGAGGCGAUUGGCAACGCACAUCAGGCAGGCGCCCCUGACGCAGAUCGCCUUGACGCUCCAUCUUCGUCGCAGGUUGAUCCCUGCGCCCAACUCUUAGGCCGCUUCCGCAUGGACUUUGAGGCCCUCCGGAACAAAAGGGAGGCCCUGGGCGACGAUUACCCUUGUCGCCUGCUGAAGCGUAGGAAGUACUUCGCCACUGAUGAGUAAGCCUUCUCCUUUCCCAGCUCCCGAUCCUUCUAUUGCUCUUACUGACCCUUGCUCCGCAGGCCCCUUCCAGCCGAGCUUAUGGAGACGGCUAAGGAGCCGUCCCCCUUGGCUUCGCCCCCUCCACCGUCCUCAAGCGCUCCAAGCAGUGGAGCCCUUGUGGUGAGGGCGAUCGACGAGGCGAACCAUCCCGAGGCGUAUCAUGGCCCCGCGCACCUCGCGAUCCUCCGCGGGCCUUCUCGUGGCAUAGCCAGCCUGCUGUGGGCUUCUCGCCUAGUCGUGGACUGCGAUUGGCUGAGGCGCUUCCUGCGCUCUUCACCUGGGGACGGGUUGGCCCCAGGCCGGGCUUUUGACGCAGCGUGCCUGGCCGUCGCGAGGGUGCCAGCCCACAGCCCCCAGCCCGAAGGGGGAGUGCUGACUCGUGGCCCCCGACGCUUGCUUGGGGCAGAUGAUGGUGUGGGAGACGUGCUCGAGCGCGCUCGGGAGCGUCGCGCUCUCCGCCAAGGAUUCCUUCGAAGGGCGGCUGACGCGGUAAGCCUGCUUGGAGAGGAGCUUGCUGAUGAAGACGCACGCCUUGAGGCCGAGGGCCUGUGCCUGGCUGUAGAGAGGCGCGAGCUGGAGGGCGCCAUCGCCCUUGCGCGCUGUCAGCGCGAUCUUGACGAUGCAGAGGCCAAGGCGUCGCUGGUGGCCUCUCGGGAGGCCCGAUCUUGGGCCGCCGAGGAGGCUCGAGAAGCUGACCGGCGGCGAAUGGCGGCGGAGGAGCGAGCUCGGGAGCUCCUGGCCUGGUGCCACUCACUGGAGGAGCAGGUGGAGCUGCGCGAGGCAGCCCUCGCGUCGAUGAAGGUGGCCUCCGGUGACUCAACAGAGCUCCAGAAGCGUGAGGAGGCGCUGACGCUGGAAGCCGCCGAACGUACCCGUGAGUACGAGCGUCUGGAGACGAGGGAGCGCUUGGUGACGCAGGCGGAGGAUGAUGUUGCUGCACAGGAAGCCCGCGUCCUGGAGGAGGUCGGACGUCGAGUGGCGAUGGCGCAUUUGAACCUCGAGCACGAGUUCGAAGAGAAGCUGGGGCUGAUCCGGGCCGAAGCUGAAGGCAGGACUGCUGCCUUGAGGGCCAGGCUGGAGGAGGCGACGCGGUGGGCCGACGCUUUCCGGGCCGCUCUUGAGGUGGCGCAAGGUGAGUUAACCGCCUCCUAGGCCGAGGUGCUCCUUCUCCGCCAGCGGGUGGAGGAGGCUGAGGUCGUCGCGGGCCAGAACGCGGACGAGAUACGUCAACGGCGGAUCCUGGAGCAUGAGCACGGCCCCAUGCUCACCACGCUCCGGGAGAGAGCCAACAUAGCCUUGGGCAACAUCUGCGAGGCGGCUGUUGGCGAGCUGCACGCUGUCAACUAUGCUGGCAAUCUUCAGUUCUUCACUGACGUGGUGACACAGCUGGAGGCGAGGUUGGUCAGGGCUGACAGGUUGGUGGAGGAGAGGAGCCGCGCCCUGCUCGGGCGCGCCUUUUCUCGCGUCUUCAGCCACCUCCAGAACAUGGAUCCCCACUUUGAUUUUGACGCCACCAUCGCCCCAGUCCCCCAGGUCGUCUGAGGCGAUCUGGCGCACUGGGUGGAAGACAAUAUGGAUGCUCUUAUCAGGGCCUUCGCUUCAGACAACGACGACGUGAUCGUGACGGCCGACGAGGGCAGCGUGGUGAAUGGCCCUGACGCCGCUGGCGGCGACGUGGACAGUGAUGGCGAGUUCAGCGACGCCAACAACGGCUCGGGUGGUGCUCUUGAGAAUGCAUUGGGGGAUUCAUCCGACUAAUUGUGCAUCGUUCCUACUUCCUUACUGUAACACCCCGGAUGUAACUUUCCCUAUUUGUACUCCAACUCUUGCCGUUUCCGGCGUUAAGUUAUAUUUAUUUCCUCGGGUUCGGGUCUUUGUCUCCGUGUGUUGUUGUCUUUGUCAUGCAUCUCAUAUCAUGUCAUCAUGUGCAUUGCAUUUGCAUACGUGUUCGUCUCAUGCAUUCGAGCAUUUUCCCCGUUGUCCGUUUUGCAUUCCGGCGCUCCGUUCUCCUCCGGUGGUCAUUUCAAGCUUUCUUUUGUGUGUGGGGAUUAAACAUUUCCGGAUUGGACCGAGACUUGCCAAGCGGCCUUGGUUUACUACCGGUAGACCGCCUGUCAAGUUUCGUACCAUUUGGACUUCGUUUGAUACUCCAACGGUUAACCGAGGGACCGAAAAGGCCUCGUGUGUGUUGCAGCCCAACACCCCUCCAAUUUGGCCCAAAACCCACCAAACUCUGCUACAUAUCCUAGAGCGUUCGAUCACGAUCGCGUGGCCGAAAACCGCACCUCAUUUGGACUCUCCUAGCUCCCUCUAUGCCUAUAUAUACACCCCCUCCGAAAUUCACGGGUCUCCCCCCCCUAAACCCUAGAUCCAUCCGCCGCCGCCGCCGGACGUGUCCGGAUGGGGCCGGACAGCGUCCGCCCGCCGCCUCCAGCCACCCGCGCGUCGACACGUGGCGGCCGCCACCUCCCACCGNNNNNNNNNNNNNNNNNNNNNNNNNNNNNNNNNNNNNNNNNNNNNNNNNNNNNNNNNNNNNNNNNNNNNNNNNNNNNNNNNNNNNNNNNNNNNNNNNNNNNNNNNNNNNNNNNNNNNNNNNNNNNNNNNNNNNNNNNNNNNNNNNNNNNNNNNNNNNNNNNNNNNNNNNNNNNNNNNNNNNNNNNNNNNNNNNNNNNNNNNNNNNNNNNNNNNNNNNNNNNNNNNNNNNNNNNNNNNNNNNNNNNNNNNNNNNNNNNNNNNNNNNNNNNNNNNNNNNNNNNNNNNNNNNNNNNNNNNNNNNNNNNNNNNNNNNNNNNNNNNNNNNNNNNNNNNNNNNNNNNNNNNNNNNNNNNNNNNNNNNNNNNNCCAGCUCCGGCCGACGCCGCCGCCGCCUCGGCCACCGGCGACCGUGCCCUCGCCGGCCGCCUCCUCCCUCCUCCACGCCGGCUCCGGCGAACUCGGGUCCGGCCAGCUACAGUGCCGCGAGUUCCGAUCUGGAUCGGGGUUGCUACAGUAAACCCUAGGGGUAGUUUUUUUCCACCAAGUCCCGGAUAUUUUUAGUUCAUAUGCCCCUGUUCGCGGCCCCGUAACUUUGCAUCCGUAGCUCCGAUUCAUGCAUAUAGCAUAUCAAAAUGUUCACCUUAGAGAGUACAUUAUUUCAUUCCAUUGCAUCAUUUUCAUUUGCGUUCAUCUUGAUGCCCGAAAUGCUGUUAGAAGAGGGCUACUUGAGUUAAUUGUCAGAUCUGCUACUCCGUUUAGCACUUUUGUCAUUUUUGCCAUGUUUAAUGUGUGCAUGAUAUGCCCGUGAGUUCUUCAUAUGUUUUGUUAAAUGUUUUGUCAUCUUUCCAGAGGUGCAACCCAUGUAUUUUUAGGAUGUGUGUGGUGACUUGUGCAAUCUUGCAAAGUGGUGCACUUGCUAAUUCUGUUUUCAGGGACUUGGUGAUUUCACUAAGUCCUGGGAUUGUUUAUCUCACGAUGCCAUAUGUUCAUGUUAUUUCCUAGUGAUCCGUGCCUCUUUUGAGGAUGAUCAGUAAGGGAGUUUUGUUAAUCUUGUAGUUCUCUAUCCAUCCAUGUCUUUGUUUGCAAUUAUGGAGCAUGCUAGCUUGAGUCAAUCGAGCUCUACUUUUGCUUCGUUGCGAAUCUGGGCAGAUCAUCAACUCGUUUGCGGUUUUGCCGAUGUUAUUGUAGUUGAUCCGUGCAUGCUAUGCCAUUGUUCUUGCCAUGUCUAUAUGGUAUUUUGUGCCUUCUUAAGGGAUGUAUGCUUGUCUUGCCAUGACUUGCACCGUGGUGAGUGCAUCGAGCUCGUAAACAUGCCUUCGUGAGUUACGUUUCAGCAUGUCCCAGUUUUCACUAAGUCUGAAAACUGAUUAUGUUUUUGCUAUGUUCGUGUGCUUGUUAGUAUAUUUUGUGAUCCCUUUUGGCUCAAGGUCACUAAGGGACUUUUGUUAAGCUUGUUGAGUAGCUCCAUGCCAUGUCUUUCUUUGUCAUGUUCAGGUCCUGUAGCAUGUUGUUUUGUUUCUCCGAGGAGGGCUAUAUGAUCUGAAAUUCCAGACAAGUGUUAAUAUCACUAAUUCCGAGAUCUGUUUUACCAUUUGCGUUUUUGACAUGCUUGUUUGUACCUCCUAAUGGAUGAAUUGGCCGUAGCUCAGUGCUAGACUUUUGUUAAGCAUCUUGAAUGCUUCCCUACCAUGUAUUAUGUUGUCAUGUUUGGGUGCUGUAGCAUGUUCAUCUCAUUGCAUUUAGAUGCCCACUUGCUGUAAAUCGUAGACCGGUGUCAUAUUUGAAUCGCUUGCCAUUUCCAAACCGUAACUCCGAUUCCGGCGUUCUUUAUAUCGUUUUCAAGCGAUUUCAUCUCAUAUUUCCAGUGGAACACUUGGAUUUCCAAGUUGAGGCCAGGUUCAUGCAUUUCCUGUCAUAUCUUGCAUUUUGCAUCCCGCAUCGCAUCUCGCAUAGCAUAUCAUCUUUGCAUUGUGUUGUUUGAGUUUUGCACGUGGUUGAUUGUAUCCUUGUUGCUUGUUUGCCUUGUUUGGUUAGAGCCGGGAGACGAGUUCGCUAACGAGGAGCCCGUUGACUUUGCUUUUGAGGAUCCAGUCAACUCUGACAACUAUGCAGGCAAGAUGAUCGUACCCUCGAAAUCACUACUAUCUUUGCUAUGCUAGUUUUGCUCGCUCUUUUGCUAUGCCAUUGCUACGAUGCCUACCACUUGCUUGCAAGCCUCCCAAAUUGCCAUGUCAAACCUCUAACCCACCAUUGUCCUAGCAAACCAUUGAUUGGCUAUGUUACCGCUUUUCUCAGCCCCUCUUAUAGCGUUGCUAGUUGCAGGUGAAGAUUGGAGGCUGUUCCUUGUUGGAACAUCUUUUAUUUACUUGUUGGGAUAUCAUUAUAUUAUCUUACUAUCUUAAUGCAUCUAUAUACUUGGUAAAGGGUGGAAGGCUCGGCCUCUCGCCUAGUGUUUUGUUCCACUCUUGCCGCCCUAGUUUCCCUCAUAUCGGUGUUGUGUUCCCGGAUUUUACGUUCCUUACGCGGUUGGGUUAUAAUGGGAACCCCUUGAUAGUUUGCCUUGAUUAAAGCUUUUCCAGCAAUGCCCAACCUUGGUCUUACCAUUUGCCACCUAGCCUCUUUUUCCCUCGGGUUUCUGGAGCCCGCGGGUCAUCUUAUUUUAAACCCCCCGGGCCAGUGCUCCUCUGAGUGUUGGUCCAACCGAGUAGACUGCGGGGCCACCUCGGGGCAACUCGAGGGUUGGUUUUACUCGUAGGAUGUCUCAUCUGAGUGUGCCCUGAGAAAGAGAUAUUUGCAGCUCCUAUCGGGAUUUGUCGGCACAUUCGAGCGGUGUUGCUGGUCUUGUCUUAACUUGUCGAAGUGUCUUGAGUUACCGAGAUACCGAGUCUGAUCGGAACGUCUUGGGAGGAGGUCUAUUCCUUCGUUGACCGUGAGAGCUUGUCAUGGGCUAAGUUGGGACUCCCCUGCAGGGAUUGAACUUUCGAAAGCCAUGCCCACGGUUAUGGGCAGAUGGGAAUUUGUUAAUGUCCGGUUGUAGAUAACUUGAACCUUAAUUUAAUUAAAAUGAAUCAACUGAGUUUGUUACCGUGAUGGCCUCUUCUCGGCGGAGUCCGGGAAGUGGACACGGUGUUGGAGUAAUGUUUGCGCAGGUUGUUCUCUAGCUUCUCGCUCAUGCUUUGCCUCCUCUUCUCGCUCUCUUUUGCGAAUAAGUUAGCCACCAUACUUGCUAGUAGCUUGCUGCAGCUCCACUCAUAUUUUUCCUUGCCUUACCUAUAAGCUUAAAUAGUCUUGAUCGCAAGGGUGCGAGAUUGCUGAGUCCCUGUGGCUCACAGAUUACCAUUACACCAGAUGCAGGGCCUGACGACUCCGCUCCAGGAUACGCGUAUGAGCUCAAGUGGGAGUUCGACGAAGACUCUCAACGAUACUAUGUUUCCUUUCCCGAUGAUCAGUAGUGGUGCCCAGUUGGGGGUGAACGGGACCGUUGUCGCAUGUUGGGUUAUCUUUCAUUUUGGCGCCGUAGUCGGGCCAUGAGUGUUUGGAUGAUGUAAUGUUAUUUUUGUACUUGAUUGACGUGGCGAGUGUAAGCCAACUAUGUUAUCUCCCCUUAUAUUAUUGUAUUACAUGGGAUGUUUGUGAAGAUUGCCUAACUUGCGACAUAUGCCUUCAAUGCGAUUAUAUCUCUAAGUCGCGCCUCGACACGUGGGAGCUAUAGUCGCAUCGAGGGUGUAAUAAGUUGGUAAUCAGAGCCUUCCCCUACCUUAGGAGCCCCAUUGCUUGAUCGUUUUUAGCGGCCGAGUUGUGUCUAGAAAAAUGUUUUGAGUCUUUUAGGAAUUAUAUAUCGGAGAGAUUAGGAAUUCUUUUUACUUCCCAGUCUCCUCAUCGCUCUGGUAAGGCUUCCUAACGUAGAGUUUUGACUCUUCUCUUGUCAAAUUUCACUAAAUUUUUUUAGGAUCACGCGGGUAUCUUGGAAUCGUUCCGAUGGUUUUUUGAUGAGAACAUUGUCUUGGUGCCUCCUGUCACGGGUUUAGUGGAAGUGUCCCGGGGAGUUGAGCUCUGAGGUGUUGUCAUCAUAAUUUUAUCGUUACAGUUCUGGAAUACCUGAGUCUAGUACGCCGACAUCGAAAAUCUCUUUUAUGCAGUUCGUUGGUGAGAUAACCUCGACGCCACCCAGUACUGGGGUGGGAGUUCGGGAGUAUCGCCAUAACUUGUAUAACGGAUGCUUUUCGAAGGUUGAGGUAGAUGGUUUCCGAAGUUUUCUUGGUUAUGUGUUGAAGGAUGGAUACAGCUGGAUGUAGGAUUUGCUAGUUUGGGUGAGAUAUUAUGCUUCCCCUGUAUCCCCAACACCUGAUUGCAUAACCGGAAAGGUUCGGAAGUUUCAUAGGUGGGAAUUCUAGUAGCUCUAGUUCUUCUUCCACGGAUAUUGGUUUGAGAUUGGGAUUUCUUACCGAUUAUUCGUUCUUGAUCCGUACCUUGUUGAUUUAUUUCUCUACCUUAAUUCUACGUGGCUUCUCAAUUUAUGGACAUGUGACCAUUUCAAGAGGAAUGCAUUCGUUCAUUUUGUUCGGAUGUGAAGACUAUAUGUUGCAAUUUUCAUUCCGUUGGAUUCAGCUUCAUUAUUUGUCUAUCAAUGUGCUAAUGGUGGUCAACCUCUUCAGGAUGGCUCCUCCAACGCGCACGACUCCGAAUCCUGAUCCGCCACCACCUCCACCUCCUCCAGAGGCAUGGCAAGCUGUGAUGGCCGCAACCAAUGCAAACACACAGCUGAUCAUGCAAAUUCUUCAAGAGCGCAAUCAAGGCAGUCAAGGGAAUCAAGGCAGCAAUCAGGGUCACUUUGCUACACUCAACCAGUUCCUUGCUAACGGGCCAAAGACUUUCAGCAAUUGUGUUGAGGCAACCGAUGCUGACGAUUGGCUUGUGGAUCUGUGCAAGCAUUUCGAGUGCAGUAACGUCAGGCCUGAGGACUUUGUUAAGUUCGCUUCCUUCCAACUCAAAGAUCAAGCUACAGAAUGGUUCCAGCAGUACAAGGACUCCAGAGGUGGACGUGUUAUCACUUGGGAUGAUUUCCGUCGAGAUUUCCGAGCUCAUCAUAUUCCACAGAGCGUGGUUGAAAGCAAGCGUGAGGAAUUCCACAAUCUGAAGCAAGGCUCUUUGUCUGUCUAUGACUACAACAAGUUGUUUCAGAAGCUCGCCCGCUUUGCUAAGCAGGACGUCCCUGAUGAGAAGAGCAUGAUAUAUCAGUUCAAGGGUGGUUUCAGAGAAGAAAUUCAGCUAGCUCUUGUUCUCUUUGAGCCCUUGAGAUACGAUGAGUUCUACAACAUGGCACUGAAGCAAGAGGCUGCUCAGUUGAGGUGUGAUGCUUCCAAGAAGCGAGUCAGAGAUAUUACUCCUUCUUCCUCUACUCAAGUGGCCAAGCAGCAGAAGUUUUGGCUUCCUCCUCCUCCGCUCCGUCAGCUGUAUCAGCAGAAGAGCAAAGGUGGCAGUGGUUCUUCCCACCCACCCAACCCUGGCUUUCAAAACAAGACUUCGUCUCAAGCUCCAAGAAUGAGUGCUCCGUAUCACCGUCCGCUUUCAGAGGUCACGUGCAACAAGUGCCAAUAGAAGGGUCACUAUGCCAACAAGUGUCUCAACCAGAGGCGUCUUCCUCAUCCUCCUCCUGUCAGAUCGACAAGUACAGCUGUGGUCAAGCAUAACCCCAAGCAUGCCAAGGUUAAUUUGAUGAAUGCAGCUCAGGCAGAGGACUCGUCAGAUGUGAUCAUGGGUAACCUUCCUGUUAACGAUGUUCCUGCAAAAGUUCUUUUUGACACUGGUGCAUCGCAUUCCUUUUUGUCAUGCCCUUUUGCAUCGAAGCACAAUGUUGAUACCGAGAUUAUGCCCAAAGUCAUGCAAGUUGUUUCUCCCGGCAAGCUUUUGACUUCUAGUUUGGUUGCUCCCGAUAUCUCUAUCACAUUGGGUGAUUACAAGUUUCUCUCUUCUCCGGUGGUUCUUGGUAACUCGGAUAUUGAUCUUAUUCUCGGAAUGGAUUGGCUUUCUAAGCACAAGGCUCAGCUUGAUUGUGCAGCCAGGCAGAUUCAAUUGACUCAUUCGUCUGAGGAUGUAAUUGUCUUUGCCGCUCGUGAUGAUGCUAUCCGUCUGUUUUCUCUCAAUGAGAAGGGUGAAUUGGAUGCUAUCUCUCAAAUUCUAGUCGUUUGCGAAUAUCAAGACGUCUUUCCAGAAGAGCUUCCAGGAAUGCCUCCGCACCGGCCAGUUGAAUUCGUUAUUGAUCUUGAGCCUCGUAUGGAACCUGUGUACAAACGUCCUUACAAGCUCGGACCUGAAGAGUUGAAGGAGCUGAAGAAGCAACUCGAUAUGCAAGAGAAAGUGGGUCUCAUCCGGCCUAGUUCUUCUCCGUGGGGUUGUGGUGUUCUUUUUGUGAAGAAGAAGGAUGGAACGGACCGACUUUCUGUUGAUUACCGUCCAGUGAACAAGAAGACCAUCAAGAACAAAUACCCACUUCCCAACAUCAAUGAGCUGUUCGAACAACUCAAAUGUGCCCAAGUAUUCUCCAAGCUUGAUCUCUGUAUGGGUUAUCACCAGAUUCGCAUUCGUGAAGAAGAUAUUCCCAGGACAGCAUUCAGAACAAGCUUUGGUUCAUAUGAAUACACUAUCAUGUCUUUUGGCCUCGCCAACGCUCCUCCGACGUUCUCUCGCAUGAUGAACUUCAUCUUCAACGCCUACACCAAUGACUUCAUUUUGGUCUAUCUCGAUGACAUUCUGGUUUUCUCCAAGAAUAAGGAAGAUCAUGCCAAGCACUUGAGUUUGGUUCUUGAUAAGCUCAGGGAACAUCAGUUCUACGCCAAGUUCUCCAAGUGUGAAUUUUGGCUCGAUGAGGUUCUUUAUCUUGGUCAUAUCAUCUCUGCCAAGGGCAUUGCCGUGAAUCCUGAGAAGGUGUCUGCAAUUGUGAAUUGGGAACCUCCUCAGAACGUGAAGCAACUCCGUAGCUUCCUCGGUCUCGCAAGCUAUUGUCAAAGAUUCGUUGAAAACUUUUCUAAGAUCGCGAAGCCUCUCCCAAAUCUUCUUCAGAAGCACGUCAAGUACGUUUGGUCUUCGGAGUGCGAUAUUGCUUUCAACACUUUGAAAGAGAAAUUGAUCACUGCUCCAAUUCUGACUCCACCUGAUGAAUCCAAGCCGUACGAGGUCUUUUGUGAUGCCUCUCUCCAAGGUCUUGGCGCAGUAUUGAUGCAAGAGAAGAAAGUUGUUGCUUAUACAUCUCACCAGUUGAAGCCUAAUGAGAAGAACUACCCCACUCAUGAUCUCGAGUUGGCGGCAGUUGUGCAUGCUCUUUUGACUUGGAGACAUCUUCUAUUGGGAAGAAAAGUGGAUAUUUUCACUGAUCACAAGAGUCUCAAGUACAUCUUCACUCAGCCUAAUCUCAACCUCAGGCAAACUCGUUGGGUCGAAAUGAUUCAAGAGUAUAAUCCGAGUAUCGAGUAUACUCCAGGCAAGGCCAAUGUGAUUGCUGACGCUUUGAGCAGGAAGGAUUACUGCAACAGUCUUAUUCUUCAGCCUUAUCAACCAGAGCUUUGUGAAGCUUUCCGCAAACUUAAUCUGCAAGUUGUUCCUCAAGGUUUCCUCGCCAACCUUGAAGUCUCUCCUACCUUAGAAGACCAGAUUCGCCAAGCCCAGCUUCUUGAUGCUAUGGUGAAAAAGGUGAAAAUUGGGAUUGCCAAGAGUCAGUCCAAGUACAAGUGCUACCGCCUUGAUGACAAGGACACUCUCUUCUUCGAGGAUCGUAUUGUUGUGCCCAAAGGUGACCUUCGUAAAGUGAUCAUGAACGAGGCUCACAAUUCUCUCCUCACCAUCCAUCCUGGGAGCACGAAGAUGUAUCAGGACCUUAAGCAAGCUUAUUGGUGGACUCGAAUGAAGCACGAGAUCGCUCAAUUCGUGAAUGAAUGUGAUGUCUGCAGAAGAGUGAAGGCAGAACACCAAAGGCCAGCUGGUCUCCUCCAACCUCUUGCCAUUCCAGAAUGGAAGUUUGACCACAUUGAAAUGGACUUCGUGACUGGGUUUCCUAAGUCCAAGCGUGGCAAUGAUGCUAUAUUCGUUGUCAUCGACAAACUCACCAAAGUGGCUCACUUUCUGCCUAUCAAAGAGUCGAUCACUGCAGCUCAAUUGGCGGAACUCUAUACCUCUCGUAUUGUCUCUCUGCACGGUAUUCCUCAAGUGAUCUCUUCAGACCGUGUCAGCAUCUUUACCUCGAAGUUUUGGGAUUCUUUUCAGAAGGCCAUGGGCACGAACAUCCGCUUCAGCACUGCUUUCCAUCCUCAAACGAGCGGUCAAGUCGAGCGUGUCAACCAGAUUCUUGAAGAUAUGCUCAGGGCUUGUGUAAUCUCCUUCGGCAUGAAGUGGGAGGAUUGUCUUCCUUAUGCUGAAUUCUCCUACAACAACAGUUUUCAAGCAAGUUCGGGCAAGGCCCCUUUUGAAAUUCUGUAUGGCAGGAAGUGCCGUACCCCUCUCAAUUGGUCUGAAACCGGUGAACGUCAGCUUUUGGGUAAUGACUUAAUCACAAAAGCAGAAGAAAUGUGCAAAGUCAUUCGUGAUAACCUCAAAGCAGCCCAAUCCCGUCAGAAGAGCUACUAUGAUAGUAAGCACCGUGAUUUGGCUUUCGAGAUCGGAGAUCAUGCUUACCUCCGUGUCUCUCCUAUGAAAGGUACUCGUCGCUUCGGUAUCAAAGGGAAUCUUGCCCCUAGAUACAUGGGACCUUUCAAGAUUGUCAGCAAGAGAGGCGACCUCGCCUAUCAACUCGAGCUUCCUUCAAACUUUGCAAAUGUUCAUGACGUGUUCCAUGUCUCUCAGCUUCGAAAGUGCUUCAAGACUCCUGACCGCACUGUCAACUUCGAGGACAUUGAGCUCCAAGAAGAUCUCUCUUAUCGUGAGCACCCAGUUUCUAUUCUUGAAGAGACUGAAGGCAAGACUCGCAACAAGUCAAUCAAAUUUCUCAAAGUCAAGUGGUCACACCAUUCCGACCGUGAAGCUACCUGGGAACGCGAGGAUCACCUCCAUUCUGAGUACCCGGCGUUCUUUCAGUCCUAGAUCUCGGGACGAGAUCCUUUCGUAGUGGUGGAGUGUUGUAACACCCCGGAUGUAACUUUCCCUAUUUGUACUCCAACUCUUGCCGUUUCCGGCGUUAAGUUAUAUUUAUUUCCUCGGGUUCGGGUCUUUGUCUCCGUGUGUUGUUGUCUUUGUCAUGCAUCUCAUAUCAUGUCAUCAUGUGCAUUGCAUUUGCAUACGUGUUCGUCUCAUGCAUUCGAGCAUUUUCCCCGUUGUCCGUUUUGCAUUCCGGCGCUCCGUUCUCCUCCGGUGGUCAUUUCUAGAUUUCUUCCGUGUGUGGGGAUUAAACAUUUCCGGAUUGGACCGAGACUUGCCAAGCGGCCUUGGUUUACUACCGGUAGACCGCCUGUCAAGUUUCGUACCAUUUGGACUUCGUUUGAUACUCCAACGGUUAACCGAGGGACCGAAAAAGCCUUGUGUGUGUUGCAGCCCAACACCCCUCCAAUUUGGCCCAAAACCACCAAACUCUGCUCCAUAUCCUAGAGCGUUCGAUCACGAUCGCGUGGCCGAAAACCGCACCUCAUUUGAACUCUCCUAGCUCCCUCUAUUCCUAUAUAUACACCCCCCUCCGAAAUUCACGGGUCUCCCCUCCCCCUAAACCCUAGAUCCAUCCGCCGCCGCCGCCGGACGUGUCCGGACGGGGCCGGACAGCGUCUGCCCGCCGCCUCCAGCCACCCGCGCGUCGACACGUGGCGGCCGCCACCUCCCACCGCCNNNNNNNNNNNNNNNNNNNNNNNNNNNNNNNNNNNNNNNNNNNNNNNNNNNNNNNNNNNNNNNNNNNNNNNNNNNNNNNNNNNNNNNNNNNNNNNNNNNNNNNNNNNNNNNNNNNNNNNNNNNNNNNNNNNNNNNNNNNNNNNNNNNNNNNNNNNNNNNNNNNNNNNNNNNNNNNNNNNNNNNNNNNNNNNNNNNNNNNNNNNNNNNNNNNNNNNNNNNNNNNNNNNNNNNNNNNNNNNNNNNNNNNNNNNNNNNNNNNNNNNNNNNNNNNNNNNNNNNNNNNNNNNNNNNNNNNNNNNNNNNNNNNNNNNNNNNNNNNNNNNNNNNNNNNNNNNNNNNNNNNNNNNNNNNNNNNNNNNNNNNNNNNNNNNNNNNNNNNNNNNNNNNNNNNNNNNNNNNNNNNNNNNNNNNNNNNNNNNNNNNNNNNNNNNNNNNNNNNNNNNNNNNNNNNNNNNNNNNNNNNNNNNNNNNNNNNNNNNNNNNNNNNNNNNNNNNNNNNNNNNNNNNNNNNNNNNNNNNNNNNNNNNNNGCGCCGCCUCCCUCCUCGGCCCGGCCGCCGCCUCCGCCGCCGCCGCCACCCCGGCCGCCGUCGCCGCCCAGCCGUCCGCCACCGCCGUCCCGGUCCGCCGCCGCCUCGUCGUUGGGGUCGCUGCCCCGAGCCGCCGCAGGAGCUCGCUGGCGUCGCCCCAGCUCCGGCCGCCGCCGCCGCCGCCUCGGCCACCGGCGACCGCGCCCUCGCCGGCCGCCUCCUCCCUCCUCCACGCCGGCUCCGGCGAACUCGGGUCCGGCCAGCUACAGUGCCGCGAGAUCCGAUCUGGAUCGGGGUUGCUACAGUAAACCCUAGGGGUAGUUUUUUUCACUAAGUCCCGGAUAUUUUUAGUUCAUAUGCCCCUGUUCACGGCCCCGUACCUUUGCAUCCGUAGCUCCGAUUCAUGCAUAUAGCAUAUCAGAAUGUUCACCUCAGAGAGGACAUCAUUUCAUUCCAUUGCAUCAUUUUCAUUUGAGUUCAUCUUGAUGCCCGAAAUGCUGUUAGAAGAGGGCUACUUGAGUUAAUUGUCAGAUCUGCUACUCCGUUUAGCACUUUUGUCAUUUUUGCCAUGUUUAAUGUGUGCAUGAUAUGCCCGUGAGUUCUUCAUAUGUUUUGUUAAGGGUUUUGUCAUCUUUCCAGAGGUGCAACCCAUGUAUUUUUAGGAUGUGUGUGGUGACCUGUGCAAUCUUGCAAAGUGGUGCACUUGCAAAUUCUGUUUUCAGGGACUUGGUGAUUUCACUAAGUCCUGGGAUUGUUUAUCUCACGAUGCCAUAUGUUCAUGUUGUUUCCUAGUGAUCCGUGCCUCUUUUGAGGAUGAUCAGUAAGGGAGUUUUGUUAAUCUUGUAGUUCUCUAUCCAUCCAUGUCUUUGUUUGCAAUUAUGGAUCACCCUAGCUUGAGUCAAUCAAGCUCUACUUUUGCUUCAUUGCGAAUCUGGGCAGAUCGUCAACUCGUUUGCGGUUUUGCCGAUGUUAUUGUAGUUGAUCCGUGCAUGCUAUGCCAUUGUUCUUGCCAUGUCUAUAUGGUAUUUUGUGCCUUCUUAAGGGAUGUAUGCUUGUCUUGCCAUGACUUGCACCGUGGUGAGUGCAUCGAGCUCAUAAACAUGCCUUCGUGAGUUACGUUUCAGCAUGUCCCAGUUUUCACUAAGUCUGAAAACUGAUUAUGUUUUUGCUAUGUUCGUGUGCUUGUUAGUAUAUUUUGUGAUCCCUUUUGGCUCAAGGUCACUAAGGGACUUUUGUUAAGCUUGUUGAGUAGCUCCAUGCCAUGUCUUUCUUUGUCAUGUUCAGGUCCUGUAGCAUGUUGUUUUGUUUCUCCGAGGAGGGCUAUAUGAUCUGAAAUUCCAGACAAGUGUUAAUUUCACUAAGUCUGAGAUCUGUUUUACCAUUUGCGUUUUUGCCAUGCUUGUUUGUACCUCCUAAUGGAUGAAUUGGCCGUAGCUCAGUGCUAGACUUUUGUUAAGCAUCUUGAAUGCUUCCCUGCCAUGUAUUAUGUUGUCAUGUUUGGGUGCUGUAGCAUGUUCAUCUCAUUGCAUUUAGAUGCCUACUUGCUGUAAAUCGCAGACCGGUGUCAUAUUUGAAUCGCUUGCCAUUUCCAAACCGUAACUCCGAUUCCGGCGUUCUUUAUAUCGUUUUCAAGCGAUUUCAUCUCAUAUUUCCAGUGGCACACUUGGAUUUCCAAGUUGAGGCCAGGUUCAUGCAUUUCCUGUCAUAUCUUGCAUUUUGCAUCCCGCAUCGCAUCCCGCAUAGCAUAUCAUCUUUGCAUUGUGUUGUUUGAGUUUUGCACGUGGUUGAUUGUAUCCUUGUUGCUUGUUUGCCUUGUUUGGUUAGAGCCGGGAGACGAGUUCGCUAACGAGGAGCCCUUUGAGUUUGCUUUUGAGGAUCCAGUCAACUCUGACAACUGUGCAGGCAAGAUGAUCGUACCCUCGAAAUCACUACUAUCUUUGCUAUGCUAGUUUUGCUCGCUCUGUUGCUAUGCCAUUGCUACGAUGCCUACCACUUGCUUGCAAGCCUCCCAAAUUGCCAUGUCAAACCUCUAAGCCACCAUUGUCCUAGCAAACCGUUGAUUGGCUAUGUUACCGCUUUGCUCAGCCCCUCUUAUAGCGUUGCUAGUUGCAGGUGAAGAUUGGAGGCCGUUCCUUGUUGGAACAUUUUUUUUACUUGUUGGGAUACCAUUAUAUUAUCUUGCUAUCUUAAUGCAUCUAUAUACUUGGUAAAGGGUGGAAGGCUCGGCCUCUCGCCUAGUGUUUUGUUCCACUCUUGCCGCCCUAGUUUCCGUCAUAUCGGUGUUAUGUUCCCGGAUUUUACGUUCCUUACGCGGUUGGGUUAUAAUGGGAACCCCUUGAUAGUUCGCCUUGAUUAAAGCUUUUCCAGCAAUGCCCAACCUUGGUCUUACCAUUUGCCACCUAGCCUCUUUUUCCCUCGGGUUUCCGGAGCCCGUGGGUCAUCUUAUUUUAAACCCCCCGGGCCAGUGCUCCUCUGAGUGUUGGUCCGACCGAGUAGACUGCGGGGCCACCUCGGGGCAACUUGAGGGUUGGUUUUACUCGUAGGAUGUCUCAUCUGAGUGUGCCCUGAGAAAGAGAUAUGUGCAGCUCCUAUCGGGAUUUGUCGGCACAUUCGGGCGGUGUUGCUGGUCUUGUUUUAACCUGUCGAAGUGUCUUGAGUUACCGAGAUACCGAGUCUGAUCGGAACGUCUUGGGAGGAGGUCUAUUCCUUCGUUGACCGUGAGAGCUUGUCAUGGGCUAAGUUGGGACUCCCCUGCAGGGAUUGAACUUUCGAAAGCCAUGCCCACGGUUAUGGGCAGAUGGGAAUUUGUUAAUGUCCGGUUGUAGAUAACUUGAACCUUAAUUUAAUUAAAAUGAAUCAACUGAGUUUGUUACCGUGAUGGCCUCUUCUCGGCGGAGUCCGGGAAGUGGACACGGUGUUGGAGUAAUGUUUGCGCAGGUUGUUCUCUAGCUUCUCGCUCAUGCUUUGCCUCCUCUUCUCGCUCUCUUUUGCGAAUAAGUUAGCCACCAUACUUGCUAGUAGCUUGCUGCAGCUCCACUCAUAUUUUACCUUGCCUUACCUAUAAGCUUAAAUAGUCUUGAUCGCAAGGGUGCGAGAUUGCUGAGUCCCUGUGGCUCACAGAUUACCAUUACACCAGAUGCAGGGCCUGACGACUCCGCUCCAGGAUACGCGUAUGAGCUCAAGUGGGAGUUCGACGAAGACUCUCAACGAUACUAUGUUUCCUUUCCCGAUGAUCAGUAGUGGUGCCCAGUUGGGGGUGAACGGGACCGUUGUCGCAUGUUGGGUUAUCUUUCAUUUUGGCGCCGUAGUCGGGCCAUGAGUGUUUGGAUGAUGUAAUGUUAUUUUUGUACUUGAUUGACGUGGCGAGUGUAAGCCAACUAUGUUAUCUCCCCUUAUAUUAUUGUAUUACAUGGGAUGUUUGUGAAGAUUGCCUAACUUGCGACAUAUGCCUUCAAUGCGAUUAUAUCUCUAAGUCGCGCCUCGACACGUGGGAGCUAUAGUCGCAUCGAUGGUGUUAUACUUACCCUGCAUGAAUAGAACUCAGGUUUUGGCCUGAUGGCAGUGAGAGCAUUUUGGAGGGGGAGCCCCUUAUGUAAAACUUGUGUUCAUCGUAUUAGUAGACGCUACAUUCCCCAUGCGCCCGCGCCAAGUGGUUGGCCUAAGCGAUGCGCUAGUCGGCUAGUUUACCUUUGUCCCGUGCUGGCCCUGAGGCAGCCUGUUGGAGGAUGUGGUGUCUCGAGUGUUCCCUAAUUGGGUUCGUAGGAUCUGGAGUAAAACACCCUCCUGAGAGGACACGUCGGCGGCAGUCUGGGUUGCGCGCAAGCUAGUCCUAACCCGGCUCGCGAGGGGCUCGCGAGGGGAGGCAGCUAAGGCGAAGUGGUAACCAAAACGUGAGAAAUUGCUCGAACGAGACUAAGCACCCCUUCCCCGAACACACGCAAAUCUCAAAUUCGAAUCCAACUUGAAUCCAGCGGGGGAAAGCGACAACCGAAGGGAAAAGCAACGAAAGCAAACAAAAGGCCGCGUCCGGCACCUAGUCUAGUCUUGGACGUCUUCUCACCAGCGCGGAGCUAAGUGCUGCCACUGGGCGUGGGAGGGAGCCCCAGGGCGUGAGGCCGGCACCCCUGAGACUCCGGGGCGUGUACAGCCCCACUCAUUAUUACGUGAGAGUGUCACGGGGCGGUGAGCUUCACAGGCACUGGGCCUUCUUCAUAGGUACUGGCCUUGCUUCAUAUCGCUAGAUGAGGGCCCCGCCUUGCGCCACACUCUAGUGCCAUCAACGAUGACCAGAAACCAGGACGCCGCCGAUGGGGUAGAGCAGUCGCCAGCGGUUCCCCCGACAACCAUGGGUCCUCCGCCGGGGGCAGGCCCUGAGGCACCUCCCCAGCGGAGGGCCUACCUCCUGAGAACACCUUGCUGCGAACGCCGCGGUGGUGAUGAUGGAUCCCGACCCCUCUCCUGCAGCCCCCUGCGCCCUCCUCCCGAGGGGUAGGAGACUGUGGGAGCGAGGCAGCUGCUCGCUGUGGCGACCUGCACCUCCUGCGAUCCAUGGUUAGCGUAUGCCUGCUCCUAAAGAAUUAGCGGUACCCGAUAAUCGUUGCCUCCAGCGUGGCCAGUGGGACCGUCCCGGGGCUCCUGGAAAGGCUCAGCUUCUGGCGCCUCGUCCUCCCAUCUUGGGCUGAGGAGCGAGCCUUGUUCGCUCUCGUGAGGGUGUCCUUGGUCCAUCAUGAGGGGCACGUAUUCCUCUGGCGCCGCCAUCCCGAAGGCCACACCGCAGUGCCCUGCGUGCCACGCGGUCCUGCCUGACGCGCCCACCAUGGGGUGGCAGCGCGGCUGUCCGCUGGGGCCGCAGGUCAUGUCGAGUCCUUCUUCGUCGACCGGGGGCGGGGGCAGCGCCGCCACCGGUCCGGUGCUGACAGCUUCGCUGGUGUUGGAGUAGCCUUGGAGCCCGCGGGCGCACGGAGCCCCCGCGCGGGCCGCCCUGGGCUUGAGAUGGGAGCUGGGUGCAGAAGGGGUGAGCCCCCGAGGCGGCGAAGCCCAGGAGCUCCGCCACCCGCUCCAACAGCACGUCCCGGCCGCCCUCCAGCAACCUGCAUUGCAGCAGCUCUCGGGCCACCAUGAGCGCGGCCCUCGAGUUCGCCUGCUCCCGGUGGGUGUACGAUGUCGUGGUCGCGGCGUGAUUGGAGGCCCUUGCUGCCGACUGUGCCUGCCGCGGUGUGGGAGCUGUCGAAGCCUGUCCGCAUCGCCCGCGGCCCGCAGCGCCCUGCGGACCGCGAGCUGCCUGGGGCACGGGGUCGCCCGAGGCGAGCGGUUCUACGCGAGCGGGCCAUGCUGCCCAUGGAUCUGGGUUGCCCGCCUGGUCGCCGGACAUGGUGAUGACAAUGCGACAGGGCACGAAGCAGUAGAAGGUGGAUUACGGCGCACCCCUUCCUGGCGCGCCAAAUGUUGGAUUUCGGGUUCCGACAGACCCUUAAGGUUCAAACACUGGGGUGCGCGUGCAGAUUUCGCCUCCUACCUACCUGCCGCCCUCCGCCUCGCUAAGUUUUAAGCUAUGGAAAGAAUAACACAAGGGACACGAGGUUUAUACUGGUUCGGGCCACCGUUGUGGUGUAAUACCCUACUCCAAUGUGUGGUGUGGUGGAUUGCCUCUUGGGCUGAUGAUGAUGAACAGUACAUGGAAGAACAGCCUCGCGAGGGUCUGUUCUUGGCUGGGGCGAUGAACUGCUGGGAGGAGUUCAGCCACCUUUCUCUCUCUCUCUCUUUCUCUCUCUCUGAUCCCUUUAUCCUUUGAUCGAUCGAUCAAUUGAUCGAUUCCCUUCUCUUUGGGUGGUUGGUCCUCUUCCCAAAUAUCGAGCGGGAAGGGAGCCAACAAUGGCGGGCUAAUUUGAAAGGGGACAGCUAGUACCAGCUAUCCUGACAAAAGUAGUCUUCGCCUGCACAAAGCUCUGGUGGUGAUGCCGUCUUGGGCUCCACGAUGACCUCCGUCUUGCAGUCCUUUCGGUCUUGGUCUUGUUGCACCGAAAUGGCAACCUUUGCCUGAUGCCUCGGUACUCCGCGGCUGCGCUUGCCCCCUUUGCACCAAAGAGGAAAGGAGGACACUGCGCGGGCUGGCACCCGCCUGGCGCCCUUGGUCGUCAUGGCUUGCGUCAUGGGCACCUCGUGAGGUACCCCGCCUUGGUCUCUCCGCCUCCUCGUGAGCCAGCCUGACGAGGCCGUGCCUGAGGAAGCUCCGUGUCGUCCGCCCCGCGAGGCUUGGCCCCUCGCGGGGGUCUUGGGUUUGUGUUGGUAUAGAUGGGCCGCGCUGGGCCCCCCUUUGAGCCACGCCGCAGGCCGCAGGCAGGCAAGUCUGGGGACCCCCGUUCCCAGAAUGCCGACAAGUAGGGUGAAUCUCGGGUUCAAGAACCUAGGAAUGGAAUACCUACUAUCUAAAUGGCAUCAUGGGAUGCUUUCAAGAAUGACGACAAGAAUCAUCACACUAGGAAUAUAAAGCAUUGCUAGAUUACUGGGUGGUUCUCUCGGAUGCCUAGGGUCAUAAUACUAGCCCCAACAUAUAUGUCAAGGCAAUGGAGUACCUCAACACACUGAUUAGUGUGAUUAAUCUGGCCCAAAUGGACAUCGGAAACAGGAAGAGGGAUUGCAAAUGCAUCAGACUAUUUAGAAACCUGGGAUGAAUCGAACAACAUAACGGCUGUAAAUGCUAAAAAUGAUUUGAGACAUCCUGUAAAAUGUGGCAUAACCACUUAACAUCACAAUAUCAAAGUUUCGAGAUCAAUGAUCAACAUACGGAAAUAGUAGGAACUAAACUGAGGCUUAAAACCGUCAAUCCUAUAAGUCUCUAUCAUAGUAACUCGUCAUCCUGAUAGAUAGAUGAGAAGGCCUAGUUUCUUAACCCCCGUAGAAGAGAAGAUGGUGACUCAGAUCAAAGGGCAUAAGGUAAAGGAGUAAAAAGAGCUUUACGUUCCCUUCCAUAAUCAUUUCCCUUAUACAACUAAAGCAUUUCUAGACUCGACUUCGACCAGUUUGGCUUGGUAAUCCUACAGGUAGUCAGGCUCUGAUACAAAAGCUGUCAGGACCCCGAUCCUAAGUCACACCGAUCUAGCAUGUAACACAUCAUAUCACUUUGCGGCCUCAUGCACGGUAUCCCCAUGGGUGCUACCUUACCUGGUCCGGGACUGUUUGCGCCUUUUGACUCACGUAUAUCAUAGUGUCGCUAGCAUCCAUAUGACAGAGAACCCGGGUCGACAUGACUAGUCAUAAACCCAAGGUGGCACUAAUUUACAGGGACAGGCAUACAUGACCCAGCAACGAACGUGUCGGUCAUCAAUGUAUGAACCCAAGUCGUAGCAAGCUACAAGGACUUAAAGGAACAAUGCGUGGCAUUUCCCCAAACGGACAGACACAGGAACGAAGGACACAUGCCGGCCAGCCUAAGUGUUCCGGUAAGAGAGGCUACCAAGAAUAAACAACUAGGUUGUUGGAUCCCACACAUACCAAGCAUUUCAAAAAGCAUACACACAAUAUGCUCGAUAUGUGCAAAUACAACAUGGCAUCACAACAAAACUCUACGACUCAAAGUAUUUAUUCAUUAGGCUCUGAGGAGCCAGAUAUUACAAACAUGGGUCUGAUGACCCAGCAUUCAAGUCAUACAAGCAAUAAGCACAUGCGGAAGCUUAACUUGUUUGAGUACAAACAAGUACAAAUGAAAAUGGCGGAGAUGCCUGACUAUCUAAGACCCUGCCGAGGGCACAAGAUCGUAGCUGAGAUAACAAGCUAAACAUCGAAGUCCACGCGGAACUACUAGUGAGACUAAAGUCUCUCUGCAAAAACAUAAAUUAAACAAAUGUGAGUACAAAUAUACCCAUCAAGACUUACAUCAAAACUAGCUACAUAUGCAUCAGUAUCAACAAAGGGGGUGGUGGAGUUUAACUACAGCAAGCCAGCUUUGACUGUGGCUACCCUGAAAUACGACUGCAAGUAACUUUUUUGAGGUGGCGCACACGAGUCUACAUAUUCACCAAUCAAUACACCACUAUGGAUCUGCUCCCGUCUCCCUACGAGAAUGCCAUCCAUAGCACUCACUCUUAUAUUGCGCAUUUUAGAGUAUCCACUUUCACUUGUCUAUGAACUAUAUAGGCAACCCAGAAGUCCUUUUCCGCGGACGUGGCUAUUCGAAUAGAUCAUUUAUAAACGAACUUCCUCACACACACUCUCGCCACUUACCACCAUGUACGCGUCGUGUACCUCGGCAACCUUCAAGCGGAAGCCUGGCAAGGGAGUCAGCCACGACCUGAUUAACCACACAAGUCUCUAGUCCAAGUUUAUCGCCUAUUCGAGUUCCAUCCGCAAGGAGAUCCAGUCGGGGUUUCGCUCAUGGCCCCAAACGAUGAGAGCGGGGUUCCCGAGGCACCAAACGGGCGUCUUAGUACACCGUGCCUCAUGUAUCUACCGCAUCAUAGCCCACCCCUAGGGUCAGCGCUACGCACGCCCCCCAACACAUAUCCUACAAACACUAGAAACUAGUUGCAACUCCUGGACAGAGAUCAAGGCGAUUAAUAAGCCGAGAUCAGUUGAGUUACCGGAACCCAAUGUGUGGUAGUAACUGUUCAUGGAUCACGAACACAGAAUUCAGUUCCUGAGGACGGUUUCAAUGAGACAAUCCACCAUGUACUCCUACAUGCCCUCUCACUCCUACCUUUACCAAAUCAUGUUCACACACUUAGCUCUCAACAAUAAGACAUGUUCACCACAUUCCAAUUCAUCCCCAAUGAAUCAGAACUGACUCAACUCUAAGCAGUAGCAGGCAUGACAACAAGCAUGAAUGAGUAGGCACAUCAGGGCUCAAACAACUCCUACUCAUGCUAGUGGGUUUCAUCUAUUUACUAUGGCAAUGACAGGUCAUGCAGAGGAAAGGGGUUCAAGUACCACAACAUGUAACAGUUGAAACGUUGUUGUCCUAAUGUAGUAAAAGAGAGCAAGAGCGAGAGAGUGGGAUUGUAACGGAAUGAACAAGGGGGUAUUGCUUGCUUGGCACUUCUGAAGAUAGUAUAGUUCUUCAUCGGUGUCACCGAUCUCAUCGUCGGAACCACGUCUACUGAGAGGGGACAAACACCGACAAACAAGAGGGAACAUAGUCAAUGCAAUGCAACAAUAUGAUGCAUGAUUAUGACAUGGCAAUAUGCUGUGAUUUGAGCUAAUGCAACUAGUAACAUAAGGGUUUGGGUUGAUUUGAACCAAAGGUUCAAAUUCAAACUAUGAAUUUCCAAAGUGCAUUAACAUGUUUUGAUCUAUACAUCAAGGUUAAGUUGCUUUAUCAUGCAUGAAACCAGUACUAAUGGAUAGAUUGGAUUUCGCUGAUAAUUUUUCAUAUAUAACUCUUUUCAUUCCAAGUUAUAGAUUAUUUUCUAUGAUUUUCUGAAGUUUAUAACAUUUCUAGAAUUUCCUGGAUUCGUAAAAAUGCCAGAAAACAUUUACUGCAUCAGCAUGAUGACAACACUACGUCAGCAGGUCAACCGGGUUGACCUAGGUCAAACCUGACGCUGACUGGGGUUUGACCCAAUGUUUGGGCCCACUGUCAGUGACUAUGAGGUAGCUAAUUAGGGGGGGGGGGUUAGUCGUAAUGACCGUGCCACGUCGGCUGUCGCUGGAGUUCGGCCAGCGGCGACCAAAUCUGCGGCGGCAACUCGCCGGACGUACGUGAUACGUCUCCAACGUAUCUAUAAGUUUUGAUUGCUCCAUGCUAUAUUAUCUACUGUUUUGGACAUUAUUGGGCUUUAUUAUCCACUUUUAUAUUAUUUUUGGGACUAACCUAUUAACUGGAGGCCCAACCCAGAAUUGUUGUUUUUUGCCUGUUUUAGGGUUUCGAAGAAAAGGAAUAUCAAACGGAAUGAAACCUUCGGGAACGUGAUUUUCUUAACGAAUAAGACCAGGGAGAUUUGGACCCUACGUCAAGAAAUAAAACAGGAGGCCACGAGGUAGGGGGCGCACCCACCCCCACCAGGCGCGCCCUCCACCCUCGGGGGCCCCCUGUUGCUCCACCGACGUACUCCUUCCUCCUAUAUAUAUCCACGUACCCCCAAACGAUCAGAAACGGAGCCAAAAACCUAAUUCCACUGCCGCAACUUUCUGUAUCCACGAGAUCCCAUCUUGGGGCCUAUUUCGGAGCUCCGUCGGAGGGGGCAUCGAUCAUGGAGGGAUUCUAUAUCAACACCAUAGCCCCUCCGAUGAAGUGUGAGUAUUUUACCUCAGACUUACGGGUCCAUAGUUAGUAGCUAGAUGGCUUCUUCUCUCUUUUUGGAUCUCAAUACAAUGUUCUCCCCCUCUCUUGUGGAGAACCAUUCGAUGUGAUCUUCUUUUUGCGGUGUGUUUGUUGAGACCGAUGAAUUGUGGGUUUAUGAUCAAGUCUAUCUACGAAUAAUAUUUGAAUCUUCUCUGAAUUCUUUUAUGUAUGAUUGGUUAUCUUUGCAAGUCUCUUCGAAUUAUCAGUUUGGUUUGGCCUACUAGAUUGAUCUUUCUUGCAAUGGGAGAAGUGCUUAGCUCUGGGUUCAAUCUUGCGGUGUCCUUUCCCAGUGAUAGUAAGGGUAGCAAGGCAUGUAUUGUAUUGUUGCCAUCGAGGAUAACAAGAUGGGGUUUUCUUCAUAUUGCAUGAAUCUAUCCCUCUACAUCAUGUCAUCUUGCUUAAGGCGUUACUCUAUUUUUAACUUAAUACUCUAGAUGCAUGCUGGAUAGCGGUCGAUGAGUGGAGUAAUAGUAGUAGAUGCAGGCAGGAGUCGGUCUACAUGUCUCGGACGUGAUGCCUAUAUACAUGAUCAUACCUAGAUAUUCUCAUAAAUAUGCUCAAUUCUGUCAAUUGCUCAACAGUAAUUUGUUCACCCACCGUAGAAUACCUAUGCUCUUGAGAGAAGCCACUAGUGAAACCUAUGGCCCCCGGGUCUAUCUUUAUCAUAUUGAUCUCCUACUACUUAGUUAUUUCCUUUGUUAUUUACUUUGCCUUUAUUUUACUUUGCAUCUUUAUCAUAAAAAUACCAAAAAUAUUAUCUUAUCAUAUCUAUCAGAUCUCACUCUCGUAAGUGGCCUUAUAGGGACUGACAACCCCUAUUUGCGUUCGUUGUGAGGAUUUAUUUGUUUUGUGCAGGUGCGAGGGACUCGCGCAUAGCCUCCUACUGGAUUGAUACCUUGCUUCUCAAAAACUGAGGGAAAUACUUACGCUACUUUGCUGCAUCAUCCCUUCCUCUUCAGGGAUAACCAACGCAAUGCUCAAGAGGUAGCAAUAAGGAUUUCUGGCGCCGUUGCCGGGGAGGUCUACGCAAAAGUCAACAUACCAAGUACCCAUCACAUACCCUUAUCUCCCGCAUUAUAUUAUUUGCCAUUUGCCUCUCAUUUUCCUCUCCCCCCACUUCACCCUUGCCGUUUUAUUCGCCCUCUCUCUCUAUCCUCCCUCUCCCUCUCUAUAUGCCUCUUUUUGUCCGCUUGCUUUUUGUUUGCUUGUGUGUUAGUUUGCUUGCUUGUCACGAUGGCUCAAGAUAAUAAUAAAUUGUGUGACUUCACCAAUACCAACAACAAUGAUUUUAUUAGCACUCUGAUUGCUCCUCUUACCGAUGCUGAAUCUUGUGAAAUUAAUACUGCUUUGCUCAAUCUUGUCAUGAAAGAUCUGUUCUCCGACCUUCCUAGUGAAGAUGCCGCUACCUAUCUAAAUAGCUUUGUUGAUUUGUGUGACAUGCAAAAUAAGAAAGAUGUGGAUAAUGAUAUUGUUAAAUUGAAGCUAUUUCCUUUUUUGCUUAGAGAUCGUGCUAAAGCUUGGUUUUUGUCUAUGCCUAAAAAUAGUAUUGAUUCAUGGAACAUGUGCAAAGAUGCUUUUAUCUCUAAGUAUUUUCCUCCCGCUAAGAUCAUCUCUCUUAGAAACGAUAUUAUGAAUUUUAAGCAACUUGAUCAUGAACAUGUUGCACAAGCUUGGGAGAGAAUGAAAUUAAUGAUACAUAAUUGCCCUACCCAUGGUUUAAAUUUGUGGAUGAUUGUUCAAAAAAUUUAUGCCGGAUUGAAUUUUGCUUCUAGAAAUCUUUUAGAUUCAGCCGCGGGAGGCACUUUUAUGGAAAUCACUUUAGGAGAAGCUACUAAACUCCUAGAUAAUAUUAUGGUUAAUUAUUCUCAAUGACAUACUGAAAGAUCUACUAAUAAAAAGGUGCAUGCAAUAGAAGAAAUUAAUGUUUUGAGUGGAAAGAUGGAUGAACUUAUGAAAUUAUUUGCUAAUAAGAGUGUUUCUUUUGAUCCUAAUGAUAUGCCCUUGUCUACUUUGAUUGAUAAUAAUAAUGAAUCUAUGGAUGUGAAUUUUGUUGGUAGGAACAAUUUUGGUAACAACGCGUAUAGAGGAAAUUUUAAUCCUAGGCCUUAUCCUAGUAAUCCCUCUAAUGCUUAUGGUAAUUCCUAAAACAAUUCUUAUGGAAAUUAUAAUAAGAUGCCCUCUGAUUUUGAAUAUAAUAUUAAAGAAUUUAUUACUUCACAAAAGAAUUUUAAUGCUAUAUUGACGAAAAAUUGCUUAAGAUUGAUGAUUUGGCUAGGAACGUUGAUAGAAUUGCUCUUGAUGUUGAUUCUUUGAAACUUAGAUCUAUUCCACCUAAGCAUGAUAUCAAUGAGUCUCUCAAAGCCAUGAGAAUUUCCAUUGAUGAGUGCAAAGAAAGAACCGCUAGGAUGCAUGCUAAAAAGAUGCCUUUAUAAGAGCGUGUUCUUCUAGUUGCCAUGAAAAUAAAGAUGAAAAUCUAAAAGUUAUUGAUGCCUUUAUAAGAACCGUUAUGUGAUGAAGUCGGAGCAUGAUUUAUUUUUUGAUUGCGUUCCUUAUGAGUGGCGGUCGGGGACGAGCGAUGGUCUUUUCCUACCAAUAUAUCCCCCUAGGAGCGGAAGGUCAUGUUGUGAUAACCCUGUUGGCACACCUAGGAGAUGUUCUUAAUGCGCGUGGCAACAAGGGUGAAACAUAUCUUGUGGGUUGAUAUGUACAACCCUUGUAGAAAGUUAGAUACUCGAGCAAUUUGGAAGACACUGGUUGAGGAAUUUGGAGAUGGUGGAAUUUAUUCCAUGCUUAUCAUGGACAUUAGAAGACAAUUAUCAUGCUACUAUAUCUAUCAUGGUAUUUACAAAUGUAGAUUUACUUAGUUUCAAAACGAGUAGGACUAUCACACUCACACAAAUCCAGCUUUAUGUGAAAUGUUGAAACAUAUCAUAGAGCCCCUUCCUUUGUACUAAGCCUGGUAUGAAUAUUCUAAUAUACUCUUUUUUUUGAGUUGCUUACGAGUACAUUCAAACGUACUCACUGGAUAAUAUUGUCCCUGGUUAAUAACUUGGCCAGGCAUGGAGGAGCAGAAUGUUGAAGAUGGAUUGGACGACACCCUUGAGAACUAGGACGCUCCCGAUCAGAAUGCAUGUAGCCUAUUGGGUUAAGGCAUGAUGGCAUGCGCCCAAGUUAUCAUUGGAGUUUCCUAUGCAGUUUCAUUUGGAGUUUCGCCCAUGUGGCCCGUAUGGGCAUAUUUAUGCAAGUUUUACCAUUAUGUAUGGUGUAACAUUUGAUAUCAAUUCUUUGCGUUUGGUGAGCAUUGAUCUUUUGCACCUAAAAGUAGUGUCUUCGGUUAGCUAGACCAGGACCCCCACAUCGGUGAUCCCCAUCGAUGAGUCCAUACUAUCGGGUUAGCAGUUACAUGCCAAUGGCUUGUGAAACUUAGUCAUCAACCGAAUCGUAUACUAGUCAAAGGAUAUGUGUUCGCAUAACCUUAUCAACUAGGGACCAUUAGAACAGUCAUCACACAAUAGUCUCACAAGUAAGUCACGUACUUAUUGAUACAUAUCAGUGAUGAUGUUCAAGAAUAAUACAAAUAACUCAUGAAUACAUAGGGAAAUAACAUCAUCACAUGUACUAAAAAAUUUGCUCUAUUUUGCGACAUUUUACUUCUGUCACGUAAAACCGUUUUCCUUCACGGAAAAUGCCAUGGUGACAUUUUUCAGCCGUCACCACCGCCAUCACUGAAGCGUCGUCAUAAAAACUAAAAUCUUGACGGCACUACUUCCUCUAUCACGCAAGAUCAUGCCUUAGGUAAUGAACCCAAAAUUGUCACUGAUGGUCGUUUUCGGUGAUGGACCAUAGUGUCACCUAUGAUAAGCCAAUCUUUUGCCUAAGAUCUUUUUCGGUGACAAUAAUCCGUCACCAAUAAUUGGUCCGCGGGUUUGACCAGUCAAAGAUUCUUACAAGUGGGGCCAGCAGUUGCUGAAGUGGUUGCUUCCAUGUGGGUCCGCCUUGGGUUUUAUCGCCGAUGGUCUCGUUAGUAAUAAGUCGGGCGUCGGUUUUAACCGGUGAACGCAGUUGACAUAUGGGCCUAGAAUGUGUUGACGUGCCUACCUACAUGUGGUACCAUGCAUUCUGUUUUCUAUGAUGAUAUGUCAUUUGAAUGGUCAAAGAUUCUAAUAUGUUGGCCCAUUGUAGUGUUGAAGUGGAUUCCGGCAAGUGGGUCCAUACGUGGGUGACGUGGCUUCUUACUUGUGGGUCCAUACACUUGUGAUGGUGUUCAUGACCGCCAUAGUAUUUAGGCACGGUCAAUUUGUAUUAUACUAGAACAAUGCUCGUGCAUUGCAACGGGAUAUAAAUAUUCUAGCACGUUAGCUUGUGAUUUACCCGUCAAAUGAUCAUCAAAUUCUGAUCGUGAAUUACCUUAUAUUUUGAUUAGAAGUUUGGUAAGUAAACUAAAGUGGAAUUGGUUCAGAAGGUAAGUAAAUUAAGGUGAUUGAUUAUCAUAUGCAUUGAAGGUUGGACGAAGGGGUGGUGGGAAGAAAGGUGAAAUGGGAACCUUACCUUCUUUUUAAGUAGUAGAGAUUGCAAUUGGCGGGCACAUACGACACAAUAUUGAGUUUUUAAAAUAAUUUUAAUAUGAAUUUGUGCAAAAUUUGAAUAUAAAUCCAAAUUCAGCACUUGUUGCUUAUAUUAAACUGCAAACUUGACAAUUGUCAAACAGACUGUCCGAGACAUUACAAUAACCAACCAUGGGGCAGAGCCAUAGCAUAAAAAGUAGACACAUAUGACUUACUUUCAUUGCUCACAUGUCAAAGAAUCCCGGGAACGCAAUCCAGGCGAUAAACUUUAGCAUUCCAUCAAUAUCAUCAAGCUUCCUGUCGAGAGCUUAGGUUUUCACUUCCUUCGCAUUCUUGACGAGUUCAGGUUCUUCUUAUUGCUCUACAGGGGCAGAUAUAAUAGGCCCAAUGUUAGACCUUCAAUUUUAUCUUAUUGCUCUAGCAAGGCCUUCUUGACACCUUCUAGUACUUUUUGUUGCUCUACAAGGGUAAUUUCAUUGAUUCUUGGCCAUGCCGCAUAUCUGGCAUGAGAUGCUUCACAGCUUCACGUUCUAGCUCAUGCUUUGCCAAGGCCUUCGCCACAACUUUAAAUUGUAGUUGCUGCCAUGCUAGGGCCUUCUUCAUAGCAUCUACUUCGUCAUGCUGGUUUACCAUUGCAUGCUCAACAGCUUCUAGUUGUUCUUGUUGCACUGCUAGGGCAUUGAUGACUGCAUCAGAUUUUUGUUUCUGGGGAAAAACACUUACAAUAAUGUCUUCAUUUGAGAAUCCCGACUUUUCCUACAAAGAAUUUUAUAGAGGUUACAUGAUAUAGAAUAAUUCCAAAUUGUAGAUGCAUCUACCACAGUAUAUAGUGGUAGGGUGAACAAAGACAACCUACUAAUUAAGGAAGAGUUUACAGAAAAGAGUUCAACUACUCACCGGCUGAACCCGCUUUGUCUUUGAUGUGCUUGAGCUUGGGGGUACAUCUGAAGUUAGAGACAUGAGUUUUUUUAACUCUUCAUGUACCAUAUGUAUACCCUUAGUUACAACUUCAAGUUGAUGACAGUAAUAUUCCUGCCAUAAUGUAGUUGAAGACAUUAGAUUGCAGGCAAUUUACAUUACGUAUGUAUUGUUACAACAAGUAAACAUAUUCUAACCAUAGAUGUAGAGUUUGUAAUAAAAAUGUCCUCUACAUUUGUAGUGGUGGCCAGAUUUGCGUCGUUUUGUUCACUUUUCAGUGUCACUGUCUAUCAAGUCUUCUUGAUGGUUUGAACAAUGACCAAGACCUCUAAUAUCUAAGAACACGGGUAAAUCUGUGAGAUGACCGGGAAAAGCUACAAAGCUAGAAAACUCUUCAUGUCGAUACAGGUUCUUUUUUGUGCAUUUGCUAAUCUUCUCCCACUCCAUUGGUACAACUGUUACAUAAAGGUGAUCACUUGUUGAAAGUAGGUGCAAUAUGAGAUGGCGACAAUUUUAAAUAUUUGUUCCAUGAUCAUUAAACAUCCAUGUACUUACACUAAGAUCAAGGAAGUGAACUAGUAAUAAGAACCCUAACUAGAUUGACCCACGUGCGGAACCGGAAUAAGAACCUCAAAUCAUAAAUGUCAUUGUUCAAGAAAUCGGUAACUGGUAGCUGCUUGGCUGGCUUGGGAGUAGUGAUUAAUCGGUGAAUUAGCCUAUUAAUCGAAUUAAUCAGUCGACCAUUAAUCAGUAUAUUAAAUAGGAACUUGCCAAGAUACAUCUAGUUUUUAUGUAUUAUACCAUACUCUCAUGCUCUCAGCUAUGUAUACUAUACCAAAAUAUGCUACUGUUUGGUUGAACCUGAGCUAUUGAGGAGCGAGAGGGGGACCGGAGGGGUUACGGGGCAAAAUUUUGGGCUUUGUUUGUGCACAAGUUAAUGGGCCAGAAGUGAUUAAUCGGCCUAAUAACUGAUUAAUCGGUCUAGCAGGCCAACUAAUCGGUCUGACAUGUUAACAUGAUGAAUAGGUGUUAUUCGAUUUGGCCACCCAGCGAGUAGCGAUUAACUGGCCUAUUAACUGAUUAAUCGUACGAGUUCUUGAACAGUUAAAUGUUGUAAAAAGAACAACAACUUUCACAUAAAAAGUAAGUAGAUGCGAAGGCCAAUUAGGAUUGAGAUAAUGGGUGUUGGGAUCUACAGUAGGGUGCGUCGACUGCAAAUAAAAUUUUCCUACGUGCAGACCAACCAAGAACAUGCUACGGGAGAUGGAUCACAGAUUGUUGCCACUAGACGCGUAGUGCCAUGCAGCGGAAGAAGAGUUGGGCAGCGCGUCCACGUGGAUCAUCUCCUCCUCGUCCGAUCUCCCUCGAACAGCCGGUCGUCGGAUCGCACGUACAAGUUCACCAGAGCGGCACAGGUGCACUGCCUUUAACGGUAUCCACAUGUGUAGGAGGAACAUCGUGCGUCGGACUGCUAGGUACGAUCACACAGUUAGCGGUGAGUGGAGGUGGCUAUUCACAACACAUGCAAACCCUAGUGACAGCGCCGAAGCAAUCAACCAAAUGAGUGUGCUGCACCCCCACUUUAUAUGGGCGUCCAUCAUGUGCUCAACACUUGGGCCUUGCAGGGAACCUAAAGCCCAAAAUCUGUCCGGUCGGGAUCCGAGUCCGAGUAGGAUCACAUCUAGCUCGUGGAGUUGGAUCAGGCUUCAUGGGUUCCUUCCCUUAAGCGCGCGACCCCUUAGGUUCAAGUCGGCUUGGUCGCAGGUCGGAUCACCUCUGACUUGCUCGGCUGGUAGCAGCCUCUAGCAAGGUGUGUCGACCACCAAGUAGACAAUGAAGCCGGUUGGUGAACUGAAAGGAUCGAGAAGAGGUGUCUAGAGGGGGGGGGGGUGAAUAGACUCUUAGUAACAUUUUUUAAUUUCUUUAAGUUAAGGUGGAGUUUUAGCACAAGUUUAACCAUUCACAAUACAUUCAAGCAAGCAUGGAAAGAGUAUAUGAGCAGCGGAAAGUAAAGCAUGCAACUUGCAAGAAAGUAAAGGGAUGGGAUUGGAAUGUGCAAACGCAAUUGGAGACUCGGAGAUUUUUGGCGUGGUUCUGAUAGGUGGUGCUAUUGUACAUCCACGUUGAUGGAGACUUCAAUCCACGAAGGGUAACGGUUGCGCGAGUCCACGGAGGGCUCCACCCACGACGGGUCCACGAAGAAGCAACCUUGUCUAUCCCACCAUGGCCAUCGCCCACGAAGGACUUGCCUCACAAUGGUAGAUCUUCACGAAGUAGGCGAUCUCCUUGCCCGUACAAACUCCUUGGUUCAACUCUACAAUCUUGACGAAGGCUCCCAAGUGACACCUAACCAAUCUAGGAGACACCAUUCUCCAAAAGGUAAUAGACGGUGUGGUGAUGAUGAACUCCUUGCUCUUGUGCUUCAAAUGAUAGUCUCCCCAACACUCAACUCUCUCUCUCUCUCUCUCUCACAUAUUUGGAUUUGGUGGAAAGAUGAUUCAAGUGUAAAGCUACUUGGGGAAGGCUAGAGACCAAGAUUCAAAUGGUUGGAAUGGAAUAUCUUGGUCUCAACACAUGAGUAGGUGGUUCUCUCUCAGAAAAUGAGUGCUGGAAGUGUAGGCACGUUCUGAUGGCUCUCCUAUGUAAUGAAGGAAGGGUGGAGGAGUAUAUAUAGCCUCCACACAAAAUCUAACUGUCACACACAGUUCGCCAAACUCAGUGGGACCGAAUCACAAAACCCGGUCGGACCGAUUCAGUUCAUAAUGUGACCGUUAGGCAUUUCGGUGGGACCGAUAUGAUCAACUUGGUGGGACCGAUGUGCUAGGGUUAGGGUAAAACUUCAUCUCGGUUUGACCAAUUACACAAACUCAGUGAGACCAGUUUUGGUAAUUAGCAAAACAGAGAGUUGGUUAGGCAAACUCGGUGGGACCGAUUGCUUAUCUCGGUGGGACCGAAAUAAUUGCAAUAGGUAACAGAGAGUUUGCAAGCCCAUCUCGAUGAGAUCGAGAUCCCAUCGGUGAGACCGAAUUGAUUAGGGUUUCUGGCAGUGGCUAUGUCAAGUGAACUCGGUGGCACCGGAUGGAUCAAAUUAGUGGGGCCGAGUUUGACUUUUGUUUUGGGACAUAUGUGGAUAUGAGAAAGUGGUUGAGGGCUUUGGAGCAUAUCACUAAGCACUUUGAGCAAGCAAGCCAUUAAGCAACACCUCAUCCCCUUUUAAUAGUAUUGGCUUUCCUAAGGACUCAAUGUGAUCUUGGAUCACUAAACUGAAAAUGUAGAGCCUUGAGCUUUUGAGCUUGAGCCAAUCCUUUGUCCUUAGCAUCUUGAAGGGGUUCCACAUCCUCUUGUCCAUGCCACUCCAUCUGUUGAACUUAUCUGAAAUAUACUAGAUAAAAACAUUAGUCCAACAAGAGAUAUGUUGACAUUAAUUACCAAAACCACCCAGGGAGCACUUGUGCUUUCAUGAACCUAUACAACAUGUCACACUUCUGUUCCCUUUGCCUCACGAUAUAUGUUGCCGGGCUCAAGGCGAGUCUGUCAUCCUUGUGCUUGCCCGACAUCUUUCUCGUUCCAGUGAUGCCUACCACUAAAUGGGUUAUCUCAUAAUCCCAGUCGCAUGGCCAUGCUUAUCUUGGUCGGAUCACACGAGGGGCCCAGAGUAUAUCUCUCCUGAUCAGAGGGGCAAAUCCCAUCUUGCCCGACCAUGUCUCGCAAUAUGGGUCCGGACAAGCCCUAAACCUACCUUUGUAAGUACCCAGCCAUAGAGUAGCAUUUGGUUGGCCCAAAGUAAGUCUGUCACCAUCCCGAGUACAUGUGACAGCUCAGGUCUUAGGACAUAGAACGUAUGUUGUACUAGAGACUCACAAAUGACAAAUCCUUGCGUCUCGUAGUUGGGUCUAUCCGACUCAGACCUUAUCUCAACUCAGGUCUGACUACGUCGAAUCUGAACAGAUGCUUCCGUGUCCAUAUUAUCCGGUUAGCAUCCAAUGCGCCAUGGCUACUGAUACCAAGCCAUCAACCGUGUCAUAUGCUAGUCUAGUCGGCUGCGCGUCCACACAACCCUUUCGACUAGGGACCUUUUAGGACAGUCACAUACAAUGCAUAGUCCCACAAACCAGUCAUGUACUUGUUGAUACACAUCAUUGAUAAUGUCCAAGGACUAACUUUAUUCAUAAACACAUAGGAAAUAUCAUCAUACAUGAUUGCCUCUAGGGCAUAUCACCAACAGUAGACGCACCAUGUGAGCGGACGAGCCCUAGUAGAACGCCGUCGGACGGGUGCGCCUCCAUGGUGACAAAACAAUUUGUGGUGGUGAAGUGAUAACCAUCGGCCGGGAGUGGAUUGGAUCUAUAGGCAAAGAGGGAGAGAUAGGAGGCAACAUAUUCUUUCUUCGAUGGGGAUGAGGCUGGUGUUGAAAUAAGAGGCAUGAUUGGUGAGGCUUGGGGUUAGUUUUACGGGGCGUUCCAAUAUGAUGAAACAUGCACGUACAUCUUCUAAGAUCCAGGAAAUGAACUUGUCGGCGUUCUGGGAACGGGGGUCCCCAGACUUGCCUGCCCGCGGCUUGCGGCGUGGCUCAAAGGGGGCCCCGGCACGGCCCAUCUUCAUCAACAAAGACCCAAGACCCUCACGAGGGGCCAAGCCUCGCGGGGCGGACGACACGGAGCUUCCUCAGGCAUGGCCUCAUCAGGCUGGCUCACGAGGAGGCGGAGAGAUCAAGGCGGGGUACCUCACGAGGUGCCUGUGACGCAAGCCAUGACGACCAAAGGCGCCAGGCGGGCGCCAGCCCGCGCAGUGUCCUCCUUUCCUCUUUGGUGCAAAGGGAGCAAGCGCAGCCGCGGAGUACCGAGGUAUUAGGAAAAGGUUGCCAUUUCGGUGCAACAAGAACAAGACCAGGAGGACUGCAAGAUAGAGGUCAUCGUGGAGCCCAAGACAGCGUUACCACCAGAGCUUUGUGCAGGCGAAGACUACUUUUGUCAGGAUAGCUGGUACUAGCUGUCCCCCUUCAAAUUAGCUCGCCAUUGUUGGCUCCCUUCCCGCUCGAUAUUUGGGAAGAGGACCAGGGCCUCUAUAAAUAGGACCAGCCACCCACAGGAUCGAGGAGAGGGGUUUAGGGGGAUCGAGACCAACGAUCGAGUAGAGAGGAGGUCGAAUCAGAUCAACAAUCGUGAAGAGAGAGAGAGAGAGAAGGGUGACUGAACUCCUCCUAGUAGUUCGUCCCCCCCCCCAGCCAAGAACAGACCCUCGCGAGGUUGUUCUUCCUUGUAUCAUUCAUCAUCAUCAGCCCAAGAGGCAAUCCACCACACCACACACCGGAGUAGGGUAUUACACCACAAUGGUGGCCCGAACCAGUAUAAACCCCGUGUCUCUUGUGUCAUUCUUCCCAUAGCUUAGAUCUUAGCGAGGCGGAGGGGUGUAGGUAGGUAGGAGGCGAAAUCUCCGCGCGCACCCCAGUGUUCGAACCUCAAGGGUCUGCCGGAACCUGAAAUCCGACAUUUGGCGCGCCAGGUAGGGGUGCGCCGGAAUUCGUCUUCCACCACCCCGUUCUCCUCCGACCAUCGUGCCCAUGUCUGACGCUCGUCGGGCCCGCACCGAGCGCCGGGCCGCUCUCGCUUCUCGCGUCGCCCAGACGGCUCCUGUCGGUGGGCGUCCUCGCCGUUCCCCGUCACCUGCCGUCAAUGCUGCCACCGGCCCAGCGGGGGACGAGCAGCAAGCAUCGUCUCAGCAUCCGUCCGUGCAGCAAGACGGCCGCACCGCAACUCCCUCGCUCACCCCAGCUGGUUCUUCAUCCCGCGCGCUCCGUGCACCCAUGGAGGCUCGAGCUGCGCUCAUCGCGGCAAACGAGCUCCUGCGCUACUGUCCCGUCGACAACGUCUACGAAGAAUGGCUCGACCGCGUCGCUGAGCUCGUCCGCGCCGCAGGGGGCUCUCCUGCGCCGUCCGUUCCGCUGCACCGCACCCCGCCCUGCGCGGGCGGCGAAGCUCCAGCGGCGCCCUGGCCGCCUCCUCCUCAAGAAGGCGCCAUGGCUCUAAGGCGCGUGGCCCCUGGGCGGAACCCGCUCCGUCAGGUGUCAGCGCAGCAAGAGCAGAGCUUCCAAGAAGUCCCUCGCCCGCAAGAAGCUGCCCGGGCGCUCCCUGCUCCAGCACGUUGCAACUCGCGACCAUGCUCCUGCUCCCGCACAUCAAGACCCCGUGCUGCUCCCAGCUACAGCGCGUGGGGACAUGCAAGACCAAGCUCUAUGUCACCCAAGGCCUCCCGUGACCACAGCAGGCUGCCGUGCCUUCACCAUCGAGCUACGCAGCGUUGCGUGGCCCGGCAAGUUCAAGCCAGACCUGCCUCCUCGUUACGACGGCACGGCUGACCCUGCGGAGUUCCUCCAGCUCUAUGAGCUGGGCAUCAAAGCUGCCAACGGAGACGAGAAGGUCAUGGCGAACUAGUUUCCCAUGGCGCUCAAGGACGGGGCCCGCACCUGGCUCCUGAACCUGGCUCCAGGCACGAUCUCCUCCUGGGACGAGAUGCGCACCCGCUUCAUCGCCAACUUCCAAGGUACUCGCGACCGGCCACCCGCCGUGAGCGACAUGCGCCGCAUCAAGCAACAACCCGGGGAGACCCUGCAGAAGUACAUCCAGCGCUUCAACAACGCACGCCUCAAGAUUCCCAGGGUGACUGAGGAGGCCAUCAUCUCAGCCUUCUCCGACGGCAUGCGUGAUGUCAAGAUGAAGGAGGAGCUGGCGAUGCAUGAAGACCUGUGCACUUCCUUGGAGCUGUUCAACUUGUCAACCAAGUGCGCCAGGGCUGAGGAAGGGUGUCUCUCCCUCCUCGAGCUGCCUGCCGCAGACCCAAAAGAGAAGAAGCCCAAGGCCAAGGAUGUGAAGCGCAAGGGGGCUGCCGUGCUCGUGGCAGAACCAGACGCCAAGCGGGGCAGAGAUCAGCCCGAACCUUCCAAGGGCAGUUGGUACUGUGUGUACCACGACCUCCACACCCACAACACCAACGAAUGUCAAGAGCUCCGAGCCAUGCGAGAAGGAAGGAUCGGCCGUCGCCCCGACCGCGGUGACCGGGGCUACGGUCGAGGAGGAGGAAGGAACGCAGGACGCUGGGAAGACUGUGGCCCGCGCCAAGGGUGGCGCGAUCAACCUCGCGAGGAUCGCUGGCAAGACCUGCCUCACGAGGGAGACUGGAGGGAUCAGCCUCGCGAGGAUCGCCCGCAAGGCAACGUAGGCCUCCCUCCGCUACCACCGCAGCCAAGGAGAAACGAGGACCGCCACCAGGACGAGGGGGCUGGGGGCUUUCAGGAGCCGUGCGCGAUCGCCUGCAUCUUGGGCGGGGCUCAAGCCCCAGCCUCUCAACGCAUCUUCAAGCAGUUCGCCCGUGAAGUGAAUGCAGUCCUCCCCAGGCUCGAAGCCACGCGCCUUCUCAGGUGGUCGGCGUGUGCCAUCACGUUCAGCUCAGCAGAUCAGCUCAAGUGUGCGGCUACAGCCGGAGUCCUCCCGAUGCUUUGUUCCCCAAUCAUCAGCAACAUGGUGGUCACCAGGACCCUCAUCGAUGGCGGGGCAGGGCUCAACGUCCUGUCCGUGGAAACAUUCAACAAUCUCCAAGUGCCCUACAGCCAGCUUCAGCCAACCAAGCCUUUCUCCGGAAUCACCGACGGCUCCACGGUCUCGAUUGGGCAGGUCCGCCACCCUGUCAUCUUUGAGGCACGCGACAACUACCGCACCGAGCUCAUCGACUUUGACGUCGCUCACAUUCGCCUGCCGUACAAUGCCAUCCUUGGGUACCCAGCGCUGGCCAAGUUCAUGGCCGUAACUCACCACGGCUACAACGUCCUCAAGAUGCCAGGAAGUGGCGGAGUCAUCACGGUGCCCUGUGAAGAGAAGGACGCGGUGUGUUCCCUGGAACGAGCCUUUCAGGCCGCGUCACUGGAAGACCCGGAUCGCAGAAGAAGGAGGAUUCCCGAGACCGCCCCCAAGAAGAAGAAGACGUCAUCCAGCCCGGCCCCUUAGGAGGCAGGCCCCUCUGGGCCCAUGCCUGCCCAGGGGGAACCUCCUUCCAUUGCAUAGGAAAGCGCGCCCAGCGCCCUCCUCAGGCAGGGCUCGGGGGCUCUCCCCUGGAGGGCCACCGACCUGGCUAGGGUCACGAGGGAGGCGCUUGGGCACCACAUGGAGGCGUGUUUCGAAGCACGUUUCCCUCAAGAAGGAGCAAGGCAAGGAGAGCCAGACCAUCAGGAGUUCGUCAGCAAGGCCAUUCAGGAGCUACAAGAGUCAAGAGUCAUGAAAGGCGGCCGCCGCCUACCAGCAGUGGCUCCCCAUCCAGGCAAGGAUGGUGGGCUGCGCGUCUGCAUCGACAUACCAGGGCUCAACCGAGUCGCCUCUCGGGAGCGCCUCUAGCCCUCGCGAGUGGGGCGCUGCGGAGGUCCACCCCACAGCUACGUUCGCAUGCCUUACGGCUUGCCGAACGCGGCUGCCACGUACCAGUGCCUCAUGAGGGGCAUCAUGGAGGCACAAGAGGCCAGGCGUUCCGCGGCCCUGGCGGAGAUGGAGAUGGUCCGCAAGGAGCCACUAGCACCUCCGGAGCCUCCCGAGGCCCCUGGGCCUGGGGGCUCGUGAGGAUCGGCUUCCGCAGCACACCGAGUCUGCUACACCAACACCCCUUCGUCCUCAACGUCAUCAGGUGACAUCUUUUAAGUUUCACUUCCAGCUGGGAGCGCCCCCCAGGGCUGCAUUAUUCCCAGGCCGCGUGGGUCCGUCCCUGCGGCGUGUAUCCCUUUUAUUUCAUGUUGCUAGCUUACCUUGUUGGGGGCGCCCCUCGGGCUGCAUGAUCCCCAAGUCGCUCGGGCCAGACCCAGCGGCAUGUAUCCCAUUUGCGUUUAUUUCCGGUUAUGCGUUCGACCCACCAUGCUUGAUUAUUUGAUGUCGGUCCACGGCACCUCUUCUUCUCCAUGUCGACCACUUGCACGCUAAAGGGGGGGUACCUGAGCAUCGCGACUCAGGGCUCUUACUGGCUCUCCAGCCUUCACCCUCUGGCCUUGUCCACGGCAUCGCGACCUGGCAUACCAGCGACGGCUGAGACCAGCUCAAGGGUCGGGACCCGAGGACAUAGAGCAGAAAGGGGAGCAAAAGCGAGAGGGGAGGGACACACGAGGACCUCGCCGAGCAACCUCGUGCCUGCCGAUGCACGGACCCCGCGACACACCAGAGAGCGACCCCUGAUUCUCGAGAUAAGUCAUCACCCGGAAGCGCCAGCUACCGUGGCAUCAUCCCCGCACCUAAUGCAAUCCCGUGUUAGCGACGCCGCUCUCCUUUCUCACCGAACGACGGCUACUUGAGCACCAAAGGGGACCUCCUAAGCAUCGCGACUCAGGGGCUCUUACCGGACUCCGGGUCGCUCACCUCCUGGCCUUGACCACGGCAUCGCGACCUGGCAUACCAGCGAUGGCUGAAGCCUCCUUGGAACUGGGACCUAUCGGCGCAGAGCACCAAGCCCUCGUGAGGUUUGAAAGGGAGAACUGAGCUAAGACGGAAUGAGCAACUCGCACAAUUCUAUGACAAGGGUUAUAUUAACAAAACAGGAUCGCAUGCACUUUACAAGCCCCCACGGGACGCGUCUUUGAUUCCUCGCAGGGAACAGAUCCUAAAGGGACACUAACUACGCGCGCCCCUGCAAAAGACGCCAUCAUCAACAUUGGGCCGUCAAGCACCGGCACCAACCCCAUCCAGAUCAGAGUCGGCGGCGGCCUGACGAGCCCGCCCUGCUCCAGGCGCGGCACCGGCUCGGGGGCUCGUAGCUGUCGUUGCUCGUCUCCGGAGUCGCGAAGAGCUCGCCGGAGUCGCUGGAACCUCCGACGCCUCCACCGCCUGCGGAGCCGCCAAGGGAGCGAUCGGCGGGCCCAAUCCUUGCCGCAGCAGGGUCCCGGCCACCUCUCCCGGGGCAGCACUCCAGCCGGCGCCCGUUCGCAUCAAAGACCUUGAAGAACAUCACCGAAGCACCGUCGUAAUCCAAGUGGAUGCUGAAGGCGCCCGUUGUCCUGCAAACCCGGGCGAUUUCGCCCCAGCCCCGAGUCAUGAAGACCUCGCCCGGGGCAACGACCGUGACCUCUGCCUUGGUCGCAAGGGUGCUGCAGCCGGCGCGCUGCAGCCAAAGCUCCAUGGGCUCUCCCUAUGGGAUGAUGGAGGCAAAGAAGGGAAGAAGGCGAAUCCAAGACUAAGGAGGCAUGGCGGCGUGGAACACGAACUCUCGGGAGGAACCCUCGGUGUGGACCCCAGGGAGGACGACCCACACCUUCGUGACUCAUUGGCGCCGACGGCGGCGCCGCCCGUGGCGAUCAGCAUCAGCUCCUUCAGGGCCCUUGUUGUGGGCGUACAAGGGAAGCGGGAACCCCGGCGGUGCCCACUCUCACCAGGGCCUUGACACCACCUGAUGAGCCUCCUUGUCCGGGCCGCGGAGGACGAGCCGUUUCUUCGGCGGGAGUGGGUCUGGUUCCUCUCGGGGAGCCUUUUCCUUCUCUGCCGUCGAGAACCGGCGGAUCGGAGCCAUCACAGCAAGACAGAGCAAGGACCGGGAAGAAGGAGAAGCAAGGAGGGAUGGACUAGAAGGGUGCACGCCGUUCCGUACUUAUGGCCGGCGAAGGCCAACCACCGACCUCCACGAUCGCAGGUAAUCAUGACCCACUUUGCAUGCAGGGACUUGUCCAAUCCGUGCAGUUGCUGAGGCGCCAUGGGGAAGUGGAGGCGCCCACGUCCAAUCAACCGCCACGCAGCGCCUAAGGCCGCAGGCUGUUAGGGCCCGUGGCGCUUCGCUCUUGCCCUUCUGCCUCCCUGCACGGCCAAGUCCGGGCGCGCCUUGGGCCCCGGGGCUAUUGUCGGCGUUCUGGGAACGAGGGUCUCCAGACUUGCCUGCCUGCGGCCUGCGGCGUGGCUCAAAGGGGGGCCCAGAAUGGCCCAUCUUCAUCAACAUAGACCUAAGACCCUCGUGAGGGGCCAAGCCUCACGGGGCGGACGACACAGAGCUUCCUCAGGCACGGCCUCAUCAGGCUGGCUCGCGAGGAGGCGGAGAGAUCAAGGCGGGGUACCUCACGAGGUGCCCGUGAUGCAAGCCAUGACGACCAAAGGCGCCAGGCGGGCGCCAGCCCGCGCAGUGUCCUGCUUUCCUCUUUGGUGCAAAGGGAGCAAGCGCAGCCGCGGAGUACCGAGGCAUCAGGCAAAGGUUGCCAUUUCGGUGCAACAAGACCAAGACUAGGAGGACUGCAAGACGGAGGUCAUCGUGGAGCCCAAGACAGCGUCACCACCAGAGCUUUGUGCAGGCGAAGACUACUUUUGUCAGGAUAGAUGGUACUAGCUGUCCCCUUCAAAUUAGCCCGCCAUUGUUGGCUCCCUUCCCGCUCGAUAUUUGGGAAGAGUACCAGGGCCUCUAUAAAUAGGACCAGCCACCCACAGGAUCAAGGAGAGGGGUUUAGGGGGAUCGAGACCAACGAUCGAGUAGAGAGGAGAUCGAAUCAGAUCAACAACCGUGAAGAGAGAGAGAGAGAAGGGUGACUGAACUCCUCCUAGCAGUUCGUCCCCCCCAGCCAAGAACAGACCCUCGCGAGGCUGUUCUUCCUUGUAUCGUUCAUCAUCAUCAGCCUAAGAGGCAAUCCACCACACCACACACUGGAGUAGGGUAUUACACCACAAUGGUGGCCCGAACCAGUAUAAAGCCUGUGUCUCUUGGGUUGUUCUUCCCAUAGCUUAGAUCUUAGCGAGGCGGAGGGGUGCAGGUAGGUAGGAGGCGAAAUCUCCGCGCGCACCCCAGUGUUCGAACCUCAAGGGUCUGCCGGAACCCGAAAUCCGACAGAACUAGCAAUCGGUUUAUUGUUAGCAUGGAUUAGUUGGUAACAAAAGCAUCUUGAGAGAGCAUACAGACUAAAUCAGAGGAAGAUAUACUCAAAGAACCAUAGCUAGAAUAACAUGUACUGUUAACCCAGGUAAGAACCAUAACUUGUUAUUAUUGUAAUAAAAAACAACACCACAAAUAUAACUCGUCGAUUAGGAUGAGAUCUUGGGGUAGUUUUACCAGCAGAGCAGAUGGGGCCAAGCCGUACACCGUCCGUCAUGAGCGCCUCCCUCACUGAAUGAUUUGUGGCCAUAGCUAGCGAGAUUCACCGGGAGGAUCUGGAGCCGAAGAUAUAUAUGUAUAUAUAUAUAUAUAUAUAGAGAGAGAGAGAGAGAGAGAGACAAACACAGAGAGAGAGGAAGCUAGAGGUAUAGGAGGACACGGCUCAUUUUAUCGGAAGGGGGUGUGAUUAUUGUGGAAAAAAGAGGCGGUAUUAAUUUGAGGAGGGUUGGGGUUAUGUGGGCGCACGGGCCGUUCAAAAACGAGUGGUGGGAAGACAAAAUUUGAGGGAACUCUUAGUGGGGAGGCAAGGAUAAAUUUGAGAUUUGUUCAGUUUUGUUUUCCUUUAUAUUAUGAAACAACUUUACUGUAAACUCUUCCAAAUAAACUUCGAGCACUUUCUCAACAUAGUCGUGACCACUAUGAUAUGAAAAAGCAUGGUUUGUGUGACAACAUGUUCCUAACAUAAUGUGUUCAUGUAGAGUAGUACCAUGUUCCUCGCUUAUUUAAUGUGGAACCAACAAGUUAGCUAUGCACAAUCGUCUUGUUUGUGCAUGUAACUUGAAGAAAGCAUGUUCAUCAUGUGAAGUGUCAUGGUUGUUUACAAAUUCAAGUUCCCGGUGCCGGUUGUCACAUCAUACUUUGAGAUCCUACUUUACAUGUGUCAAGGUGCUACCAUCCAAAGGAUUUGAGAAAGUGUGAAUCUGAACACUGUCCAUACUUUGUAUUCAUGAUGCAUACCACAUAGUGGAGAUGAUUUCAAAAAAUAAUUCAUUGUGUACAUCACACUAGGGAAUUUCAGCCUGCAAGCAAGCUGAGGUUAUGCAUUGUGUCAUACUUUGAGAUCCUACUUUGCAUGCGGGAAGGUACAUGCAUUGGUGAUUGUUCGUGUGUCAGGAUGUUCAUCACAUAUUUAAGGUGAACACAAUAGGUUUGCAAUGCACAAACAUUUUGUUCGUGCAAGUAUCUUGGAGAAAGCAAGCUGAUCACGUGAAGUGUAACGAGUGGUUACAAACUCAAGUUUACUGUGUCGGGUAUCAUUUCAUACUUUGAGAUCCUACUUUUCAUGCGGGGAGGUGCCAGCAUGGGUGAUUGUUCAUGUGUCAGGAUGUUCAUCGCAUAUGUAAGGUGAUCCAAAUAGGUUUCUAAUGCACAGACAUUUUGUUCGUGCAAGUAUCUUGAAGAAAGAAAGUUAAUCGUGUGAAGUGUAAUGAGUGGUUACAAAUUCAACUUUAUGUCAUCGGGUGUCACUUCAUACUUUGAUAUCCUACUUUGCAUGGGGGAAGGUGUCGGCAUAAGUGAUUGUUCAUGUGCCAGGAUGUUCAUCGCAUAUGUAAGGUGAGCCCAACAGGUUUGCAAUGCAUAGACAUUUUGUUCCUGCAAGUAUCUUAAUGAAAGCACGUUGAUCAUGUGAAGUGUAACGAUUGGUUACAAAAUAGAGUUUACUAUGCCAGUUCUCACGUCAUAAUUUGAGAUAUCUGUUCAAAAAAUAGUGCAAUGUGCCAUACUAGGACCAUGCACAAGCCGCCACGUUGAGCUUUCAAUGUUGCCACAAUACAAAAUAUACUGUUCCAACCCCAUCAUUUUUUUGCUCUAACAGACGUCUAAUUCCCGUGACUCGUGUAACCAUCGGACGACAUUCCAACUGCUCUAGCUAGUUACCUUUUUUGCAUGACAAAUUAAUGAUCGCACUCCUUUCACUGCAUCCAUUUGCAUCUUCUUCCUCAGCUAUUCCUUGUCGUCUGCCACAAAGCCCCACCGCCUCCUUGCAGUCAUGGACAACAAGAAACUAACAACAGAGACCCACCACAUUACUACCCAUGGCACAACCGUGUUGGAGGUGGUGUACACCAACGAGCUAGAUAUUGUGGAGCGAGUCAUCGGCAUGUACGACCAACGGCUCUAGGAGAAGAAGAACAAGUUCGUCGACCCCGACCUCGAGUACACCCGUAGGAGCAGUUACAGACAACAAGGGGUCGCCAUCGUGCAACUCGCCAUGCGUGAGCAUGUUCCCUUGUACCACUACUGUAGGUCUGAGCGGUGCCAGGCAUUGGCUGAACUCCUGCAACGCAAAGUGAUAACUUUCACUAGCAUGGACACCAGGGGCAACAAGAUCAUGCUUGCCCGUGCAUGGAUCAAAAUUCCAAAUGAGCACCACGUCAACAUCCAAAAGAAGGUAUGUAUCAAAGGUGGCGGAGAAAGGGACACCAUCAGUGACCUUGCAACAACCAUCAUCGACCCCUCGUACAAGAACAUGAAGAAAUCAUUCCCAAAGGACAAGCACCAGUACUGGAGUGGAAGCCGCUUUCCAAGCUGCACCCCGAGUAUGCAGCAAAAGACAGGUAUGUUAGCUAUGAUUUGUACCAUAGGAUACCAAUCAUUAAGGAUGGGCUAUGUCACCUUCUCCAACCACCAUCGAGGGAAUGGCUCCACACCUAUAAGAACAAAAACGAGGGAUCUUCGAGCGGCUGCAAGCACCGGAAGGGAAACUUCGGGUGGUGAAUUGUUAGAACUUGGAUGUGUACAUUCAACUAGUAGUAUGUUAGACUGAGCGAACAUAUGUUCUAACUAUGAUCGUAGUGGGUCAAAGAUGUUGUGUGUAUUGUAUUACUUAUUUACGUUUAACAUAGUGGUGUGGUGAUGUACAAAUGCAUGUUACUUUAUGUAAAAAUAUGUGCUUGUAUCCUAGUUAACUUCUUGAAAAUGCUUUACGUGAAUGGUGUGAACACUUUCAGAAAUAUUUGUAAGGACUCUCAGAAACAGUCUGAUGGCUUUCAAAAAAUUCAUCGCCGACUUUUCCAAACAAUUUUAGCGAUUAAAGAACUUUGAGUACUCAUUUCGGAUAUAGUGUGAGCAAAGUUUGAAAUAUGAAAAGUAGGUCGAUCAUUGUUAGUCAUCAGAAUUAUAAAUGAAGACUCUUUGCAUGUAACGACCACAUGGUGUACAUGUUUGGUAUGGAAAAUCAUUUAAUUUGUGAAUGUAAACUUUUGGUAUGUAAAAUGUCCUAUAUUUUUUUAGUAUUGUUGCGACACCAAACUAGUGGUGAACUCAAGCAUGUUGUUGUUAUUUUUGGAAAGUAUACCAAAAAGCAAAUGCAAGCAAUGUACAGUCACGUCUUCGUGCCGCCGUCAAAUCUAGACAACACGACGCACGCUCGGUAUGGCUCAUCCUUCAAACUAUUUUGACAUCCUCCUCAUCUCAAACCAUGAUAUAAGAAGUUGCCAAAUCCCCUCUCCAAUAUAACCAACCCACCAUCAUCCUCAUUCAACUCUCUCUCUCUCUCUCUCUGUGCGUGUGUGUGUGUGUGUGUGUGAACCUGUCUUGCUUCAUAUCAGUAGCAUCCAUGUCUCGUGGUAGAUCUUUCGGCCACCUCGACGGUGACAUGAUGGUGCUGCCGUGCUUGAUAGCCCCGCUCAUGGAGGAACAUUGUGUCCCAAUCCAUGGCGGCGAUAACAUCCACACCGUGUACACAAGCGACAACGGCGUCAUCCAACACUGGAUACCACAAGAUGAGGAGUUUCUAGAUAUCUUUCGAGUGUCGUUUAUCGGCAUAGACAUCGAGUACACCCGCCGCCAGACGAAGGGACAAUUUCCUGUCAAAGAAUAGAAGGCAGCCCUCAUCCAGAUCUCUACGCGACGAAUUUUCUCAUUUACCAGGUAUGUCGGUCUCAAGGUGUGAGCACGUCUCUUCGCUAGUUUCUCUUCAACGAUAGAUACACUUUCAUUGGUUUUUGCAUCAAGGGUGGCAUAGAGAUGUUGCGGCCCUAGGAAAUCAGGGUCGAAAACUACGAGGACAUCCAAGUCGAAUGGGCUAACCUGGAAGGAUCUAAGGACUUUGAUUCGUUGUCCAACAUCUCUAGAUUGCUUGUUGAUAACUACUACCUCAUCAAGAAGAAUGGUUUCGAUAAGGCUUAUCAUGAAAGUUGGGCUGAGAAACUAUGCGACAAGCAGAUCAAGUACACAGCGAGGGACGCAUAUGAGUGCUAUGCAAUAUGGAGCCAAAUCAAUCUCAUCAAGCAGGGUCUGAUAAAAGCAAAAGAUAGACAUGUGUUGAGGGCUAUCCAUGCAAGCAUCAAGAAGACAGAGAAGAACAAACUCGAACUCGAGAAGGCGCAGCGUCGAAACAAAUUUGGAUAGAUCAGUACUUGUAUUACGUAUUUUAAGAUAUGUUGAAGUUGUGCAUUUGAUUGUUCUAAACAUUUGUGGUGCGUACUUAUUAAGUUAAUGGGGUUUAUAUGUGUUAACUGAAGCUUCAAAUGUUCAAGAUUAUUCUUACAUUCUUGACCUCAUGUUUAAGGUGAAUCUUAGGGGUUUCACCACAUGUUCAAGUUGAAUCUAAGAAGUUUGAGAUGCAAUACUUUUAAAUAAUUAACUUGUAUGUCAUUAUCAUUAGUGUUUACAGAUGGAUGAUAUAACUUGAAGUUUUUGAUGCAAUAUUCGUGUGAUGUAAAUGAAUGGCUAGUUCAUCUACCUUGUCUGUGUCAUGCAUGAUUCAAAUGAAGAUGUCAUGGGUCCCACUUUGCAUAGGCCAAGAGGUGUCGUGCGAGUUGACGGGAUGCAUGUGAGCAUGCUGUUGCGCAUCCUCACCGAAAGGCAAGCCCUUCGACCACCAUCCGCUGCCCGACUGCCUUCUUCCCAAUUGCCCACUUAAUGUCGCUUGAGCCGUUGAAUAAUAGGCCGUGUACUCACCGCUCUCACUAGAGUUCUCUCUCCCACCUAUGAUUCCCCUCUCCUUUGUCUCAAUCAGCCAGACCUCACCGUACACCAUGGUGCAUCACGAUGGUCUAUCCCCGGUCUUCUAGUUUUAAGAGGAAUACCCCAAGCGGGAGGAGCAGGAACAGAACAAGCUUUGGGAUGUGCCAUCAUGAGCGCGUGCACAAUUGCACAUGCCUACGCCUGUGUCGGUGCUAGUGCCCGCCUCAGCUGCAUGGGACGCCACCCUCGAAUGCUACCUUGCAUCGCCUGUGCCUGUGCACGCACUUGUCUCGCGGCAUUGCUAGUGCCCGCCUCAGCGGCACGUGAUGCCACUCUUGUUCACUUCCUUCCAGCGCUAGCAGUCGCCACUACAUCGUCCUCUAUGGCAUGGGAUUGGCUGCAGCAGGCGGAAUGGGACCGGCUACUAGAGGCGGAAGUCCAGAACAUUCUUGUAUUACUUGAAGGUUGGCCCGACGUCCUGGACAACGCCAACGCCGAUGCAGGAUGCCACCAUGCUGCAAUUAGUUUGUUCGUUUAUACAUUGCAGUUUGAUCGUAUGAAUGCAAAGCCACACCAUGAUUGAAUGCAAAAUAAGCGAACCUCUACAUGGUAAAAAAUAAGGUAAACUUUGACAUUAUGACAUGGUACGGGUACAUGCAUUUGGUGAAAAAACCUCAAUUUGCAUUUCAUUUUGAAUAGUGCUAUUGAUCAAGCAUUGUGCCACUGAUUUUUCACGUUGCAAAAUUCUUACUAAUAGACAGAGAGAUUAAAUAAAAUUGAUCGAAAUCCAAAAGUGAAAAAUGAGGCACUAGGAUAUCGAACCCAUGAUUAUUAUGGUUGUAGCAUUACUUCCACUGCUAUCCAUGCUAUACAUUUGAAGUGUUGAUUUUCUGGGAUUAUAAUGUAUAUUAAAGAAAUAGCUAAUUCGGUACCCUUUCGACCGCCGGAUGGAUGAUGGAUGCCUCACCUACGUCUGCCUCCUUGCAUCCCUUGUCAACCACCUCCACUGCAUUCCCACUAGUUCAAGUUUGCACCAAUUCACACUUGGCAAACCGCACAAUAUAAGGAGAGGUUCCAUCAACAAUACCAGUGAAUCCUAUAGAAAACCCCACAACCCCCUUUACAUCAAUGAUGGUGUGCAUGCCCACUCCCGCCCCUACAUAUCCAUGACUAGUGACAUGCCUCAUAGGUCACCUCAAGCCCCAAAUGGCGAACCUGAUCAAACACAUCCUCCUCCCGCCUCCGACCUGGCACUAGUCGGUGUUGUGUUUGAUCCACCCCCCUCAGUGAUGAUGUCAAGUCAGGCACUUGGCUCAUCCUCGGGGAAGAGAAAACCCAUGGCCGAGGAGACGGGCGACAUCGCCCAUGAAUGGGCCCCAUAGCAAUGAUGCCUUGUGGACAAAGAGGAGGAUUGCGCCGUCGAGGUCCUCCAUCAAGUAGGUGAGGCAGGCCGUGAGUGUGACCGCCUCUUGGAGUGAGUCAACGAGCUCUAGGAGGCAGCCCGCCACCAAGUGGUAGACAUGCACUGCGAGAUCGACGAACUCGGCCUGAGAUUGCAGGAGCUCCACCGUGCCAUCGCCCAAGUAGAGAUUGAGGCAGCGUACAAUAUCUCCAACAUUAUGACGCGCGUCGAAGAAACCAUCUGUGACGUAGAACGAGCUAUCGAAGAAGCCGUCAUUGCGGCCGGCAUUGUGACACCCCGAUUCAGAGAACCGAAGGCCCUCAAGUUUCAGCCUAGAGAUCCAUGUAUUCUGGAACACGACUAUAGCUUGGUAUAGAACCACCACAUUCUAAUAGAGUACUCACAUAGUACACGGAGUUAUAAUACAAUACUCUUGCUCAGCAUGGUAGUACAAUCUGAGCGGUAGUGCUCGAUUAUUAAACCUAGGGCCUAGUGGCUAAUGAAGCAUUAGUAGGGAAAGGGUUAUGACACAACAGAAGGCAGGAUUCUAGCGGGACUUCAAACCAAAGGGACGCUGCUGGGACACAAUCUAGCUCUCGCUCUAGACGUCCUUCUAUGAGGCUUCUCCUGCAUCUGGCAUGAUAAGCCAGGUGAGUACUUUGAUUGUACUUGCAAGCUCAUAAACAACCCAAAGGCAAGCAAGCAAGAAACAAGGUACACAAGUAAAGCCACAAAAAUAAAGACAAGCAUAAGUGCAACUAACAUAACAAUUGUAUGAAAAUAAAUUACUCGUUUAGGGUUUAACAUCCAAAGGACCUCUCUCUCCGGCAUGAUCCUCGGUCAUCCGACAUACUGGGGUGACUGCUACACUAUCAAAGCAUUAAACUUGAAUUAAAUGUAGACGAGUGCCUGGUCAAAAUAGUGUGACUUAACACGAACAGUGUCCCAUUUCCAGGGACUCGGCUAUUCGCAUAGUUUCAACACACAAUCUAUAGAGAUCGUACAGUUUACCCACACCAUGGACUAUUUGUCCUACAAACCUCACUGUAGCAUGGCCCUCUAACCAUAUCUCAAACCCCCCGCAGGCUAGCCCAAGGAUAGAGGAUCUGGAUCCUUGCUACCUCGUGGCACCACUUGUCUCCCCUCAGGGAUCAAUCAACUUCCUAGUGCACAUCUCCUGACCCAAGCUCUCUUGACUAGAUGGCAACUUCCUGGCCAAAGGAAGUCUACACAUCUUAGUUUCCCUCUUUGGAGAUAUGCGGAAGAGACAUAACUACAACUAAAAUAGGGCCCUCCCAUUCAGACAAAUGUGGCUGUACUGAGGAAGUUCGGUUUCGUGGCAGCGGGAAUGAUUGGUUAUUAAGGUUGGAGUAUAGGGGGGGGGGGUGUUCUACAAUACUCCAACUCUAAUAUACUCAUCUCAAAUCAUACUAAUCUCAACUUAAAAUGCCUGAAGGAGACUACUAUCUUAAGUAAAGUCUUUCCCCGAAAGGUCUCCUCAUCAUUUCUGUUUUAGUUGUUAGGGUUUAUGUGAUCGAAAGAAAUUUUCGGUUACAAAGUGACUACUAGAUUCAACAGUAAUGAGGUGGAUCUCUCUAUUACUCUACUAGUAUUCUACCAUACUGUUACUAAGCUCUACUAAAACAAAUAAAUUAGAGCAUAAAAGUAAAGCAAGCAUACCGGUAAAAUAGCCGGUAUCAAGCAAGUUUGAACCCAUGGCCUUGCAAAUGCCAUCAAGAAAAUGGAUGAAAUGGUUUGCCUUGAACUAGUGGAGGGUCACAAAACUCCUAGUCUUCACCUCCUGAAUUAUUUCUCUCUGGAAAUAAUUUUCAAAGCAUUUUUAAUAAAGAGAAAAUUACUAAAACUUUGUCCAGAAAUUCUAGAAAGCUUAAAUAAUUCUCAAACUUUGCCAACAGAAAGGAAAUUGGAUAACAAAAAUAAUGCAAAAAUAAUCAACUGAUUUGUACUUAUUGUUUAGGAGUUAUUCAUGGUUAAAGUUAAGUGAACAGAAGCAUUUAAAAUUUAUUUAAACUAAAAAUAGAAAAACCCAUGGCAUGCCACGUCGAAAGCGUAUUUUCCAAAUAUGCCACGGCUAACGUACCGCUUCGGGUCGUAAGUGAGUCACUGACGGGUGGGGUCCACCUGUCAGCUUUUCUUUUAAAACAAUUGGCCGAGGCACAAGGGAACUCCGGUGAGGGCUCAAUGGUGAGGAGAGGGGACGACGGCCAUUGUGGGUUGGCCCACUGGAACGAGCACUCCCCGGCGGGUCUUCUUGUACCCGUAGCUUCACCGGAGGUGGUCGGACGGUGCCGAUUCCUUCCUCGCGGGGCGGUGUUCUCCGGUCGAGCUCGAACUCCGGAGAGGGGGCUUCAAUUGAGCCAGCUCCGGUGCUGGGUGUGCUCAGUGGAGCAAGGGGAGACGAACUAUGGUGGUGGUUUGGCUUGGGGAGUCAUGUAUGGACCGAAUCAAGCUAGGCUCGCAGGGACAGAACCUUGCCGUGGAGAAGGGAGGAGGGCGCGAUAGCAUGAGGGCAUCGCCCAUUAAUGGUAAGAGGGGGAGAGGAGAAGGUGUGAGCUGAAAUGGAGGCUGGGUCUCUCUAUUUAUAGGCUGGGAUGAGGGAGGGGGCCUUGGCGCCACCGCGAUCGGGGAUGAUGACCAGUCGGGCCUGUGCCAGCCUAAGGCUAGCUUGGCCAGGACAUGGUGGGCAUCAGGAGGCCAGGAGGAAGCUGUCGGAGCUCUCUGAACCAUCCUACCCAUCGCGACGCUGCACAGGUCAUGGCCAUACAAUGGACGGAGCCACGGGCACACUCGACAAAGGGGGCCGGCCAGGGUGGCAUGUGCUGGAGAUUAGGGAGUGUGGGGACACGUGCUAGAGGUCUUGCGUGUGGCUUUGGGUGCCGAGGAUGCGCCGUAGUGGGGUGGUCACGUGGCCAGUGGCUUGGUGUGACACAUCACGCGCGUUGUGGCAUGCUGAUGCUUGUAAUCUGCGUUGGUAUUUCCCCGAAGAGGAGGGAUGAUGCAGCACAAUAGAGAUAAGUAUUUCCCUCAGUUAUGAAACCAAGGUUAUCAAUCCAGUAGGAGAACCAAGAAACACUAUGUAAAAAACACCUACACACAAACAACAAAUACUUGCAACCCAGCGCAUAAAGGGGUGGUCAAUCCCUCAACGAUAUUGAGAUAGAUUAAAUAGUAUGGGAUUUGAUAAAUAGAUCUAACUAAAACACAAAAGAAAAUAAAGAAAAGAAAAUUACAUCAAGGUAUUUUUGGUUUUAAUAUAUGAUAGAAAAUAGACCCAGGGGCCAUAGUUUUCACUAAAGGCUUCUCUCAAGAAAAUAGCAUACGGUGGGUAAACAAAUUACUGUUGGCAAUUGAUAGAAAAGCAAAUAAUUAUGACGGUAUCCAAGUAAAUGGUCAUGUAUAUAGGCAUCACGUCCAAGAUUAGUAGACCAAAAAGAUUCAGCGUCUACCACUAUUACUCCAUGCAUCGACCGCUAUCGAGGAUGCAUCUGGUGUAUUAAGUUCAUGGAAAAAAUAGAGUAAUGCAUUAGGCAAGAUUACAUGAUGUAGACAAGAUAAAAUCAUGUAUGAAUAAACCCCAUCUUAUUACCCUUAAUAGCAAUGAUACAUGCGUGUCAUGUCUCUUUCUGUCACUGAGAUUGAGCACCGCAAGAUCGAACCCAUCACAAAGCACCUCUUCCCAUGGCAAGAUAAAUCAAUCUAGUUGGCCAAACCAAACCAAUAAAUUGGAGAAGAAAUACAAAGUUAUAAAAAUCAUGCAUAAAAGAGUUCAGAGAAGACUCAAAUAAUAUUCAUGGAUAGAUCUGAUCAUAAACUCACAAUUCAUCAGAUCCCAACAAACACACCGCAAAAAAUAUUUACAUCAAAUAGAUCUCCAAGAC
This 98612-nucleotide long non-coding RNA is filed under the name Triticum aestivum (bread wheat). RNAcentral's name for it is "long non-coding RNA (TAES_LNC020467)". The record is from RNAcentral. Lineage: Eukaryota; Viridiplantae; Streptophyta; Magnoliopsida; Poales; Poaceae.